Molecule: long non-coding RNA, 121061 nt
Filed under: Oryza sativa (Asian cultivated rice)
Lineage: Eukaryota; Viridiplantae; Streptophyta; Magnoliopsida; Poales; Poaceae
Source: RNAcentral
UUGGAAUAUCUUUACUACAGUCUACAAGUGUCUUUCUUUGAUGACCAAUGUCAAUGCUAGAAGAGCAAUAUGACAAUACACUAAGAGACAAAGUAGAGAAAAAACAAAUCUGACCAUAAAUCAUUUUAAGAGGCGAUUCCUUGCAUUACUUAAUAGAAAUUCAAGCAAUAUAUACCAAUAAGAAAUUUAGAGCAGGACGAAUAUUGCUUGAAUUUUAUACUAAUACUUGAUCAUGUUUUACUUGCGCAGGAGAUAAGUGAGCAAUGGAAAAAUUGGAGAGCAAAGGAUUGUUUCAAAGUAAUUGUUCCUAGCAAAGAAACCAUUAUUCCUAACAUAACACAAUCCUAUUGGUUUAACACACAGCUCAUUGCACUGGCCGCUCAACCAAACUGAAAAAAAAAAAUCUCAGCGUUUCGGCAACAAAAUUAAGCUACAAUAUUCUGGGAGGACGGCAUAAUCGUAUGAAAUGGAUCCGAAAAAGAACCUAAGGUUUAUAGAACUUGAGGGAAAACUCGACGAUUCCCUUAUUUCUUCUGGCUAUCGUCCACCAACUCCGGCUCAAUCACCUCGGCUUCAAUCGGCUCAGAGCUGACAGGUGAGUCUCGCUGCAGGUUCAUCUCAGCGGGUUGAGCGUGCGAGGCCCACUUGCUGGCCAUAGCUGUGCUCAUCAUCUCAUAUAUCUUCCCACUUAGCUCGGCAGGGUUGUCAGGCUGCAAUAUGAUACCACAAAUGAGAUGACACAAAUUGAUGAAAUUUAAACAGAUUACGACAUUCAGUAUAGAAAACAUGCACAACGGUAAGGCGGAAUAUCCUAUCAUAUCAAAUGGACCAGGGUUAUUUGAUGGAAAAGAAGGCAAUCAGGUGUACUUACUGUAAAGCCACUAGAGAUCAUAGAAGUUUCAAACAGGAUAUCUACAGCCUUUAGAGCUUCUGGGUCAUCAGGGUUGGCUCUGCAGGCAGCCUGCAUUGAGGAGGAAAAAGGAACCCAUAAGGACUAUCAGGAAAUUACAAGCGCGAAGUGCAAACAGCAGACCGAACACUUACAUUCAAGCCCUUGAUGAUCUCAUGCUCUGGGUUGAUUUCAAAAACUUUCCUAGAACGCAUGAAAUCCAGAGAUGACAUGUCACCCAUAGAUUGCGCUCUCAUCAACCUGUUAACACAACAAUACUAUUAAGAACUUUAAGUUACAAGAAUUAUGUGCUAGAAAGGUCAACAUGAUAGAGACUAACCUUUCCAUGUUCGCAGACCAACCAAACUUAGCUGCAACUAGAACACAUGGUGAUGAGCUGAGACGGUUUGAUAUAUCAACUCGAGCAACCUUUUCACCCAAGCGUUUCUUGAUCCAGUCACAUGUUUGGCUGUAUUCCUGCUUGAUCUCCUUCUCUUUUUCCUCAUUCUUAUCACCUAAGUUACAUUAUAGAUGAAAAUCAGAAAUCAGGAAAAAAGAUUUACACGACUGAAAUGAGGUAAUUGUCCCAAUUCUGCAAGGUUAAGACAUUGCCUACAUUUAUUAUAUAAACAAGACAUACAGGGCUCUAUUCAUUAUAUUAAAAGGGUGAAAUAUAAACAAGUCUUGCCAUAAUGAAGGACAAUAAUAAUUCUCAUGUGGCAAAACAACUAUUUUCAAACUCAUCUCAUUCAGCAGUAGAAGGAGGUUUCAAAGAUUGUGUAUGCAUACCUAAGUCCAAGUCUUCCUUGCUAAUAUCAACGAAACGCUUAUCCUUGUAGGAGUUCAGAUUUGUGACAGACACUUCAUCCAUUGGGUCAACUAAAAAUAGAACCUACAAAAUAUACACAAGUUAGAACCGUCACAAAAAGGAAACAAGUGAUGAAGUGAAUCAACUCAUUUCUGGGUAAAAGCAUUAAUCAGUAAGACAUGUAAACAAAUACAGAAACUUUGUUUUUGCCAUUCAGCAGUACUGCAACACUGUUUUUGCCAUUGGGUUCUCCGGCUUAAGCCUUCUAGAUGGCUAGAUGUCAGUGAGAUAGUAGCAAAAACAAGCAUGUUUGUUCCAAUAUUUGGGAAAAUAUAAGGCAUCUCAACUAUGAAAUUCAACAGGCCCUGAAGGCCAGUAAACUAUAUUUGCCUUUCAGGGCAAAGUUUGCAUGGGCAAUGAAUGCAUUCAAUAAAGCCCAGAAUCCAAUAGCAAAAUAUAAUUAAGAAAUAUGAUCAUGUGUCUGCAAACAUGGUAAGCUAUUCACAGUACAUACCUCGUACUCUUUUUCAUUGAGCUUCUCCAGGAAAGGAGCAUGUUUUGCACUACUCAAACUGUCCGCAGCAAUGUAGUAAAUGUCCUUUUGCUCAGGUUUCAUAUUUUCCACGUAUUCAUCCAAGCUAAUUAAUUCUUCAUUGCUUUGAGAAGAAAAGAAUCGGAGCAAAGGAGCAAUUCUCUUGUGAUUUUCCUUGUCUUCCAUGCAACCCAGCUUUAAGAACUUGCCAUAGUUUUCCCAGAACCUUUCAUAGUCCUACAGUAAAUUUCAGGUGAGAACUGAACUACUGAAGGAUAAGGGAGAGAACAGAGGCAUCAUGCACAAAAGGAAAGUAAACAACUUACAUCUCUGUUUUCGCUACAAGAGAUGCCAAGUAUCAUAUCAAAGGCCUUUCGCACCAACCUCUUUCUCAUUAUACGCACCUGUAACAAACAAGAAGGAAAAAAAAAGGAAAGAUAAAUCAAUGUUAGAAGAUCAUGAUAGAAAUGUACAAGACAUAGACAGAAAACCAUUCAUUAACACUUACAAUUCGGCUUUCUUGCAGGAUCUCACGAGAAACAUUUAAUGGAAGGUCAUUUGAGUCAACAACACCCCUCACAAAGCUCAGGUAUCUUGGGAACUGAUCAAUAACAUUUUUUUAUUGUCAGAUUUCCAUGGUUAUCUAAAACUUGACAAAGAAUCAUGAAGAGCUGCUGUGUAUUAAGCAUACCAGUUCCCCAUCAAAGUCGUCUGAUAUAAACACGCGCUUAACAUAAAGCCUGAUAUUUUUGGUCUUCCUAUCAGUUAUAUCCUCCUUCUUUGUAGCAGGCACAUAGAGAAUAGAUCUGAAUUCUACUUCCCCCUGCAUGAAUAAAAUCAAACACAGCCAAGUGAGCCUGUGAAGUGCAAUCAGGCACAGUUUUACCGUGAGAUAGACAGAUGUGCUAUAUUGGUGCCAAUCCAUGAAGAUAAAUGAACUAUCACAUGGAGAUCGGUGCAAUUCUAACCAAAAAGAUGAACCAGUUUGGCAUCUUUGCCGCACUGAUCACAAUAUCAUUUUCACUGAAUAAUGCAAUACAAUGUUACAAAACCAAACAUUCGCAUGCUUGUGGAUAUCCAAAAAAAUAUUUGAAUAGAACCACCAUAAUUGAAAUGAAGAGUCGCAUAUGCAGCAAUAGACAUGUAUUACAUAACUUUACCAGCUGAGUUAGUGUUAACGAAGGAUGAACUAUUAUCUGUUCCUGUAUAUAAAUAUGUUUGCCUGAUGAAUAGCACUCGUGUGUCUUUGACUCUUUGUGAAAGAAUAGUAUGAAGAUAUUAAUUUGGUCACAGCAGUUACAGAAUACUGUGAUAUCGCAAGUUUGGUUAAAUUUGUCAAAUGUAUAAGCAUGAAAAAAAACUUGUCUUCAUAGAAUAGUCAUGCACAAUGAACAUAUCAUCAAAAUAACUGCACUGCUACCUAUAUCAACCUUGAUUCUGGUUCAAUUGACAAAAAGAAAGAAUCAACUGAUAACUAAUCAAAUGCAAUCAGACAUACCUCUGUAGUAAAGUGUGAGGAUGCUAAGGGAUCCAUGUACUCAUUGAAUGUCUUCUUGUAAAACUCAUUGUACUCCUCAGUUGAUACCUCUCUAGGGUUCCGAAGCUACCAUAAACAGAGAAUGAAAAAAAAAGCUUCAGUUUUUUUUUGGAACCUUCAUAUUUUCAAUAAGUGAUGGGUGCAUUCAUUAAUAAAAACAUAUUAGCACACUGAACAGAUCAAAUCUCACCCAUAUAGGUUGUGUUUCAUUUGUAAGCUCCCAAUCCCAGUACUUCUCAACAACUGUUUUUGUCUUUUUCUUAACCUGUUAAUAUCAUGGUAAUACAAUUAUGCACAAGUAUUAAGUAUAACAGAUUUAUCUUGGCAGAAAAGCAUAUCACAGUUACCUCUGUUUUAGUCUCAUCGUCGCCUUCUUUAGCUUCAACAGGUUCAUCGACCUCAACCUAAAAGAGCAAAAUAUGCCACAAUUAAAUUGAUGCAUUGGUCCAAUAAAAAAUAAUUAACAAAGGAAGAGCAUUCACCUCUUUUGUGUAACCUUUCUCUUGCCAAGUAUAAAUAGGGAAGGAAACAAACUGUGAGUAAUUCUUCACAAGUUUCUGAAUCUUCUCAGGGUGUGCGAAACCCUUGUCCUCACGCUGAAACAAUACCAAGAAUUGUAGUUAGAAACAGGUCAUGUAUAAAAUGAGUUGGAUGAUAUCAAAAUAAGCAAAUAGACCUUAAGGUACAGAGUAAGGCGAGUUCCCCUAGGAAGGAGCUUCUCUGGGUCUGUCUCCUCUCUAAUGGUGUAAGAACUAGAUUCUGCCUCGCCUUCCCAAACAUAUUGCUUGUCAGAUUUUGGGCUCUUAGUUGACACUGCAACCUAUUAGACAAAAUAAAUAAUAUUCAUGAAAUAUUAACAUGUCAGCCAAGGACAAUGGGAAAUAAACACUAGGUCAUUAACAGCCAGCUAUUAACCUUCUAAUUAAAGACAAUCACGAUAGCAUCUUACCUUAUCAGAAACAAGAAACGCAGAAUAGAAUCCAACACCAAAUUGACCAAUCAAGUUGCUGUCAACACCAGCCUCUUGGCUCUCCUAUUAUAUAAUAAUACUUAAGAUUAGUAAUAUGACAGGAUAAGAAACAAAGAAAAAUAAGGACAUGAAGGUAACAUCAGCAAAGUGCAAAUGGAACACACCUUUAGUGCCUUAAGGAAUUUGGCAGUUCCACUGCUCGCUAUAGUUCCAAGAGAAUCAACAAGUUCUUGCCUCGUCAUACCAAUCCCAGUAUCACUAAAGAUAAAAAGGAGCAAAUGCAGGCAUGAGUUUGCAAGAAAGGAGCCACAUAAUUGAUCAAGUAACUAAUACUUACGUGAUUGUUAUUAUUCCAUUCUCCUUAUCUGUUUGGAUGCGAAUGUCAAGACCAGCACCAUCCUUUAUAAGAUCAGGAUCAGUGACACUAAGAUACCGCAACUUAUCAAGUGCAUCACUUGCAUUGCUGCAAACAGAUACACGAUGAAGAAAUUAAAAAAAAUUAAACCAUAGAGAUCAAACUAAACGCACAAGAGUAAACCAAGAUGAUGAUUAGUACAAACUUCAAUUAGUGAACAACUUAUGUUCUUGAAUGACACCCACCUGACAAGCUCUCGAAGAAACACCUCCUUGUUGCUAUACAAGCUGUGAACAAUCAAGUCCAUGAGCCUAUUGACCUGCCAUGCACAUUGGACAAUAUCAUGACACCGUUGGUAACACGAGAUUGAUUAAGAAAAAUAAAACAUUAGCCAUUGCUCCAGUAGUUACCUCUGCCUGGUACUCAUGCUUCUCCACAGGUGGCGUAUCAGAAGAAUCAACUGCUGCAGCACUCGAUUCAUAUCGCCUGCCAACAAGGGAACCCUCCCUCAGCUUGAGGGAGGCAGCAUUGUCGGUCCCGGUAAGCUUGGGCGCAGCAAGCACAGAGAGCAACCUCUUCUGAAGCUGAGGGACACCAGGCUCCCCAUUAAUCACCUGAGAAUCGGACGAUACAUGUGGGUUGUGAGUAUCACAUACAGAAGCUCAAAGGCUCGACUCAAUUCAAACAAUCAAUCAGACAGUAAAAAUCUAAUGAUUCCCCCAAUCGACUAUUAAAUAUCACAAUCAACAAGAUGAACUUAAACCAACGAAUUAGCUUGAAUUAACACACACCGCAAAAUUAACUCAAAUUGAUACCACGUAAUGGGCGAACAAGAGUACUAUACAGAUUAAGCACCACUCAAUUUCCGCUAAUUUGCGAUCACGACCAGCCCCCACAUUUUCCCUCUGAACCCGCAACCAGCCCGAAACAGCCGCAGCCGUAGAGAAAGUCAAGGCCGGAGAUGGCACGUACCGAGCGUGGGGGCGCCGAGGAAGACGAGACGGAGGAAUCCCCGGAAACGGCGGAGGCGACGCCGGCGGCGGCGCGGCGGCGUGACCCGGCCGCCGCCGCCGCCGCGGCGGUGCAGACGGAACGCCUCGAGGCCCCGAGCAUCUCCUCCGCUACUCCUACCACCGAGGAGGGGGAGCGGGAGAGCUACCGUGGAUUCGCCGAGGGGAGACAGCAACGGCGGCGGCGGCGGCGACGGCGAGGCGAGGGUUUUGGGGGCGGCGGUAGGGUUUUUGUGGGGGCGGCGCGACGGAGGACGGAGGCGUAUAAAUGGCGUGCGCCUUGCGGAGCAAGAAGAUGGGGGGUUACUACGGGUCACUGACCUUGUGGCCCCACCGCGUGGGCCCCACUGUCAGUGAGAGGGCGGACGAGUGGCCGAGGGUUUUUGGGGGGAGAAGGUUCUGGAUUGGCUCGUCGCGGAGAUGCUAGGUGCACCUGCGGUAAAGUCCAGCGUAACUGUUUUGAGACGAUGACAUGUGGGGUCCACCCCGUGGGAGAAGGUUCCAGAAUCCAGAAGGCUAGCAAGAGGAGGAUUACGGCUGACAAGUGGGCCUGCUUUUAAUGCGGCCCACCUGUCAGUCACUGCACACCUCUUGCUUGGAUACGGCAGAAGGUUCUGGAUACACGUGUACUCCUGCUACAUUGUACAGAUACAAUGUACACGCCCAAGGGCCAGGUCUAGAUACAUAUAACCACCAGGGAUAUCUUUUUCAUAACAAAGACAUCAGUAAAAUUUAUACAAAUGAUAAAUUUUACAGAAGUAUUCCUAAUGGAAGUUUUAGUGAUGCGGUUCUCCCUUGUUCAUGUAAAUUGAAAAGUAUCAAUGAUGCAAAGUUUUUGAGUGAUUGACCAGACAGAUUCUAAUUCUACAAUGUCAUCAAAUAAAAGAAAUGUUGGAAGUAGUAGUGUUUUUUUUUUUACCAACACCAAAUAAAACAUCUGCAUUUUCUGCAGAUUGAUCAAGAUCUCUAGGGGGAUCAAUCUUUCACAAGAUAAAAAUACCUACUAGAACAAGCUCAGACUGACUUGCAAGCAGCAGAAACUUUUAAGGGGAACCAUCUGCACAAUAUAUGUAUCUUGUUUGUCUACACCAAGGUUACUAUUCCAAACCCUAUAUAUCAUGAUUAAAACAGAUCAAGAAAAAAAAGGAUAAGAGGACCGGUUGAACAUAGUAGAGCAGCAUACUUCUGCUCUUCACAGCAAAAGACCUUUCAUAUCACUGGGAACUAGCACACCAACGGUGUGCGGUUGCAGUGCCGCCUCCACCAAGAGGAGCUGGAAGGCGGGGUAGAACGGCGAAUGCGCAAAGAUUUGAGGCGGUGGAUGGGUACUAGGGCUCCAGCUUCAGGGAGACGACUCGGGACUGCCGGUUCCGCUUGGCCGCCCUCACGAACACCACCGAUAGGCAUGACGGCGCCCACCAUGGCCUGCGGACUUCUUGCUCCCCUUUCAGGCAGGCCACUGGAGAUUAGAUUUUGCAGGCGUCAGGUAAAUAAACAUUCAGUGCCAAAACACCAACCAAUUGAGCAGUUAGAAGUACAUAUCAAUAUCUGUGUGCAAUCAUGGCAUCUUAAACUGUCUACAAGAACCAAAAGAGAAAGAAAGAACUCUUCAAAGAAUGCCGAAAGUUUGCAGACUUGUAUGGCAAGUUCAUUAAUCCAUCAGACAAGUUCAAUGGUGUAACAAGGGUGUAUUUCUAGAUUCAGUCUUACAUAUUGGUCUACAAUACCCAUCAGUGCCAUGCUAGAAUCCAAAAGUAGAUCGAAGUGAUGGUAAGGAUGGGACCAGAUCCAAUCACAAUCACCUUUUGCUAAUUUGCCAGUAUCCCAAUUAUCCCCAAGUGCUUGUGCAACGAUGUUGUUCGACAUAAUCAACCAACAUUCCAAAGAUAUCCAUUCAUAAUUAGCAAAACAUGCAGCAUAAUUCAAAGUACUAUUGACGCGGACCAGAUCCAAUCACAAUCACCUUUUGCUAGUAUCCUCAUCCCCAUUAUUCCUAAAGUGCUUGCACAAUAAUACUAUUCGGCAUAAUCAUCCAUUCAGCCAACAUUCCGAAGAUAUGUAUUCAUAAUUAACCAGGCACACAGCAUGUUUUGAGGUAAUAUUGAUGCUUAGUCAAAGUUGACUUUUGAAUAAUGCAAUAUAUGUUGAUAAUUGGAUCAUGGUUUUUUAUCUAUUUGUGCUUCAUAUUUACAUCAAAACAAAAUAAAAGGAAUCAAUUUGCAUAGCACCAUCAAAAACUUUUGAGGGGUAAAAGUUAAAACAGUGACCUUCAACCACUUCAAUCAACUAGUAUUUUGAUUGGUUUCGAAUUUGACAUAAAGCAUGGCAUUAGUGAAAGGAAAAGAGAAUUUGAUUAUGACGACUGCUUGGCACAUCAUAAAAUCAAAUGAGAAACAAAAGGUAAAAUAUGUAGCAGCAAAAUGCUUUUAGAGUAGUAGAAAUGUGUUAUGGUUAUUCCUUCGUACUAAAGGCUAAGGCACAGAAAUAUACAAACCUUUGAUGCGCCUCAACUCUUUGCACAAUGUAAUGAAAUCUCCCCAUUUCAUAUGGCACCUCCUGAUAAACCGCAGAAUCUGUUCUGUAGUAAACAUCGACAGGCUUUCAAGAUACUCUCCAUUGACACCGUUUUCCUCAAAAACUUGCCUGUAGCUGCCAAGGUUUAUCUCUUCAAGCCAUAAUCCAACAUCCUGAAAGAGAAUUGAUAAUCUUAGGUAAAUAUUAAGCACCUUGAGGUAACAUGCCCUUUCGAUCAUGCACAUGACACUAACUGCUAUAUGUUCAAAACUGCGAAUAGGUAAAUAUCAAGUUAGUCAGUUAGAACAAAAACAGAUUGCCAAAACAUAAGGAUCAAAUGAAAACACUAUUUCAGAGUAAAUAUCACCGCGUGAUGAGAUCCUUAAAAUGAUUAAAUGAAACUAAGAUGCCCUUUUCAAUUUUACAGGAACCAAAACCCACAUAGAUAUGAAUGACAAAAAGAACAAAGAGCGAAAAGAGAAAGCAUAGGCACAUGAAAAUUAAAAGGCAUGGUAGAUAUGGUUUAAACAUUAUGCUAAACCUGCUUGUGUUAGAUAACACAUGCAACCCUUAUGAAAAGUUGUACUACCUCCGUUUCAGGUUAUAAGACUUUCUAGCAUUGCCCACAUUCAUAUAGAUGUUAAUGAAUCUAGGCACACAUAUAUGUCUAGAUUCAUUAACAUAUAUAUGAAUGUAGGCAAUGCUAGAAAGUCUUAUAAUAUGAAACGGAGGAAGUAUUCCAUUGUAAUGAAAGGAACAUUUCAAUUGAUGCACAUGAAAAUUCAAGUAUUAUUCACCACCGUCAAUGUGCCUCGAAACAGAUCCAUUUCAAUUCAAACCAAUCAGCCCGUCUUUUAUUUAUUAUAAUGCAUUUGGAUGAAUCUUGGAAAACUUUGGAUAGGCUGUACAGUGCAUGUACCUACAUAUGCAUGUGAAGAUACAUUGUUCAUGAUUGAGCACAGCUGUCCUCAACUUUAAAUGAUAAAUAAUACUCCCUCCGUUCCCAAAUAUAAGCAUCUCUAAGUUUCAAUUAUUGUACACGAUAUAAGCAUUUCUAGGAUACUGAUUCCAAUGCAUGGGAAUCUAGCCAUUUUUCAACCAAUCAGGUGCUUAGAAAGGUAAUCCAAGCAAUUCAAAUCUGACACUGAUGUGACUGAAAGGGAAUCUUUUACCUCAACCUUAGUAUUUGCUAAACAAACUUGAAAUGCUAAUAUUUAGGAACAGAGGGAUUAAUACUUUAGAUGGUUAGUGACAAAGAUAUUUAUGGAGAACCAGCUCACCACAUGAGUUAGCUGCUUGUAAAUCUCUCUCUUGUUUAAAGUUGAGCGCAAUUUCAGCCAACAGAGCAAUACUCAACCAAGUAAUACUAAACAUAUCUUGAGUUCGACAAGAGUUAAAAUCUGGUCUGGGCUGCUCCUCAUCAUGAAUUAAACUUGGGCUAGCCUUCUAGGUUAGUCCUUAAUCAAACUUUGUCUUAGCAGGGGCUAUGUUGGAGGUUCAGGUUGCUACAAAUUUAGCAGGGCUUGAACUGAAUUGCACAUAGGCCCAAUUUCUAACAAGAUAAAAUCCGAACUAUUGCACUGCAAUAUUUACAAUCAAACUAGUUAUCCUUUGUUUAGGCGUUCUAGCUCAAGAUAAGAGGUAAUAUAUGCAGUCAGACAGUAUAUAGAUGUCUAAAAGGUUGCAUUUAUGCCCAUUGCAACACAAAUCAGUAUCAUACAAUGGAUGUAUUAUCCCAUAUUGUGCCAAAAAAGUAUAUUAUAUUCGCGAUUGUAAUACAAAGCAAAAGAGCGCCCCAGUUAACUGAACUUAAUGUAACAGCAUUCACUAGGCCAACGAAAAGCUCGCAAACAAAUGCAUGAAACACAUGUAUCUUGUAUGGUCUGAUGGUUUUCCUUGCACCCCAGCACAAUGGCAUCAACACAAUAGAACCCAUCACAAGCUUUAUAAAGCUAAACGAUCAAUGAUUUACUGAAUGACAAGUGCAAAACAAGUGAAACCUCGAACAAAAGCAUAAGAUAUGCAGGAAGUACAGGGAACUUUAUUACAAAAUCACAUAAAAGAUUUAUACUAACCGCAGUAACCGCUUAUGAACUGCCUACGAAAAAGUCUGGCAAUUAACAGCAUAUAAAAAAUGUACCUCCAAAUUUGGCCCCCACGAGUCCACCCUCAAAUCCGAACAAGCAAUCUACUAAAGCUAAGAACUGACUGAACAACUGCAAACUGAAAGACCAAUCAUAUCAAAUGUUCCCCCCCAAUCCCCUACCAAAAAAUUCCCCCGAACUAAAGCCCCACCUAGCUGAAAUGCGGCGACGAGAGAGCCCCUAAAUUUCCGCGAAAUCAGCAUCCAAAACACAAAUUAGUCGGUGGAGAAAAUCAGAAAAAGAAGAAGAAGAAGAAGAAGAAGACGGGAGGGAGUCCACAGGUGAGCGUACCUCGACUGUCCAGAUGAAGAAAUCCAGCGGCUCCGGCGACCGCCCCCGGCUCAUCUCCCUACUCGGCUCCUCCCCGCCAGCAAAUCCCCCUCCCCUGCACACACACACACACAGAUCAGCCAACUCACUCCCCAACCGAAAGAUUCCCCCAAAAACAAGAACCAACCCCCGAAAGCUACCGUUUCUUGGAUCCAACCAGCGACCCCGAUCUCCCCGGAAGGAGGAGCACUGCCGCCGCUCCCCGCAGCCGCUCCGGUGGCAGAGCUACCUCCUCUCACUCUCUCUCCUCUUGAUGGGAGCGCGCGGGGGGGAGUGGAGGAGGGGAUCGCGGGGAGGUGGAGACGAGUGGGGAGCUCGGGAGGGUGACAGAUGCAAGCCACUGUGAAAAAAGGAGGAAGAAAAAAGCACAGAAAAAAUGAAAAAAAGAAAAAGGAUUUUGUGGUGGGGCCUGCUGGAUGGGAGGGUACUUGUGCAGAUGGGACCCUGAGGUUUUGGAGUUUUACGUGACAGGGCCUCGUCUCACCUCUCAAAAGGUUUGCGUCGCCACCGAGAGUCCCAUCGGUUUGACCUAAUAGUCGAAGAAAAAAAAGCUAAAUUUUAAUAUUUUUUUAACUUGAUUUCAAAGUUAACUUUUAGAUAUUUUCAACGUAUUUUUUAACAUUGACUUUUAAGUUGGCACGAGCAAAUAUAUAAAAGUUUUACCUACAAAUUAAUUUUUAUUUCUUAAGUCGUUUUGGCUUAUUAGGAAAUAUAGAUAACAUAUGAUGCUAUAAUUUCUUUCACAUGUCGCCUUUCGUUUUUAAAGAAUCAAAACACAUCACGCGGUAUCGAUGUGAUUAGAUUAAGAUAAUCAUGAUUGAAUCUAUGAAGAAUUUACAUCAUCAAAUUUCCAGUUAAAAAGUCUGAAAAUCAGUGUACAGUGUGAUUAUAUAUGGCUUAAGUUUAAUCAUUUUAGAAUUUAAAGGAUUAUAAUUCUAUAAGAAAAUUUUCUACAAAAACAUUUGAAAUAAAAGAUUAAAUCCUAUCAUACCUUUCAAAUUUAAAUGAAAUAGACAAUCUUAUAAAGAUUUUAUAAAGGAAAGUUAUCAAGAGCUCCAAUAUUUUAUAAAAUUUUCUUUGAGUUUAUUUCUCUUAUUUUAUUUCUGUGUUUUUCAUACAACCUAAUCAAACGAAUAUUUAUGUGUCUUGCAAUCCUCUGAUUCAUACUUAUAUUUCUACUAAAAUCUUUUUUUAUAUUGUUCUAUUUUUUUUUUCAAAUCAUCUAUUUGAAAGAGCCUAAAAGAUCCGGUGGCAUUAGGCGGAUGGAUAUAUGGUUAGACAAAAUAAACAAACUGACAUAUCAUCCGAUUCGUACUUUGGGGACCUAUCAUUUUGGUUGUACCCUAGGGACUUUAUCUUGCCGACACGAUGCUAAUUAAUAGCUCAUUUGAUAGUUGUUUGAUAUGUUGUCAUUAUGCUUCUGUAGUAACAGCGUGACGCAAUUCUUUCGAUGAUCAGUUGGUUAAGGACUUAUAAAAAUGUUAUUCAACAAAUGUGAUACAUAUUUCACUAUCAAUAAUAUAAAGCACGCUUUUAGGAGAUAUCAUACCAUCAUAGUAUAUAUAUUUGCUAAAGCUAGCUAGUACUGUAGCUAGCUUGGGAAAUUUCUCUCACGGCUUUAUUGGCUUUUUAGCCAUAUUGCAAGUAUGAUUAGGACAUCUGUGAGUUUUCGUAGAUGAAAUUAUGUCAUUCUUGCCGUUAGGAUUCUACAUCGCAUCAGCUUUAUGAGUUUUUUUUUAAGAAGGGUAUCAGCUUUAUGAGAUAUAUAUUCGAUUCUUAUCGUCCUAUCUUGUCCAUGUCACCAAUAUGUUUGAAAUCUUACAUAUAAACUCCCUAUUUACGGACCAGUAUUUUUCAGCACUACUAUUCAUCAAUUUUCUAGCUAUUGAUCAUCCCUCACAUCCUCUUUUUCCUACACAAUAAACUUUUAGCAAACUCGUUCACUCGUUUAUUAUCCACAACUAAAUUUCGAAUUUUAAAAGUUGAUUUUGGAGUAGAUUUGUUUUUUCACAGUAGUCUAUUUUUCAGUAUUAGCAUUCAAACCGCUAACAGAUAUGUAAAAAUAUUAUACAUAAAUAUUUGAUGGUUGCUUCGUUAGUUUUCUAGGGCUUAUCGGUCCACAAUUAAAGCCAAUAUAUGUAAAGUACAAAUCAAUAGGCAAAAUUUGCCAAAAGAUAUCGUGACUUUAACGGUGCAUAUCCUGCAAGUAAAGCUGCGAAAUCAUGAUUUUCGUAGCAAAAUUCGCCAAAUCAAUAUGGACUCUCAAGGCUUCAAACACAUAGCUAAGUAUUGGUUGCUCUGUCAUAGAUCAGAACUAGCAUCCCAUGGUAUUAAAUUUGUGACAUGUUUUUCCGAGAUAUUCCAACAUUUAUCGAUUACAAAUUAUGUUUGAAAUAUACAUGAAUACUCUGAUGUUUUCUACUGGAUAUAAAUUAAUUCCACUAAAUCAUGUACUUCCUCCUUAACCCUAUGUGGUUUGAUCAUGAAAAUGUUACGUUUUUUUUUUAUCGAGAACACCAUCCCAACUAGUCCAGAUCAAACACACAAGAAUCCCACUUGUUUUAUCCAUCGAGAAACAUGUCCAACAUGCUUGGAACAGUUCACAUCUUUUCAAGAGCACAAACAGGCGCUAUCUACACACAAAAAAGGAGUAUGUGAAAAAUAUUUUAGGAUUUGCAAUCUGCUCAUCAGCAUGCUGCAUGCAGCCCUGCACCGAUGUUCGGGAGAGUAGGUCUCCGAAACCAUCAACUUCUACAUCAUGCAUCUGGAGAGGGAGAAUUUUGUCAAUUAUGUUUGAUAUGUCCAUGUACUCCAUGUGUAGAAUAUACUUACAUGAUAUGAUUGUGAUAGUUGAUCUUCACGUCGUCAUGAUUUAUUUAUUAAAUAAAACAAAUCCAUAUGAGCUUACAUUACAUUUCCAACAUAUAAAUUAUUGAGGACUUAAGGCGUCGAAAGAUAGCCGAGUAUUGGUUCUUAUGGUUAUCAGCCGCAAAUCACAAUUACUUCCUCCGUUUCACAAUGUAAGACUUUCUAGCAUUGCCCACAUAUAUAUAUAUAUAUAUAUAUAUAUAUAUAUAUAUAUAUAUAUAUAUAUAUAUAUAUAUAUAUAUGUUUAGAUUCAUUAACACAUAUAUGUAUGUGGGCAAUGCUAGAAAGUCUUACAUUGUGAAACGGAGGAAGUACAUCUUAUGGUAUAGCUACAUGCUCCUUAAAUAUAUUCCAAUAUCAAUCGGUGACAUUUGAAAUUAUCUUUGAAACAUACGUCUAACUUAUUUUUUGGGUUUCUCUUCAAAAUUAACUCGAGUAUAUAUCAUACAUUCUCCUUAUCCCUAUGUGUGAUUUGCUAAUUAAAAAAAGCACCACAGUAUGUUUUUCUCCUAGAGAACACCAACCCAGCUAGUAACUAGUUCCAAAUCAAAUAGUAGAUGAUAACCCCCACUUGUGUUAUCCAUCGAGAAACAUGUCCAACUUGCUCGGAAGAAGAACGGUUCACAUCUUUUCAACAACACAAAAGGGCAAGGCAACAGUGCAACACUCGCCAAAAACGGUUUUUAAUUAAAAAGUAAUAAAAAACAUUUUUAACCGAAGAGCCGCCACCGAAUAGCGCCGUACUCCACCCGGCCGCAGAGAAUCCCCGCCGACCCAGUCCCGGGCCCACCUGCAGUCACAGCCACCCCCCUCACUUGGAUUUACCAGAAAAUUUUACCCCAUGGAUCAUCCGUAUUCCCUGAUAUGCCAAGAUACUGUUUGUUUCAGUUUAAGAUUAUUGUAAUCUAGAUUAUUAAAUCAGAUUACUCUAAGCUAGAUUAUAAUAAGCUGACAUAGAAUAAGUUGUGAGUUGUUUGUUUCUUUGGAUUAUUAGAUGCAUCUAAGGGUAGUGGGUCUUCAGCCACUCAAUAAUCUGAAAAAAACCUCCUCUAGAGGAGAUUAUUGGAUUAUACUAAUCUGGCUAUAGAUUAUAAUAAUCUAGCAUAAUAAUCUACUUGUUUGUUUCAGUUACUCCUUGUCAGGGUUACAGGUUCGGCAUACCCUUUACCCUUCGAUAUACGUUACAUAUCGAUAUAGCAUACUCACGCGCACGCGGAUAUUUCCUGUAAGGAAACCUUUCACGAAAUCUACAGAUGGGAAGAAUCCUACUCGGACAGAACUGGGUCGUUGACGUAUCGUAUAGGGUCUGAUACCUCCGAGUUCUACUUAGAGACCUCUAGAUCUGCGAUAUAAAAGGGACCCCCGGGGAGGGCAUAGGACAUUGAAUCUCAGAGCCAACACAACCCACACAGCCUACGAAGCCGGAGUCUACGAAGAGCCAAGUCAUCGAGAGUAAGUCGAACCAACUCGACUACAAUCUCGCCGGAUCUGAUAAGUUCCAUCGUUCCCUUUGUAACCUGUGUUUUCCACCAUAUAAUCCCAUACCAACUGGAUUAGGGCUAUUACCUAUCAAGGGGCCUGAACUAGUAUAAUUCUUGUCUUUUGGUUGCUUGAUGUCGUACUACGUAGAUCCUUGUACCAACGUACCCCAAUACCCUCUAUACCCGGUCUACGGGUAUCACCCGUCGAUAGUGGCGCGCCAGGUAGGGACACUUGGUACUCAAGGUUCUACUACUAUGUCAUCCAGCUUCGUCGACAACAACGUCAACACCAGCCUCAGCCAAGUACUCCCUGCUUCAACAAUGCUGGUAUGGACUCAAGUUGGCGAAAUCGUCUUCCCGGUUUACACCACGACGCUGAUCUCAACCGGUCCCCCAAUGACCGGAAACGAGAACGCAGUGGCUACGAACCAAGGCGACUCCAUGUCGAAAAAUCCUCCCGUUGAAACGAAGAACGGAACAUCGACAACAUCCAAGCUCGAGAAGGAUUCUGAUACGGUCAAACCUUGUCUUUCCGACAUGAACCGCGAGCCGACAAAGAUGACUUCCGAAGCCACAAGGUCUUGGUGUCCUAUCCACAAAACCAAGAAACACACUCUGCAAGAUUGCUGGGUUUUCCUCAACGUCUGUGCUGAAAUUCGCGCCUGCAAAGAACGUGGAAUUCAGCGCACUUCUCCAACUCGGGAUGUCUAUUGUCCUAUUCACAAGACAAAGAAUCACGACCUCUCGAGCUGCAAAGUCUUCCUCGGCGCCAUGAAAGCUCCAUCUCCUAAGUCAUAUGCCCCCAUCAGGGAUAACGGCAAGGAACAAGGAGCAACUCCAACCUCAGAUCGAUUCGUUGGGGUAAUCGAUAUCGAUCCUCACAAACCAUCGGUCUUACAUCUUCUCGAGGACUAUGGGUCAUCGAUAACGAGCGCACCGCGGGAGGUAUUGGCUAUCGAUGACGUUGGCACGUCAGCGCACGCCAACGCAGAAGCGGCAAAUCAAUCGACUACACCAGCCCAACACAUCAGGGCCGUUCAAGCUAUACUGAGGGAAACUCCUUACGAUCCCGUUCUGAACGAUGACCUCGAGUGUUGGACAGAACGACUACGGGAAUCUGUGACUAACCUCAGCAAUGCGUUUGAAGAAGCCGCUACCGCAGCACACCAGGAGCAGCCACCAACUGGCGAUGCCAAUGGUGAAGAUCCGUAACAGAGGGAAUCCCCUCAACGAGCUACCCCUCCACCUCGCGGCACUGGCGAUCUUCGAGAUCAAAUCAACGGCCGCCGAGAAGCACGACUCACACGAGACAACGUGGAUCGCUCUCGGCGUCAUGUCUCCUCACGGCGCCAUGAUAACGGAAAUCGAGGAGACCGCUCAAACGAGGACCGGGACCACGACAACCACCACGAUCGCAACGAUCGCGAACGACGGGGGCCAGACAAUACUGGUCAUGGCCGCGCCGUAACGACGAUGAUGAUGGAGAUCGGUGCCGAGACAACAGCGGGAGACGACGACAGGAUUCCCGAGAUCCAGGCCGUCAUCCUCAUAAUCGUACGUCGGAACCAAGUGACCCAUCGUCAUCGUCAUCAUCAGCGUCCUCCUCAUCGUCAGACAGACAUCCACGAAAGACACACGACCGCCGACAACCCACCGCCCCCAACGCUGGGUGUAGGGCUUUCGGUCGUUCCCUACGUGAUGUCCGAUGGCCUGAGAGAUUCCGACCCGGAGCAAUAGAAAAGUAUGAUGGGAGCACCGACCCAGAGGAGUUCCUUCAAGUCUACUCCACAGUACUUUAUGCUGCCGGAGCAGACGACAACGCGUUAGCGAACUAUUUACCAACCGCAUUGAAGGGUUCUGCACGUUCAUGGCUGAUGCAUAUUCCUCCCUACUCAAUCUCUUCGUGGGCAGACCUGUGGCAACAAUUCGUCGCCAAUUUCCAAGGAACAUACAAGCGCCACGCGAUCGAAGACGACCUACACGCGUUGACACAAAACUCGGGUGAAUCAUUGAGGGAAUAUGUUCGACGUUUCAACGAGUGCAGAAACACAAUUCCUGAAAUCACCGACGCUUCUGUAAUUCGUGCCUUCAAAUCCGGUGUCAGAGAUCGCUACACUACCUAGGAGUUGGCGACAAGACGCAUCACAACCACUCGGAGAUUAUUCGAGAUCGUCGAGCGAUGCGCCCACGCGGAUGAUGCGCUAAGGCGCAAGAACGACAUGCCGAAGACCGGGGGGAGUGAAGAAACCAGCCACAGACGCAUCUGAGUCAAGCAAGAAGAAAAAUCGCAAAAAUGGGAAAAGGAAAGCUCAAGCGGAAGUCCUCGCAGCAGAAUACGCGAACCCUCCCAAGCGCCCAGACCCACAAGGCAGCGACACAAAGAAAUCAUGGUGCCCCAUACACAAGACGGACAGACAUUCUCUAGAAGAUUGCCUUGUUUUUAAAAAGUCGCUCGAGAAGCACAUGGCAUUUGAAAAAGGCAAGCGAGUACGUGUUGUCGAGAAGAACGAAGAGACGGCUCCUAAUGAAUCGGAUUCAGCGUAUCCAGACUCCGACCUCCACGUCUCACACAUCUUCGGCAGUUCUACAACGUACUCCUCCAAACGAGAAUACAAGAAAGUGGAACGUGAAGUCUGCUCCACAUGGCAGGGGGCUGCACCCAAGAUGAAGUGGUCUGAGCAGAAGAUAGAGUUCUCGGAAGAAGACCACCCCAAGACCGCCGUUAUCCCAGGACGAUAUCCAAUCAUGGUCGAACCCACCAUUCGGAACAUCAAGGUAGCGCGAGUUCUCAUCGACGGGGGCAGCUCAAUCAAUCUUCUCUUCGCCAGCACUUUGGACGCAACGGGAAUUCCGCAAAGCGAGUUGACACCAACUGAUCAACCCUUCCAUGGAAUUACUCCCCAAUCAUCGUCCAGACCUUUGGGCAAGAUUACGUUGCCCGUGACUUUCGGCCAAGCCAACAAUUUCCGAACAGAGCAGAUUACCUUCGAUGUCGUUGAAUUCGAUACAGCUUGCAACGCCAUCAUCGGGAGAACUGCACUUGUGAAGUUCAUGGCCGCAUUUCACUACGUGUAUCAAGUGCUCAAGAUGCCGGGACCGAAGGGAACAAUCACUAUUCGGGGGAACGCAAAGCUAGCGGUGCAGUGUGACAAGCGGAGCCUCGACAUGGUCGAGCAAACGCCCAGCCCAUCCGCCACGACUGAGCCACCCAAGAAAGUGAGCAAGACAAACAAGACGCCGAAGCCGGACGGCGCCAUCAAGGUCGUUCCACUCUCCAGUGCCAACCCCGACAAAACCGUUAAGAUCGGGGCGACACUAAACGAGAAAUAGAAACUCGCGCUCAUCACCUUCCUCCGCGAUAAUGCCGACGUGUUCGCUUGGCAGCCGUCCGACAUGCCGGGGGUCCCCAGGAAGGUGAUUGAGCACAAACUCAUGGUACGACCCGAUGCCAAGCUAGUAAAGCAAAGACUGCGGAGAUUUGCACCAGACCGAAAACAAGCCAUACGAGAAGAGCUUGACAAACUUCUCAAAGCUGGCUUCAUCAGAGAAGUACUUCAUCCAAAGUGGCUAGCCAAUCCAGUCAUGGUGCGGAAGGCCAACGGAAAAUGGAGAAUGUGUGUCGACUUCACCGACCUCAACAAGGCGUGCCCCAAGGAUCACUUUCCUCUCCCUCGAAUAGAUCAACUGGUGGAUUCAACAGCCGGUUGCGAGCUAUUGAGCUUCCUCAACGCUUACUCUGGCUACCACCAAAUCAGCAUGGCAAAAGAGGACGAAGAGAAGACAGCAUUCAUCACGCCGUUCGGAGUAUUUUGCUAUGUUAAGAUGCCGUUCGGACUGAUAACCGCCGGGAAUACUUUCCAGCGCACGAUCCAGGGCGCACUUAGCGACCAGCUUGGCAACAAUGUCAAGGCUUACGUCGACGACAUCGUUGUCAAAACCAAGACAGGCGACUCAUUGAUUGACGAUCUAUGGGAAACGUUCGACAACCUUCGACGAUAUCGCCUCAUGCUCAAUCCUGAGAAGUGCACGUUCGGAGUACCGUCGGGCAAGCUACUCGGAUUCCUUGUCUCUGGCAGAGGAAUAGAAGCAAAUCCCGAGAAGAUCAAAGCAAUUGAGAACAUGAAGUCGCCCACAAGACUCAAGGAGGUACAAAAGCUAACCGGAUGCAUGGCAGCGCUAAGCAGGUUUGUCGCCAGGAUGGGAGAACGAGGAUAACCUUUCUUCGCCUUGCUGAAGAAACAAGACAAAUUUGUAUGGACACGGGAAGCCGAAGAGGCAUUCAUUGCACUCAAGCGCUACCUAUCAAACCCCCCUGUACUUGUUGCUCCCCAACCUAAUGAAGAAUUAUUCCUCUAUAUUGCCGCCACGCCAUAUUCCGUUAGCACUGUCAUUGUUGUCGAGAGAGAGAAGUACAGCGACCAGUUUAUUACAUCAGCGAAGCUCUCCAUGAUGCAAAGACAAGAUACCCACAGAUCCAAAAGCUGCUUUAUGCAGUCAUUAUGACAUCAAGGAAGCUGCGCCACUACUUUCAAGCCCACAGUGUCACAGUUGUCUCCUCUUGCCCCCUUGGCGAAGUUGUGAGAAACAAAGACGUUGUCGGCCGCAUUGCGAAAUGGGUAGUCGAGCUGAGCCAGUUUGAUGUCCACUUUGUACCACAAACAGCCAUCAAGUCCCAGGUACUCGCCGACUUCGUCGCCGAUUGGACUAUGCCAGAUAACAAAUCAGAUAACCAAGGCGACAACGAAACAUGGACAAUGGCGUUCGAUGGCGCACUCAACAGCCAAGGAGCAGGGGCAGGAUUUAUCUUGACGUCUCCCUUCGGAGAUCAAUUCAAACACGCAAUCCACCUCAACUUCAGGGCAACCAAUAACACUGCAGAAUACGAAGGAUUACUCGCCGGGAUACGAGCCGCAACUGCACUUGGGGCCAAGCGACUAAUCGUCAAAGGGGACUCCGAGCUAGUCGCGAACCAGGUGCACAAAGAUUAUAAAUGCUCUAACCCCGAGUUAUCCAAGUAUCUCGCAGAAGUCAGGAAGCUAGAGAAAAGGUUCGAUGGGAUCGAGGUCCGACACAUCUACCGCAAGGACAAUGUCGAGCCAGACGACCUAGCACGACGCGCGUCCAGACGAGAACCGCUCGAGCCCGGUACUUUUCUCGAUAUCCUGACGAAGCCAUCGGUGGAAAAGGUUAGCGACGAAGAUAGCCCGAACACCCCCGACAUUGGCUCGGAGGUCACCGAGGCAGAACACGCCGUUGCCGACAUCGAAACCACAGACGACUGGCGCAUCCCACUAAUCAAAUUCAUUAGCAGCGAGGAGUUGCCCGAGGACGAUACAGAGGCCGAGAAAAUAACCCGUAAAGCAAAGAUCUACUGUAUGAUCGGCAACGAUCUAUACAAAAAAGCGCCAAACGGGGUACUUCUCAAAUGCGUCUCUACCGACGACGGCAGACACCUCCUCCUCGACAUACAUGAAGGCAUAUGUGGGUCACACGCCGCUGGUCGGACAUUGGUCGGCAAAGCUUUUCGACAAGGCUUUUUCUGGCCAACCGCCCUUAAAGAUGCAUGCGACAUGGUCCAGCGAUGCGAAGCCUGUCAAUUCCACAGUAAACACACAAAGAUACCCGCACAAGCGCUCCAGACUAUCCCUCUGACUUGGCAGUUCUCAUGCUGGGGGCUAGAUAUACUCGGGCCAUUCCCACGAGGACAGGGCGGCUACAAAUUCCUAUUCGUGGCGAUCGACAAAUUCACAAAAUGGAUCGAAGCAGUACCCACGGGGGAAAUCAAGGCCGACAACGCCAUCAAAUUCAUCAAAGGGAUAUUCUGCAGAUACGGACUACCGCACCGCAUCAUAACCGACAACGGCUCCCAGUUCAUCAGCGCUGAUUUCCAGGAUUACUGCAUCGCCCUGGGGGUCAAAAUAUGCUUCGCCUCGGUCUCUCACCCUCAAAGCAACGGACAAGUCGAGAGCGCAAACGACAUAGUACUACAAGGGAUGAAAACCCGCGUCUACGACAGGCUCAUGUCACACGACAAAAAGUGGGUUGAAGAACUCCCGUCAGUACUAUGGGCCGUACGCACCACACCGACAACGUCCAAUAAGGAAACACCCUUCUUCCUCGUGUACGGCUCUGAGGCCAUGCUCCCCGGCGAGCUACGACACCAGAGUACACGAGUAUAGAAGUACUCCGACGAGAACCAGGAGGAGCAGCGAGACAUCGAUGUAAAUCUUCUCGAGGAGCAUCGUGAACGAGUUGCCGUUCGAGCAGCCAGCUAUCAACAGGCCCUCCGCCGUUAUCACGAGAAGCGUAUCCGAGCACGCAUACUUUCGAUCGACGACUAUGUCCUCAGACGAGUUCAAACCCAAGCAGGGCGAAACAAACUCUCACCAAAAUGGGAAGGACCUUACAUGAUCACACAAGUCUUGCGGCCAGGCGCAUUCCAAAUCGCAGACGGCGACGGUCGCGAAUUAGCAAAUUCUUGGAACAUUGACCAACUAUGUAAAUUCUAUGUAUGAGUCAAUACCACCGUACCUGUAAGUACCCUUAUAGUAUCAAUAAAGCCUAUAUCUAGGCCCAUAUCACAAUCAAUGUGUUUUCGCCUGAUGAUCCCUUACUCUGAUGACACCUAGCGUUGAAACCUGCCCUUAUGUCCCUUUAUGCCGUCUCGACAAGGCCUGCGAGGAACCUAAGGGAUCUUCGGCUGGGGACGCCCAGAGCCGAUAAGGCCUUGUCAGAUCCUGUAGAGACGAAAGACCAUGUAAGAUCUGGUCGUGUAAGAGUUCUCGCCGUGCGUAUUAACCAAGCCGUGAAAUCGGAAAUCAAUUUUCCAACUUUACGACUGGGGGCUAGGAUCAGAGCUUAUUCAACCAAGGCAGGUCAAGGGUCCAAGAGCCUUAUCCUCCGAGAAAAUUCCCCCGACGACAAGGCUGGGGGCUAGGGAGAGUGUACGACUCAAACGGCUGACUAAAGUCGUUAACUGAGAACACACUGUUACACACGACAUCUAGAGUAAGAAACAUUUGUUAAAGAUAGAUUUCUUUAUUCACAAAGUACUUCUUACAGUUUUUACAUAAAUCUCUCGCUGCAUUACAUCUUUCCCUAAGAUAUUUGUCGCAGGGUACGAGUACUACCAAGAAGGCCAACGCCAGUUCAUAAACUGGAAGAUCUUCUCGGCCAAUGGCGACAUCGACCUCACCAGAUGGUCUAUCUCCGCCAGAGUUCUCUGAGAACGAGCAAAACCUUCGCGGAGAAAUUCGAGGUCCAGGCGCGGGCGGUGAUCUCGUAGGCAAGCCAGCACGUGUCCUCCGGCGUAUCAGCUCGCUCGACGACACUCAUGUUUCAAGGCCUCGUCGAUACGCUUGCCGAUGCCAUCGAGUUGGGCACAAGCCCCGUUCAGCCACGAGAUGUACCCGGCCGCCGACUCCUCGGGAUCACCGCGGACUACUCGAAGUUCCCUGCAUACUCUGGCCAUGGAGGUGCAGCAACUCUUCAAGUACGAGUUAAACCACACCUCGCGACCUCGGAGCGUUUCCACAGCCUGCUCUUUCUUCACGGCCAGCAUGGUUCUCUCGAGUUCCGCCACUUCAAACUUCGUCUUCCAGUAUUGGAUACGACGAUCUUGGCUUUCAAGGGCAUCCUCGAGAUCUGCUAAACGUGACAACCACUAAGACAAGCUGGAUACCUCUUUUGGAACAUGGAUGACCUAAUCAGGAGGUCACUAAGAGGUGAAGGGGCUACUCACUUGAGGUAGUCGUCGCUAUCCCGGCCUCCGCACCAAGGGUUUGAUCCACAUUGUCAGGCGAGAUGUGUGGUUCAAGCUCGAGUACCGGAAUUAUCGCCAGUGACUCGGGCUGCCCGCGCUGCUGGACAUCCUCGUCAUCAGCAUCUCUACAAUGGACAAAAGCUUCCGAGAUCAACAUACAAAACUAAACAAGGAUGGUAAUUGCACGCACGAAGGCGGUCAGAGUUCAAUUUUUACACAUUAUCUAACAAAUACAAGAAGUCCUACUCUUCAAAAAGGGGGAGAACAGACUCCCCCAGAUCACCGACUUCUUCCAUCACCUCCUUACGCGUGUUGCUUGCCGCCCCCUGAUCCAAGAUCUCGCGCAGAUCGAGUUCAGGAUGCGACAGCCUUACACACGCGAGGACAUGACACGCCCCGGUGUAGAUCCCGUUCGACGUCUCCUCCGCGAUCCUGGCUGCAUGCUUGGAGGGGAUCUCCCCCAUCGCCGUCGCCAGUUCCGCAAGGGAGGAGGUCAGAGAGAACUCAUCGGGAUUCACUGGGAUUGUGGACUCGAUGCCGCACUCCCCGGCGAGCUAGUGGAGUCCAGUGUAGGUGACCCGCAACGAGCCCCGGAUCUUGGACAGGUUGUUCCCGAGUUCCGACAUGCGGUCCUCGAGCCCCUUCCGUUGUCGCUCGUUGCCGGCCACCAGCUCCCUCAUUUUCGUGAGGUCUUCAUGGGCUUCAGCCAACUUGCGCACCAGUCGAUCAGCACGCGCGUUCACCGUCGCCGCCUCCGACCUCGCCUCCGCAAUCUCGCGGUCGAUGCCGCGAGCACCAGCUUCGAGGAGGCGCCCCAUCUCGACUUGGAGCUCCUCCCAGGUGAGGACGGCAGCUGGCAGACCACGACCUCCCGCAGGAUCGCUGACGGGGCCGCUAGGCGUCGCUUCCCGGCUCCCGGCUGCGGGCACGACAUCUGUCGAGGCCGCGGCAGGUGAUGUGCUGGAAGCUCCUCCAGACUUAGCUCGUGCAGCCUUCGCCCGCGCUUCCCUACGAACAACCACGGGUCAAACACCGCUCGAAUGAGAAGCACGGAAAUUCAGGAAUCUAUCUACUUACUUCUCGCCGAUCAUCACAAUGCGUUGUCGUCGUGGAGGUGGAGGAGACGCGUCCGAGGCCUGAAAGACAAUCAAUACAGAGUAAGGAAAAACCCUCCUUGCCGCAUGAUCUAAUGACAAGAUUAAAUUACCGAGGGGGUCGCUGCCUUGCGACGAUGUCCGAGUAUAGACGAGAAUUUCCUCGGCUUGGUCGGGACAUUGCCACCGCUAGUGGUGGCCGCGUCAGACGCCUCCUUGACAACCUUCUCCUUCAGAGAUGUCGCCACCUGAUGGUUCGCGAGCGGCCCGAUGAUGUCAGUCAAAGGAAGGGCCUAUGCUUAAUCAAGUCAUAAGGUGAUUUCGAAAGGAGGAAUGCAAGAUGCUUAUCGAAUACACUUACGUUGAUGGCUUCAUCGCGUUCCGUCGCCCCCUUUUCACAAAGGGGCACGGGGAUGUCACUCGCCGUGGUCGGGCCGCUGAUCAUCACUUGGCCGACGCGCCGCUCCACGACUUCGCUGCUCAGACCUGUUAAUCGAGAACCAACCUUCGAUAAGUCAAGCGGAAUGCGAACGCAAGCACGUCAAGAUGAAUGCGAGAAAGAUACCCCGAGGAGAAACCUGGGUCGCGUCUUCCGGCCCGGAAUAGUUAUAGGCUGGAUGGGCCCGAGCCUGGAGCGGCUGGAUCCGCCUACCGACGAAGUCUGCAACGACUUCAUAUCCCGACAAGCCCCGUUCUUGGAGAUCAUCGAUGAUGUCGAUAAACGACUGAAGAGAGGGGGUCAAGGGAGGCUUGGCAGUCCAGGCUGGAAUCUUGUCCGGUUGAUCCUCGGGAACAACGAAGACAGGGUUCGAGUCCUUGAUCUCAAGAUAGAACCACCUGUUCCGCCACUUGCUGCGGGAAAAAGGACACUGGAAGGGGACAUAACGCGACUUCAUGCCAUCACGAAGUCGGAACCCGACGCAACCAGACACUCUAUUGGGUUCCAUCCAACGCAGCUCAUAAUAGAAGCGGAAGAGAUCAAGAAUAAGGCUCUACCCCAAUGUAGGCCUCACAGAGAUGAACAAAGAUACUAAGAAAGGCGAUGGAAUUAGGAUUCAAAUGAAGAAGAGAAAGACCAUAGAACUUCAAGACCAGGAGAAGAAACUCGGAAGGCGGAGGGAGAAAACCGCAGAGAACGUAAUCUUCGAUCGCAACCAUGUGACCCAAGAUGGGCUGAGGAUUAGUACCUCCUGCUUCUCUCUCCAUGCUUCCACGGCCGGGAAGGGCGCCGUCCUCCUGAAGGUUCUUCAACGUCGCGCUGGUGGAAGCCGAUUUGCCGAGAUCCAUUGCUGUUUGGAGAUCGCCGGAAAAUGGGCCAAAGUUAGUGAACUAGGGUUUCUUGCGGCGGUGGAGAAGGCAAAGAGCGCUGGUAGGCGGUGUGUGUUCAACAGGGUUGGCGGACUUCAAAAUGGGCUCCCAAAAUUCCUUUAAAUAGACACACUACCGACGGUGCGAAUUAUACUAAUCUGGCUAUAGAGGAGAUUAUUGGAUUAUACUAAUCUGGCUAUAGAUUAUAAUAAUCUAGCAUAAUAAUCUACUUGUUUGUUUCAGUUACUCCUUGUCAGGGUUACGGGUUCGGCAUACCCUUUACCCUUCGAUAUACGUUACAUAUCGAUAUGGCAUACCCACGCGCACGCGGAUAUUUCCUGCAUAUUCUAAGGAAACCUUUCACGAAAUCUACAGAUGGGAAGAAUCCUACUCGGACAGAACUGGGUCGUUGAUGUAUCGUAUAGGGUCUGAUACCUCCGAGUUCUACUUGGAAACCUCCAGGUCUGCGAUAUAAAAGGGACCCCCGGGGAGGGCAUAGGACAUCGAAUCUCAGAGCCAAUACAACCCACACAGCCUACGAAGCCGAAGUCUACGAGGAGCCAAGUCAUCGAGAGUAAGUCGAACCAACUCGACUACAAUCUCGCCAGAUCUGACAAGUUCCAUCGUUCCCUUUGUAACCUGUAUUUUCCACCAUAUAAUCCCAUACCAACUGGAUUAGGGCUAUUACCUAUCAAGGGGCUUGAACCAGUAUAAUUCUUGUCUUUUGGUUGCUUGAUGUCGUACUACGUAGAUCCUUGUACCAACGUACCCCAAUACCCUCUAUAUCCGGUCUACGGGUAUCACCCGUCGAUACUCCUAAUAAUCUAGAUUAUAAUAAUCCUAUGCUGAACCAAACAGGGCCUAAAAGAAUCUAUUGGUAAAUUUUUUAUAUAUAUGUUUGUAGUGGCUCAAAAGCUAAUAAUAAAAAAUAUACGUUAAAAAUAUAUUUAAAUAACUUUAAAAUCAAGUUCAAAAAGUUUAAAUUUUGGUUAUUAUUUGACUUAUUAGAUCAACCGAGGAGGCUAUUUACCACUCCCUGCCACUGCAGCACACCGACACGUGACACGUACACCCUCCCGUGACGCCGCCGCGCGUGUGCUACGGCCACACGCGCGCGCGUACACGCGAGAGAGAGAGAGAGAGAGAGAGAGAGAGAGAGAGAGAGGAGAAGCGGCGAUGGCGAGCGGCGGCGGCGACGCGAGGAGGAGGAAGGAGGAAGGGGAGGAGGACGGGUUCUCGUCGGACGGCGGGGACACCACCGACGCUGAGUCGUCGGACGAGAGGGCGGGGGCGGGGGCGGGGAGGAGGGCGGUGCCGGGCGCGAACCCCAUCCUGAGCCGCCUCGCGGUGUCGCGGAACCCGAGCCCGCUCGCGGCGGCCACCGCGGCGCCCGGGGUCUGCCUCCUGCGGUUCGCGUGGGAGUCCGCCGCUGGGUCCCUCGUCGGCGCCGUCGUCGGAUAUGGUAACGACACCCUUGUACCCUUCCCUGUUCCCGUUCCGGUUAGGUUAGGGUUCUUGCGACCUGUGAGACGGGAGUGGUUAGUAGUAUUAGAUUCCUUCAAUUCAAUACUCCAAUUCGGUGUGAUUGCUGUAAGUUGGCUGUGCAUUGCACUAUUGCGCUUUGCGGGCGUGCGGCCGGAACAAUUUGGUAUCUGGUGGUAUAAUAGUGGUGUUAUCUGCAAUAUUGCAUGGUUGUGCUCGUAGUCUAGUAGAGAUAUACUGUAUGUACUAUGUAAUUGUGCCAAUCAGACCAUCCUUGAAAGAAAUUCCUUUAGUUGGAUUAGUUUCGCGGUAUAUGGGUUUUGAGAGGCUUCCAGGAACAUUUGGUUCGAGUGGGAGACGUUUAGUUUAGCUUAGGGUCUGUAUAUAGGAAUGUACCAGCGCUGAAAUUGUGUUUUUAUUAAAUUUGAUUGAUACUAAGUGGUGUACAGGGUGGAAUGCAUGCAUAUGUGUUCUUUUUUAUAGAGCCCAUCUUUUUGGCCCUUGAUUUUGCUCGAUGUCUAUUUCUCACCGGUUGCUUUUACCCCAUACUUACAAAACCAGACAAAUAACACCCCGGAAGAUAUUUUUGUUGUUGUUUUGUUUGAAAUGAAGGUGGUUCUCCUUGUGCAUUCUCUUAUUGUACAUAUUUUGCUGAUGUACAUAUUACUUAAUUAUGUCCACAACCAUAAAACUCAUCUAACUGAACAUAUCAGUUUUGUUCCUUCAACUCCUGCUACAGUACAGUUUCCACCCUGAACUUCAAGUUUAAUCUUCAUCCCUUAUAUGUUAAAACCUUUGCAGAUUACACCAAAAAAUUGUUCUCUUGAGUUAUAUUGCCAUAUGACAAGCCUUUUUCAACACAUGACAUCCACAGCAUCUCAUUUUGAAAAAGGUCGACAUAUUUUUUUUUCUUGUAAAUCAAGUCAGGUUGGUCCAUGCUCUAUGCUGUGUUGUUUUACUGGAAGCACCUUUAAAACCAUCCUUGGAGAAAUGAUAAGGUUCCAUUUUUCAUAGUUGGAGGACAUUUCAACAGUACUGCUAUUCUUUUUUGGGGUAGGGGAAAGCUGGAGCUUUGUUGACUAAAACUGAAUAUGAAGUAAAGGGUGAUCUACACGAUGAAAUGAUGAGUUGAUGACACAUUUAUUUCCUACUUAACUGCCAGUGCUAACUUAUUAUCAUGGCUUGAUGCAACCAAAAGGUUCAAUUGCUUGGGCCAUGUGCAUGCUGGUGUUUGACUGUUUAAUUGUCCAAAAUAAGUUGCGGUUGCACACACUCUAUCCAAUCUGUUUCUACUUUCCUCCUAGAUGCAUAUAUUUAGUUGGUGAUGCUCCCAGCAUGUAUGUUUCCUUGUUAAGUUUCUUACCAUGGAUUAAGAAUAUCAAAGUGGAUUAAGGUGCAUCAGAAGGUCCUGUUAUAUGCACUCUACUAAAACCAGCUUGCUACCCAUCAUGUCAAAUCGAUCAUCUGUUCAACUCAGCCAACAUAACUGAAUACAUCUAACCAAACAAAACCACUUUUGUGCUCUCUUGUUUAGACAAUCUUGGGCCACAUUGACUUGUGUAAGAAAAACAAUGUUUAAAAUGUCCUUCCAGCCUUAAUUUGCUGGAAAAUUUGAUUAUUUUAUCUUAACUAGAAAAGAUGCCCGUACGUUGCAACGGGUAAAUACUUUUUUCAGUGAUACAUUAAGAGCUAAGUAAUAAAUUGAAAUAUUGGGAUCACUAUACACUAUAAUUGAAAAUGUUAAUAAAAAUCUUAACAUUGGGAUUGCUAUAGAUUAUAAUUAAAAAAAAGUUAAUGAAAAUAUUUCUUGGGUUUUUGGCCGAAAGCCUUCCUUCCUUUUCAGCGGCUAGUCCGCUACCUCCCUCCAUUUGGUCUGCUUCUCUUCGACCCUACCAUCUUAAAUUUCCCGAAUAUGACUACCAUCUUCAACCUCUCGAAGAUAAUCCUGUGCCCCCGAAGAUAAUCCCGUGCCCGUACGUUUGCCGGAGCAAAUCUACCCAUCAAAUCCGGCCGAAUCUUUAUUGGUCAACCAAAAUUGGUCGAGGGUUUUUGAUCCACUCGAUCUACUCUUUCCGUUUUCCCCAAAAUUAGAGCGUAAAACUCGGGAUAAAACUGACUGGGGAAGAUUGCCGUCAUCAUCGGCAAGUGUAGAACAUAGAUUAAAUCUGGCAAUUAAAGCCCAAUCGUAGGGAAAAUCAUGGAUAAAAUGAUGAGAGAGGAGUGGGGAAUCGAUUUUUUCAAUCAAAUUGGAGGAGAAAACACACGAUCGAUAUGGCGGCGGCGCGGCGCUAAGGUUCACCACAGAAGGCGUGCGGCGAACAGAUGGGAUUAUAAAACCGGAUGAGAAAAACAAAAAGCACAUGGGAGAAAAAACUGGCGACAAAAAAGAUUGACGAAAAAAAGCUAAAAGCACCCAAGAGGCGCACGGUGAACAGAUCGGAUUAAAAAAGGGACAAAAAACCAAAAGACUUAGCAUGUGCGCGUAAAAAAGUCUUUUGCGUGCAAAGAAAAAAGGGAAAAAAAAUACCGGUGCCAAAAAAACCAAACGGACUUUUUUUUACUGGGAGAUUUUUUUUUCCUUUUUCUACAGGAGUCGGACAAGAGAUGUUUUUUUACUGACGACGAAGAAGUUUUUUUUAAUCGCUCGUUAUGUCGGACUUUCUUUUCUUUCUUUAUUUACCUUUUUUGAGUCGGACUUUUUCUUUCUUUCUUUUAUACAGAAGACGGGAAUUUCUUGUAGAGAUAUAGAUUAAAACCGAAAUAUAAAAUUAAAACCGUUUCAAACACGGAUGACGUACCAAAAUUCUGGCAAAAACACCUUUAACUUUUAUAAUAGGUAAAGAUUACUUGAAUACUGUUUUAACUAGUAUAAAUUGACAUGGCUUCCUUGCAUGCUCCAUAUAAGAAUGUUGUGGAUAGCCAGAAGGCUUAGAUAAACUUUAAGUAAACUCUUAAUGCCUUGACCUACAAUCACAUUCAUUACCAUUUACCUCUUGGGUUAAUGCUUUCAAUGGAACUUAUAUGGAAGUGGAUCAUAGACUUUCAUUGUAAGGUCAACGUUCCUCCUUGUUUCAUGUACUCUGUUAGCCAUCCUGUUGCCUGUUGUCCUUUGGGCCAAAGCACAAAAUAUUUUUUUCCAACUCGCCUUUUCUGAUAACUUGACAGGAAAAGGUUUGGUCACCACUAAAGGGUUUAAAGGCUCGUUUGCUGAUGCUGCAUCUUCUGCUAAGGUAAUGAUUCACAUUACACAUGUUCAUUUUGCAGCAGAUGUUUCAUUGUUCACAGCUCAUGCCAUUAUUUUGUCUUUUGCUCUAGAUAUUUGCUGUUCUUGCUGGUGUUCAAAGUUUGGUUGCCUGCACUUUGAGACAACUACGUGGGAAAGAUGAUGGUCAGUCUUGAUAUCUAUUGUGCUCAUUUCUUUCUCUAGGAAACCAUGUCCCAAUCCUUAGGAUGUACUACAAUCAAAUGUCAAGUACAAUCAUUAACUUGUGAAUCCUUUUAUAUCUGCAGUUCUCAAUGCUGGAAUUGCAGGCUGUUGCACUGGCCUUGCCCUGAGUUUUCCAGGUAACGUUACAACACACAAUGUAGCUGUGAGUGUGAACUGUUUAAAUUUACAACUUGUUCCUGGAUGUCCUGGCUAGGACUGGUAUUAAUAUCAACAAGAGCAAUUUUCAUUAUGCUGAGUUAUGGAAUAGGUGAUCUCAAACGGUCCUGACAUUGUUCAUUAAGAAUGCAUGCAGCCCUUUUGGGAGUUAUUAAUCUCUGGCAUCCGUUUCAAGUUUGAUGAUUCAAUCUCUACAAUUUUUUCAUUUUCAUGUUCCCUUAGUUUGUUCAUAUAGGCAUUUGUAUCUUUAUCUCCUAUCUUGUUGAUAAUGCGUCCUAAACUAAUUUGGUUUGGAUGCACCUGAAAUAUUUGUUUAUUUUCACUACAGUUGUUAUUAUUUUUGUUCUAUAUUUCAUUUUUCUUGUCUUUUGCUGUAUUGGUGUGCACACAGUUUUGCAUUUAGAGUUGUCCAUUUAUGUCUUCAUUUUUGCACUGGUAAAAUGAAGCACUACAAAAUCGACAAUUUCUUGUGAGAUCAUGAGUGUUUCUUAUCAUUAUUGAGAACACACUUUUGUCCUGUGACAAAAUAGCUCCUUAUUCGCAUGAUGAUAACAUUACUAUUAACAGUGAUAUCGGAUUAUCGGUUCUUCCUAUAUAGGAAAAUGUUAACAAAAAGAUCAUAGUUUCGUACCUAUUCAUUAACUGAUGGUCCUUUUUCUUCUUUUGGUUCCAGGUGCACCACAAACAAUGAUUCAGAGCUGCCUGACCUUCGGAACUUUCUCAUACAUCAUAGAGAUGCUCAAUAAACAGGAACCUGCACUUGCUCGUCCAUCUAUCACUGGCACGAAGGAUCUCAAGGCUGGACACAGAGUUCUUCCUCCCUUCACGCUCCCUCUUCCGCAAGAGGCAAUGGAGGGUUUUUCCUCGUUUCAAAACUUUUUGUCGAAGUUCCAAGGGAAGUGAACCAAGUGAAUAACCUCAAGAGGGAUGGUGGGUAGCUUCACCUCUUUCCUCCGUUGGAUUUUGUCCGUGUAAAUGCCUCGUCUUGAGUUUCUCUUUUGUUCCACGAGUGUAAUGUUCUAGGGAGUGACGGAUUAUGUGAAUGUUGAUGUCAUUCUUACUCUUUUGAAUAACAGCUCUGUGAAUCCUUAUCGUGCUUCAGCUAGUGUUAAUUUGCCACUUGCUUCAAACGGUUUCUUUACUGACUCGUUGAGUACAUGAUUUGAUUAUUCGUGGUUUGUUCGCAGUAGAUGUUGUCGACACUGUCAGCGAGUUUUUGGGAAAACAUUUUGUGAAAGUUGAAUUACGGCAUAGCCGAAGGAAUAACAGAAUCGUUUCACACUUUCGUAACAAAGGUCUUCUUAUCAUGUUUCAGACGAUGGAGGCAAGGCUGAUCAAAGUGAUCAAGCACAUAAACGCAUUUUUUUACCAUGUUUCACUCCAUAAGCGUCUGAGAUUAUCACAAGUCACGUCUAGUAGUUUGAUGGUACACUAGUGACAAUCAGUUCGUGCAGACAGAGCUCAUACUUGACUACUUGAGCGAUUACAGGCGAAAGUGUGAAACGCAUGUGAUGUGGGCUGGGAGGAGGAGAAUAUAUACUAAUGGGCCGUAUCCUGAUUUGGGCUGCGUCGGAAGGUGCAGCCCACGCGCGCCGUACCGCGCGGGUGGCGCUGCUACCCACUUUAGUCCGUUGGAUGGGGAUCCGAUGGUUUGCGCGGUGGCGUUGCGGGGGAUGUUUAGUACCACAUCGGAAACCGAAAGACGAUGGAACCAGCUUAUAAACCCGCGCGCUGUAGUCAGCUUGUCUCUUCGGAGACAUCCGAUAAAAUUGGAACGAUACAGAGAAGAUUAGCAUGGCCCCUGCGCAAGGAUGACACGCACAAAUCGAGAAAUGGUCCAAAUUUUUUUGCGAAUUCUGGCCAGGUCCUUGCGCGUUCGGUAUUUUGUUCGUUAUUUUCGUUGCACAUAUGCCCCUGGGCUCUGAUUUCUUACAUCCAGGUCCUUCAAGCUUUGCACUUUUUCCCUCAAAGUUUCCAGAUAUCGAAUUAUGGCCAGGUCCUUGCGUUCUUCAUUUUCGUUGCACAUAUGCCCCUGGGCUCUGAUUUCUUACAUCCAGGUCCUUCCAGCUUUGCACUUUUUCCCUCAGUUUCCAGAUACCUUACAGAUACGCCUCUCCUUUUGCACCCUCAUCUUUUUGCAACAUCCUACAGGCAGGUCCAUGUCGGUUCUUGAUGCGAUCUUCAGGCUUCUUACUGUUGUACACAAUUCACUAUUUCUUUGCAACAAGAUAUAUACGGCUGUGCCUUUUGUAACCCCUUCUAGUUUUUUUAAACAAGUCCUUGUGGGAAUAUGGAGUUUUCACUUGUAACUUUCUGGUUUUUCGUUCUCCAUGAUUGAACAAUUUGUUCGUUUAUGUUUGCCAGAAGUACUGGCAAAUCUCCAUUCAAGUGUGCAAUCAUGUGAUUGGGGUGAUUUUUCCUCCUAAGUUUUUGUUUAUUUCCAUCGGAGCAUAACGCCAUUUUUCCUUGUUGGAUACUCUCAAUUGAAAUCCUCUACUGUUCUUAUGGGAGAGUGACUAUCCUAGUUCCAUUUUAUUCUUUAUCAUUUAUCAAUUUAUAACAAACAACAUCUCUAGAACAUAUUUUACCUGUUUUUUAGAGGCAUUUAACUUUUUGCCACUUUUAAGAUGUGGCUAUUAAGGAUUUGCCACUCGUAGCUUAGUGGCAAAUCCUUAAUUGUUACUGGUAAGUGACAAAUAGUUAAUUAUUACCCUUUUCUAUACUAAGAUAUAAAAAGGAAGAAUUUACCCUUCCAAUCCAACAUGUGUAAUCUCUGCCGUCCAUCUGCAUCUGUAUUGCCCUGAUCUGAUCCCUACCGUCCACCGCGAUUUAACCCUCUCCAUCUCCACCGCACGAAUACUACGCCUCCGUGCGAACACCGCACGAAGAUGUUCGCACGAAGACUGCACCUUUGCAGUACUCGCUCCUCCUCUCACCUCCUCCUCCUCGCGUGUAUUGCUGCCGUCGGAGUGAGUUCUUCUCUAGCCGCCGCCAUACCCACACUCCACCGCUGCCCCCACCGGAGCUGAGGUCUUCCCCAGCUGCCACUGGAGCUGUGGCUGACCCUUUCCGCCACCGCCGGAGCCGUGGUCGUCCCUUCCGCCGCUGCCGAAGCCGAGGUCAUCCCCAGCCGUCGACGGAGCUAUGACUCCACCACUGCACUUUCCCCACGCUAUGAUUCUGCCGCCGCGCUACUUGCCGUUGCACGUCCUUGCUCCGUCCGACUCCUCGCUUGUCCCCGCCACCGCUGCGCUACACCGCAUCCUGCCCUCGCCGACGUCGUGGUCAUUCCUGACGGCAAGGUCCUUCCCCACCACCGACGCACUUCACCGCAGGCGCCGUGGUGGUUCCUGACGGCGAGGUCCUUCCCCACCGCCGAUGCAAUCCAGCACAACAUGCCCCCGCCGACGUCGUGGUGGUUCCCGACAGCGACUUACUUCCCCACCACCACCGCACUCUACCGUAGCCUGCCCCACCAGCGUCGUGGUGGUUCCCCCUUCUACCGGAGUCCCAUUUGGGACUGCCCCUGAUGGCACCGUGGUGGAAUGCCCUUCCGUCGGACCCGCUGUGGAAUUCCUCGUUCGUGGGUGCGCAAUCGUCGGCCUCAAAGCCACUUCUUUUUAGUACUCAUAAAAGGAGAGAAAACCUGAAAAGUAGAAUGCAAGUUCUUGCGCCAAAUUCAUCUGUGUGCUCUUCGUUCUACUUUCGUGCGAUUGUGUAUUCGCUAGGGAAAUUUCACUCCAGGGCACCGGGAUCAAGGAUCCUUGGUUACACUCAGGAGAUCACAGGUUUGUAAGAUCGCCAGCAAGAACUAAGCCACCAAAGGGGAGUGAAUGGUUGAGGUACUCACAAAUCAAAACUUUUAGCGGAAUUAAAAGUUACUCUCGAAACGAUGAAGGUCGGUCUGACCAAAGUAGAUGCACCGGUUUGACCGCACGGAGACCUCCGGUCUGAUUGGCGAAGUAGCUUCGGUCUACCCGCACAUCGCGCUGAUGUCGCUUGUCGUUGCCGCCAUUCUAACCGCCUUAAAGCCACCGGUCUGACUGCCGCAAUGCUGUCGGUGUGACCGCCGAACCCAAGCAUAUACAAAUUGAAGAUAUUUCAAAAGUAGAUUGAACUUACUUCUACUCAUGUUUACAAAGUGCAACAACAACACUCCUCUCACAAAUCUCGACUAAACUCAAAAUACUAACUUUUUUCUAAACUCAACUUGCACAAAAUCGAUGCCGGGAAGUCUCAACCCCCUCUCUAUUUAUACUCGAAGUAAGCAGUCUAAAACCACAAACCCAACUUGUACAAGAAGUCCUAAUCUCCUAGGAAACCUUCCCAUACAAUAAACAAACUUUAUAAACUACAAUCAUACCAAAUUUGGACUCCGCAUCCAUACGCACACAAUAUCUUCAUGGUAUACCAUAUGGAAUCUUCACCAACCAUGAUAUCCUGAUCGUCUGGACAUCAUCUUCUUCCAAGUUGACUCCCGAUCAAUCACUAGUAACACUCUCCCCAGGCAUUAAGAGACACCUACAUAUGAAUCAAACAAGAUACAAUAUCUGAGCACAAGUCCUCUCCAACUUGACUUAACAUUAGUUCACAACAGCAUUACAUAUGCUGUCGGUGUGACCGCCGAACCCAAGCAUAUACAAAUUGAAGAUAUUUCAAAAGUAGAUUGAACUUACUUCUACUCAUGUUUACAAAGUGCAACAACAACACUCCUCUCACAAAUCUCGACUAAACUCAAAAUACUAACUUUUUUCUAAACUCAACUUGCACAAAAUCGAUGCCGGGAAGUCUCAACCCCCUCUCUAUUUAUACUCGAAGUAAGCAGUCUAAAACCACAAACCCAACUUGUACAAGAAGUCCUAAUCUCCUAGGAAACCUUCCCAUACAAUAAACAAACUUUAUAAACUACAAUCAUACCAAAUUUGGACUCCGCAUCCAUACGCACACAAUAUCUUCAUGGUAUACCAUAUGGAAUCUUCACCAACCAUGAUAUCCUGAUCGUCUGGACAUCAUCUUCUUCCAAGUUGACUCCCGAUCAAUCACUAGUAACACUCUCCCCAGGCAUUAAGAGACACCUACAUAUGAAUCAAACAAGAUACAAUAUCUGAGCACAAGUCCUCUCCAACUUGACUUAACAUUAGUUCACAACAGCAUUACAUAUGCAUAAUAUUCAUCUAGAAUUCAUAAACAUAAAUUAAUCACAAGUAUAAAAAAACAAUCCGAAACCAGAACCGACACAGAGCCGUCCGAUCAGACCAUCGGGCUGGCCGAUUUGACUGCACAACACACGUCGGUCUGACCAGACCCAAACUAACAAAACUCAUUGUUCAUCGUCAGGUCAAUUCAUCAUCAGAAAAUCUUCAAAACCAAUUAUCUUCAAAAUCAAUUGUUCAUCUCUUCUCUAUUAUUAUAAAAAUUGAAAAUGUUUCCGCCAAUACUUUGUACGUUGUCCGUAUUUGAGUUGGUUAUUAAAUUCGUUCACUUUUGAAAAUGCACCAGGAGUCGUAUAAGAAAUCCUUUUAAAACACUCACAGCUAACUUGGAACGAGUACCGCUAAUUGCUUUAGAAUUCUUGUCAGGCCCUAAGAAAGCAACGUACAGUAUAUGACCAUAAUCCCAACAAAGGUUCUAAAUUAGAUAUCAAUACUAUCAAAAUAGAAAUCUCAUAUACUUUUUAGAUAAAAAAAAUAACAAUAAUACGAUUAAAAUAGCCUUCACCCGUUUCAACGCACGAGCCUUUUUUUCUAAUCACAAAAUAAUAAUCAAAGGUCAUCUUCGCAAAUGGUGAUGGAUGCACACUCCGCUUUCAUGAGAGAGAGAGAGAGAGAGAGAGAGAGAGAGAGAGAGAGAGAGAGAGAGAGAGAGAGAGAGAGCGCGUGUGCCAGCACCAAGAAUAACACCACGACGACCAGCGUCAGCAGGCGGUAUAGUGUAGUACUCGUACAUCACCGGCGACUAUGUUGGGCGAGUACCAGUUCCAGGACAAACUCGUGUUGCUGUAAUGCUGCCCACACGACCGGGGACGGGAAGAUGCCCAUGAUGCAAAAGGAGCAGUUGUAAGCACUGACAAUGGAGGAUAGAAGAAGUAACACGUGGGGCUGAACAAACUAGACAUAAUUUUAACCCUCAUUUUAUAAGAAACUCAGUGAGGGCUUACAUAGUUCUAACGAUGCUUGUGGGGGCUUGAGCCCCUCCGUGCCCAUAGUAGAUCCGCCCUUGGCGUCGGGGUUCGCCUGGCCAUCUGGAUCGUUCGAGAGGAGGUGGGGAGAGGUCGAUGUGUGCAAGCCGGGAUGGGUUCGAAUGGAACAAGCAAGUCAGAGGGAGCCGAUCGAGAGGAGCGAUGCUGAUUCGCAACUACAGAUGACCAAAUGAGCCACCCGGCCCGUGCACGACCAGGCCUAGGCCCGAUAUAAGUUGGGCAAGCACAACCCGCUUAAUGACCGGGUCAGGUUGUGCCCGCCCACGGGCACAACCUACGGCCUAGGCACAGUCCUAUAAGAAUCGGACCAUGCUGGGCCGGCACGUAGGCACGACCAACACACUGUGCUCGUCCUUAGAAUAGGUUUAUUUUGCAUUCCUCCUCUUUGGGUUGUGCCCUAUAUAUGGCUUGAAUAAGUCUAGAUUGCCUCCCUCCUCUUUGGACUGCCUUAUACACAUCUGAAUAAGUCUAUUCGCCUCCCUCGUGUGUCGUGCCAUGCGAAGCCAGCCCACUGUGCCAAGGUAGCGCCCCCAGGCUCAGCCCAACUGUCAGGCCGGGCCGGCAUAGGCUUGACACCAAUUAGGCCAUGUCGUGCCUGGCCGGACCAAAAGGUCGUGCCAUGGGACGGGAUGUCGGGCCCUGGACCUUUUGGCCAUUAUAUUCGCAACUGCGUCAAGUCAAGCGGAGCGAGGAAUCCUAUCUCACACAGACGCACGAGCAAACUAACUCGCACGUGAUUUGGAUCCACUAGGCCCCACUCUAGCCUACAGCUCUACACUGCAGUAGCACAUUUCUUUUUUUCCUUUCUUUCGCGUGAUUUUUUUUCACACGUGCUUAUCUCCCUCUCCGUCCUUCGUUUUUGCGUGCAAUUUUUUUUCUCAUGUGAUUUUUCCUUUUUCUCACGCGAUUUUUUCUCUUUUUUUCGCAAGAUAGCUAGGUAAGUUUCAACCUCAUUUUAUUUUGAAAAUUUUUGACUCAAAAUUUAAAAACUUCUAACACAAAAUUGAAAACUUUCAAUUAGAAAUUUGAAACUCUUAACUGAAAAUUUAAAACUUUUGAUCAAGAUUUGAAAACUUUCAACUAAGAUUUAAAAUAUUCAACUCAUGAUUUGAAAACUUUCAGCUUAAACUUUAAAAUUUAUUAACUUGAAAUUUAAAUAUGAAAGAUAAAUUUUGAAAAUUUUCAACUCAUAUUUGAAAAGUUUCAACUUGAUAUUUGAAAACUUUCAAUCCGAGAAUUGAAAACUUUUAACUCGAGAUUUGAAAAUUUUCAAGUCAAGAUUUAAAAAUUUUCAACACAAAACAUUUGAAAACCAUGUGUUGAAGAUUAAAAAAAUCGUGAAAGGAAAGAAAAGAAAAAAAAAUCGUGAAAAGAAAGAAAAGGAAAAAAAUCACUUGGGGGGAGGGGGCCAGCUGGCGCACGCGUUGCCGCGCCAAUUUGCCACACCCGAGCGGAGCACCCCGUCGGAUCCGUACGUAAUACACGCGUCGUCCAUCGAGAGCGGUGCUGCAGAGGUGGCGUGCUGCCGCUGGGAUGCAUCAAUUUUUUUUAUUUACAUUUUGAGGCUUUUCUUUUCAUCGUCCGCUCUGUUCCAUUCGCCGCCGUCCUCCAUUCCGUUCUUCCUCAGCUCCCGUCGGUGGUGCUUGAAAGAGUCCGUUUUGGUGCUGGCCUUCUUCAGGUCGUCAAGUUCGCCUUGGCGCGCGGUGCUUCUCUUCUUCAUCGUCAGGUGGUUCCCUGCGCUCUCUUCAUGUCGUCAAAUUCGUGUCGGUGUCUCGUGCUGCUCUCCAACUUGCUCAGAUAGAGAUAGUUCGGUGCUGGUUUUCUUCAGGUCGUCAAGUUCAUCUUUGUGGUACGUGUUUCUCUUCUUCAGGCCGUCAAGUGUGUCUUAGUGGAAGUUCAAGUUCGUCUUGGUGGUUCUCUGCUCUUUUCCGGUCAUCUUGGUGUCUCGGUGCUGCCCUUCAACUUCAUUGCCAGGUUCGGUGCUGGUCUUCUUGAGGUCGUUAAGAGUUAAGUUCAUCUUGGUUGUGCUCUUUUUCAGUUCCGAGAGUUCUCGGUGGUCGUGUGUCGUGAAGCGUCAGGUCCCAUUGUUGGAACUUGGAAGCUCCUUGAAGAAGAACGUGUCCCGGUUUUGAGGUAGAAGAAACAAAAGCUAAGCCUGCAAAACAUGGCGGCGAGGGUGAGCUGGGAAAUGGCCGCCCGGCGUCGGCGUGUGGCGGAGGAUAUUGCUCCGCCCUACGCCGUGCUGUUGUUCGUCUUGCUGUUGGCGUGCUGCGUGCGGCGCCGCCGCCUCCUCCUCAUGCCGGAGGAUUUAUUCCGGAUCGGUAACCAAUUUACUGGUAUAAUAAAACAUCCGGAUUAGUUCCACAACUCUUAACUAGUGGAUUGAUUCUCGGUCUAUUAUUGUCCAUAUCAUGCGGUCCGGAAUAAAUCCCGAUCUCUCGUUGUAUCUAUAAUAAAUUUCUUACUAUUCUUGUCACUCCUAGCCAGGAUUGAAUCAUCAUGUAACCGAACAAGUCCUAAGGUGGUCGUCUCCUUUUUAGGCGGAGAGGGAUGACACAUAUCUGGUUUUGCCACAAAGUGCCUCAGUUUUGUAAGUUGAGGGAUGACACAUAUUUUUUCGGUUCUGGAUAAUUUUGUAAUUUGGAAACAAGAUGAGGGACCUUAUGUAUACUUUUUACACUUUUAUGUCGGGUUUUGUAGGCCUCCUCUCUCUUUUCUGGUCGAAGCCAAAUUCAGGGAGAUGGGCCUCACAGCCCACGUUCACGUUUAUUUUCUUCUCAAAUUGUUUUUUUUUAUCUAUAUGUACUAACUUUAUUUUCUUCUCAAAUCCGGCCUCUACACCAACAAGGCUGUACACAAACACAGGAGGUCCUUCAGUACAAGUUUGAACUUUACCCAAGAUCACAACUGAAAGGGAACACUAAGGCUCUAACCCGAAACAAAACAACAACGAAGUGCAUCGACCAAAGGACAUACACGGCUGCAAACAAGAAAAGCCAGCAAACUAUACCCCUCAAUUAUUUUCCUCAUGUUCCAACCCUUAGCAAAGAAGUGCACAACGGUAGUCUCCAACAGUUUGCAACCUUCUUUCAUCAAGAUGCUUUCUCCCUCUUUUAAUAAAACAGACUACUGUCUCAUUCAAUAUAUUUUCCUGAAAAUGACAUUUAAUUAACGAAGUUGAUUUUUAUGCCAUUGAGACAAUGCCAUUUCUAGAGAUCCACAUCGCCCAACAUAUAGCUGCAAUCCAAAUAAAGAGAUUUAGUAUUUUAGCCUAGAUUAAUCCAAACCUUUGAACUAAACUCCAAACAAGUUAGCAACCUUAUGAGGCGGUUUGAACCAGAAAGGUAAUGAAAAUGACACAUUUGAAACACAUCUAACCACAUAUAUGGCAAUCAAUGAAAAGAUGUUGUAUCGUUUCAUCUUGAUUACAAAAGAGCACCCAACAUCGUCGCCAUUCCAUCUCCGUUUUGCUAGGUUAUCCUUUGUUAAAUACCACUAGAGGAUUUUAAUUUUUAACGGAAUUCUCAGCUUCCAAAAGUGGAUUGAUGAUAAAAAUGGGAUCUUCAGUUGACUGCUUCUUGUUUCUCUUGUUGCAUCUGGCGCUCCAUCACAUUUGGCUUCUUUUAUAGUAACAGAGAAGGGAAGGACCAGAACAGAAAAAUGAAAAAAAAAAGCAUUGCAAUGUUAUACUUUGCCAUACCUUUUAUCUAAAAACUCUGGCUACAAAACAUCGCGUGGUUCGCUGAUGGGCCGGUCUGUGUUGCUUCAGCGAUCAGCACCGCAAGUAAAUAAAGAGAGCCGCCGGAAUGGCUCAACGACUGAUACAACACGAGCUGCAUGAAUGCACGGCGUAACUAAUUUGGAGCCAAAUUAGUCAUGGGAUUAGCUUUCCGGCCGGAUAGAACAUAGUACAGAAACGAGGGUAAGCCUCACUACACCGGAUUAGGUCACCUGUGAUGGGUCCUAACCAUCACCUUUGAAGGGCCGGUUUGGGCCUAGUCAGAGACUAAUGGUCACUGUUGAGUCUCAGUCACCUUUGAUGGUGCCCGUUAGAGGUAUCAAUCACCUCUGAUGGGCAUGUAUUUCAUGCCCGUUAGAGGUAUCAGUCACCUCUGAUGGGCAUGUAUUUCCGAGCCCGUCACAGGUGAUGAUGACCACACCGCAGUCCGUGGUUGCAACCCCACAGGUGACUUAUCUUUGAGGCUGUGACGGGUGCAUUAUAUUCGGCCUGUCAUAGGUAUAUCAUCUUUGACGGGGUAUAGUAUCAAAGCUGUCACAGAUGAGGUCACCUGUGAUGGAUUUUGUUAUGACCCAUCAGUGAUGAGGUGAAAUUCGAAAAAAAAAACAAAUUCAGAAUAUUAGCUAGCCUCAGGAUUUACUAGCCACGCCCUCUGAAAAACAGAAACAUCACAAAUAUAUGCCAGGCACCCCAAAUAUCACAUAUUCCCCAUUUUAGCACAUAUGCAUCUUAAAAUUUACAUCAUUCACAUAUGCAGUUCAAAUGCCACAUAUUUGCACAACACAUUCAUACCACAUUAAAGCCACAAACUUGCACAAUUUCUUGCCUUGCACAUGAAACCGCAAACUUACCAAAGUUUCUUGUAUCCUAUUCCUUUUGAACCUCCACAAUGACCUGUCAUUAAAAAAAAGGAGAAAACAAUUGAACGGUACAAAGUAAUUCGUAGUAGAUCAAUGGAACACUGGAGAAAUCGUCGGAGCUUCUUGAAGAAGAUUGCGUGGCUUGAGCGGUGAAAAUGGAAGUAACGGUGUGAAAUUUUUUAGGGUGGUGGUUGUUAUUUGUAAACAUGUGCUUAAUAGUCGAAAGGAUAACACUAGCAAGUUGCGGACUGAAAGAGAUAAUUCCACUGUGUUAUAUAACACAUCGGAAUUGGGGGAGCAUGUGUUAACAGUGAAAUUUGGCAAGAUAGACUCGGAUUUGGAGUUGGAUAUCGAAACGGAAUCAAAGGAGAUUGAUUUUUGCCAAAACAGACUACGCAUCGACUUGAAACAGAGUCGGAAUCUGGUUGAGCCGAUCUGGUGGGAAGCCGAUACAGCCUAACUUGGGCUCGGUUUGGGCCUCAAUUGAGAUAACUAUCAUUGCCGUUUAGAGAUAGAUCUCAUCUAAGGCAAUUGUAUCUAUUAAUUAGGAUAUUUAUCUUGGUUUGGGCCUCAAUUGAGAUAACUCUUUUCUUUUACUUUCCAACGAGUUCUUGCUUCAAGUCGGGGUAUCGGCUGCGAUCUCUCGACAAGUGGUAACUUGUCUUGAAGGCUUGCGCUAUCGGGGCUAUUAUAUCAUUUUAAUGUAUCAAUCAUUUUAUUGUGGUCAUUUUUAUCACAUAUCUUAGUUAAUAUAGUCUUAGUAUCUCAAUUUAGUCAUAUCAGUUGAUUCUCGUUUUAGGGUUUUUGUCGGUAUUGGCUUAAAUCGUCUUACUAGAUUAGAUUAGCUAAGGUUCUACCAUCCCGAAAAGUUGUUAACUCCUUGAUUGUUUUGACUUUAUGUUUCUCUGCGUAUUUUGUGAUGCAUCAUCCCUAGCCGUGCUUAGAAUCAUAGAAACUAAUCCGGAGUUAAUCAUAAUUAAGGAUAGUAUCGGAGUUUCAGCCGAUCUUACCUAAUAUACAUGACAAUGCAUGUUUCAUGAUCUGUUUAUGAAUAUUUGCCACUUAUAUAGAUAGAUUGAUUUAUAUAAAUGCAUCAAGUUAGAUUGAUCUCUCUUAAACUUUAUAUCUGGUGAUCGAUUGUUAUUUGGUACGUUUAUAUAGAUUGAUUUCUUUAUAUAAGUCUGUAUUAGAGUAUUAGUCAAUACAUUAUUUGUUUUUGCUCUAAGUACUGGUCUAUUGACUAUUUUUUAUAAUACUGUCUUAAAAUGAUUGACAAAAACCAAAGAGAUGGUAUUACAACCGUUAGGGCAUAUUUAGGGUUUGCACUUUAUCUAUUCAUCUAAAAGCCACAACCGAUUUGGUUUAACUGCAUCGGCUGGGUCCUGACGAUACGUCAUCGGCUCUAUCGGCCGAUCGGCUAUCGUUCAUCUAAUUAUGUUUUCUGUUUUAUCUUGCUGCUUGCCGAUCUCCUGCAAAAGGGCGUGAUCGAUAGUCACUCGGUUCAUCCUUUUUGCGCCCAGGAGCUUGAAACGACGAACCAUAUCCUCCUACACUGUGUGUUCAUACGUCAAGUCUGGCGCCUCGUCCUGUCUUCUGGUUGGCGUUGGCUCGCCCCUUCCCAUGGCUGCUCUCUUUAGGUCUGGUGGCCGUCUUCUAGGGCCUGUCUACCAAAGUGUCUUCGCAAGGGCUUUGACACUCUGGUCCUCCUGGUAUCCUGGCAGCUGUGGAAGGAGCGGAAAGCCAGUGUUUUUGAUUCGUCCCUUUCGCCGGUCUCGGUGGUUCUGGAGUCCAUCCUUUAGAAGAAUCGUCUUUGGUCUCUUGCUAGUGCCGCUUCAUUUGGGGACCUGUUGGGAACAUAGGGCAGCAGUUACUCCACCACCUCUCUCCCUCUUUAUAGGAGCAGCAUUUUCAGCUUGUUUUUCCUCCCUUCGCGGUCCUUUACCUUGCAUGCGGCAAGGGUCUAUCUGAUUUAUUGCGUUGUGAAACUAAAACUCUAUUUUCUUCUAAUAUACUGACGCAUAGUAUUUUUGUGCAUUCAUGAAAAGAAAUCUGUUUUAAGGAGCGAUGCAAUAUUGCAAUGGUGUGUCAAGAUUAUGUUCCGAUUAACAUUUGAUUAGAAGUAAUCAUCUGAAACCUAAUCACAUUGGGCAUUCAGGCAUGCAAAUUCUCAAAUUUGUUAAGUGUGGGCACUAUAUAUUUUAACUUUCGUUCAAUUCAUAGCGAACGAAAAUCGCGCGCACUUCCGAUGGAAAAUCCCGUGAGAAAAAAAAAUCAACGCUUCUACAUUGAUACGGUACCAUGCAAAAAUCGUGCAAAAAAUCAGCGUUCCCCAACCUUUGGACGCACAAAAAAUCAUCGUUUAAAUGGGGAAAAAAAGGGCAGGGUUCCACGCCUAGAGAGAGAUCAAAUAAUAUGGCAGUAGGGGUAGCUCUUCUAGCGCUUGUUCCUCUCUACCUUUUUGAUGAAGUUUCUGGUGCGGUCCAGUGUGAUAGCCUGGCCAAUUAGGGCAAGUAUUAUAAUGUUUCAUAUGCUGCCCCUAAAUGUGCCAUAUUGGAUUGAGUGAUGAGGUAGAGGAGAUAAGUGAGGAGAGAAAUGGUAAACCACCCCUAAAUGAAGAGGCAACCUCCACACAAAUUUUAAGAGGGGUGUGAGAGUAUAAGAGACAUUGGUAUUUGUGUACUAGAGGUGACAUAGUGUAUAGAUUGCCUCUUAAUUUAUGAGUAAAUGAUGUGGAUAAAUUUAGAUGUGGUAGUCACAUCUACCAUAACACUUGCCCUUAGGAUAAGGUCAGUAUAGCUCAUGAAGGUGUGUGCAUAUGUUUAGUACCACCUUAUUAGUUUAGUAAGGGUAAAAUCAACUUAUAAGUGCUCUUCCUUUCAAACAUAUCACUUCCGGGUUAACCCUUUUACACGAAGCGAGGACGAAAGUGUAUUUGAUCCAGAAUAGGAUAUGCAUAUCCCAUUCCAAAAUGAUCUAUUAAAAAUUAUAUAAAGAGCUAUUAAAAAUCAAGCAGACCAGGUACUACUGUCUACUACUAUACCAAGCAGACCGAUGCAAAAACAUACUACUACCACCAAGCAGAUCGAUGCAGCUACGGAAGGGGAUUUGCGUGUCAAACAUACGACGACUGCUACCAAGCACCGUGUCAUUUUCAAUGUCUAGAUGGUGUUUGAAUCUCCUGAAGAUAAAAAUUAUGUAUUUUACGUAAAAUAAGGUGAUAAUAACGUGUGAUUAAUUGAGUUUUAAUUAUUACAAACUUAGAAAAUAGAUUAAUCUGAUAUUUUAGAGCAACUUUCAUAUAGAAAGUUUUUUAUGAAACAUACAGUUUAGCAGUUUAAAAAGCGUGCCACAAAUAUCCAAAAUUUCAUCCACUUCUUGCAGUGGAAACGAACAGGAUUUUCCUUGGAAAAAAUACUACUAGCAUUACCUAGUUGGGGGGAACCAUUUUUCAUUGCAAAAAAUAUGGUGGUAGGGGAGGCUGUUAUGGCGCUCGUUCCGCUCUACGCCGAGCUGCUGCUCGGCUACGCGGUGGCGCGCCGGAGCGGCCGGGUCACGCCGGAGCUGCGCGACUUGGCGGUCUGGCUGGUGGGCAACGUCGCCAACCCCUUGUCCAUCUUGCACCUCACCGUGAGGGCCGUCUACAGAAAUUUAAGGCCUCGGAGCGAAAUACAAAUCAAAGCUCUAAAUUUUAAAAAAAUUCAUAUAUCUAAUUUAAUAUAGAGGGCAUAAUUUCAGUUUUAGUAUGUAUUAUUUCGUGCAAUGUUUAAAAAUAUAUCAAAUAUUAAUGCUAAAAGAGUAGGUAUCACUGCUGUUCUACCGAAAAUCAUCAUCUGUAUAGUGUUGUUUAAAUAAAAUCUUUAAUUGUUCAUAAUUAAUAAUGUUGAAGACAUAUUUUCAGCACCCGAAUCAUACUUUAUCUUUCUAGAAGGCAUGAUGAGGUGAUUGACGAAACAAAUCUAUUAUUUUUUUAUCAACAAAAGCAAAGACAUGUGUUUGAUUCAAUCAGGAAUCCAUUCAAUUGUUUGUUCACUCACAAUACUGUAACAGUAGUUCGUCAAAUUAGUAAAUUACCUGAUGAAGUGAUUAGUGAAGCCGGCAAGCGCCCGCUAGAAGUUGCUUUAGGCUCGGCCUCCACGCUCGCCUCCGGCUGUCCUCCUCGCUGAUGGUUGCCACGAUUUGCACCACCACCGCCGCCCGCUCGAUCGACGCUCUGCCAGCUGCGCGGCGCCUCGCGCCCUCGCCGUCUCGAUGCACGCACGCACAAUACCUGGGAAUUAUAGGAUGGACUGCUCCUUCAUUGACCUGCGACACCUCGAUCUAACUGACGCAUGCGAUCUCCAAUCGUUUGACGCUUGCGAUGCCUUGGCUUUGCUUCUACCCUAGCUCUCAUUAGCUGAUCGCCAGGCAUGUGGCCCACCCUAGAUGGUGGUGUGGGGCCCCCAAAAGUUGGGGGCCCUGUGCGGUCGUCGUUUUCGCACUCCCCCGUCGACGGCCCUGCCCACCAUGAGUAUCGUCCACCUCUCCGACCUCGACUACCAUGUCCUCCAAUGCUCAACUCAUCCGGUCCACGAGUAUCACUCGUCGACAUAUACUUUUAUCGUAUAUAUAAAUUACUUUUUGAUUUAACUAAAUUAUCUCAUAUACAUACAUAAUGCUCUGAGUUAAUUACUUUUAUUAUUAUUUUUAGUCAAUUCCAUUAUUUGUAUUGAUUAAAUUUCAUUUCUGACAAACCCAUCACUGGUGGAGAAGUGGUUUUAAACCACGGUUCACAACCCCUAGUAGUCCUGUUUUGUAACCGGGACUACUAAUCCGAGACUAAAGAUGCAUUUCUUUAGUCCCGAGUGAAAUAACGGGAACUAAAGAUGGAUCUUUAGUCCCGCUUAGUGUUACCACUAAUCGGGAGUAGAUAUUUUUUUUUUCCUUUUUUUCAUUAAUUUUAACUGCUUGCAUAUUGAUUUCACUCCAUCCCCAAAUCACGAAAACCCCAAAUCACCUCCGAAUCAUAGAUCAAAUGCAUCACAAAUUCUAAAAGAAACAUCACACAUACAUCACAUAUUCACAUCAAAAAUUCCCAAAAACAAAUUCAACAAAAAUAUACAAAAACAAAUUGUAAAUCCGCCCAUCCGCCAUCGCUCCACCACCGCCCGCCGCCUCCCCAGCCCAGCACGUGCCCCCCAACCCCGCCCCCGCCCCCGCGCGCGUGCCGCUUUCGCUCGCUCCUCGCUGCUGCUUCAAGAAAAGGAGAGGAUAAGAGAGAGAGAGAGACAGGAGGAAAGGGAGGAGGAGGAAGUUAAAGAUGAGGAGGAGUUUGCGAUCGAGGAGGAGAGGAUAAGUGUGAGGGAUUAUAUACGACGCGUUAAUUUUUAGUCCCAGUUGAUAAUAUCAACCGGGUCUAAAGAUAAUAGGGGACUUGGCUAGUUCAUGUAAGAAAUACUGGGAAGCUGCAACCUACGUCUUGGACGAGCAAGUAAGACGGCUCCCAAUGGAGGUCAAGUUCAUCAUCCAAGUUCUUCGAAACGUAAACAUACUGGCUGCUCUUGUUGGUAUUGUAUUGGCUGUUUUCAAAUCCACUACUAACCAGAGGUACGUACGUUCGAAUGCAUGCAUUCAUGAAGAACAUCUAUCAUAAUGAAUUAAUUAAUGAUAGGAUCUAUCACUGUCUGUGCCUCUCUCUGAAUUCAAUUAUAACAAUUAGAGCACCCGCAAUGGUAAAGUAAGGUGCUAUCUAUAAAAUAUGUACAUCUCAGCAAUAGACUAGAUUAAUAUUAACCAUCUCAGUAGUAUGUCUAUAUGGGUAUCUAUAGCUCUCUAAUACAUUGCCUCGUUUUUCUCUAUAGACUAUCUCCAGGUUAGUAGAUAGCUUUGCUCUCUCUUUUUAUUUAAUCUCUUUCAAGUAGGAAAAUAUGCUGACAUGGAUCUCUUAUAGAGAGCCUAUAGAUAACCAUUGUGGGUGCCCUUAGUCGCUGAAGUUGAAUGAGAUUAACAAUUUUAUUAUUUUGUUCGGAUAAGGCGUUCAGGUUAAUUCAAGAUUUCAAGUAGUUGAGAGAAACCAUAUAUACGUAUGUUUUCCCCUCGCAUAUGGAUUCAUCUAUGUACGAGUUAUUCAGCCGUAGUAUCUGACGACUAUUGUAUCUCCCUCCCCCCCCCCCCCUUUUUUUUUAAAAAGUCUUUUUCACGUAUAAUUAGCAUUAAUCAGUUAAGCUGGCGAGAUUUGUCGGUCCCCAAAUUUUUGUCGUUUGUUGAGGUUGAAUUUGUAGACGGUCCACGAAGACCAAAACUCGAGAAGCCAAACCCUAUCCCCUCACAUAGGCUCGAUCAGCCCGGAGGACAGGAUUCUCCUGGAUUUUACUUAUCUUUAUGAUCAUCGAUCUAUUUUUGGUAGAAUUAUUCAAACUGAAUUUUGAAUUUUCAUUCAAAUUCGGUGAAAUUCCGCUGUUUGUCUUCUUCUUCUUCUUCUUUCCUUUUUUAAGCUGGAACCUUGCUCCACAGCAGGGUUCAAAAUUUUGGAUUUGUUCUAUCGGACCUCCCGAUGUGAUAUUAUUUCGGCCGAAAUUUUUAUUUUUUUUCAUUUUUUCGUGAAUUUAGUAAUAUUUUGAUCAAAUUUUAUUCAAUAAUUCAUAUAAUUUCAGACCAAAAAUUCGGUAUUUCGGCCACCCCGAUACAAAUGACCAAACCGAAAGAUUAAACCCUGCUUCGUAGUGAUUCCAAAGGAGGGCAGCCGCACGGACCCUAAAUCAAUAAUAAAACUAUAAUAUGAGUGGUGAGAUGGCACUAAAUAUCAAGUGCCAAAAUGAAAUAUGUGCUGACUGAUUUGUACUCCCUUGUGUCUUUUUUACUUGUCUAGUACAACUGAGAGAGUAUCAAAUGCACAUGUUGUUACCAUUCUCUUUGUCUAAUCAUAUAUCUAUAAGAAUUAGUAGAAAUAUAACUAAAAUGCCAAAUUUAACAAACUCAUUUCCACAUAUCAAAUCUUAUUAUUUUUUUCGAUAUUUUAGCUGGUAAAGAUUUUUGAGGUUUGCAUGUAUUCUAAUACAACACCGAAAAAGAACAGAGGGGUUAUGCAUUGUAAAAGUUGUGCCUUGAAUGGUUUACGCUGUUCUACACGGUACAUGUGACAUGUUCAAGAGCUUGGGAGUGCAACUCUUGCAGUGUGGAUGGCCUCAUGGCAAUCCAGUAGGUCUGAACAGAAUCAAGCAAUAUUUUCAUUGUCAUUAAUUAAGCAAUAGAUGCCAUUGUUUCCAUGAAAAGUAGCUGCACUGGUCUGUCACUGUCAUUGUUAAGUUGUCCGUUAGCAUAAUUCACCUCUCAAGAAAACCCCUACAUUUUGAUCCUGAAUUCAUUGCUGACAUGUCAUUGUCCUGAUUGACAGGCUAAAUAUUAUACUAGGCUACUUGGAGUCUUUGAUCCACUGGUGGAGAAACCAUCUUUCGUCGGUCGGCCAAAUUCCACAAUAGUCCCGGAUGCAAUAAAAACCGAGGCUAAAGAUGAUUUUUAGUCCCGGUUCAAAAGGGUAAUGGGCAUAUUUGAUCUUUAGUCCCGGUUGGUCACCAUCUUUAGUCCCGGUUCAAAUGCUGUCAGGGCCUGUCAGGCCCCCCGGGAUCUUUAGUGAUCGUAACUUUAGUCCCGGUUGGUAGAUCUCGGGGAUCUUUAGCCCCGGUUGGUAACACCAACCGGAAUUAAAGUCCCACCCCUAUAUAUAUAUGUCUUCUUCCUCCUCCAGCUGCCCGAGCAAGCUUCAAAAUUUCUUCAAAAAAGAGGGUAGGUCAUGCCAAAAUUUCUAGUGAAUUUAUUUUGGUAAUUACAUACAAAUCGGAGGUGCCUAAAAAGUUUGCAACUUCAUCCUCCAAUGUUUUUUUUGUCAUAUUACAUUUGCAGUUAUGUUUUGCACACUUUUUUGUCUCUAAAAUUUAGUUGUAAGUUGAUGAGAGAGAAAAUUUGUGUGGGUUAGAAAGAAUAUAUACAAAUUUAGUUGAUUUGAUAAAGAAGGUUUUAUAAAAUAGUUGAGAAGGAAAACUAUAGUGAAAGUUAAUCUUGAAUACUAGAAAACAAACUAAAAUGAAAAUUAAAAGAAGUAAAACACAUUAAAAUUAGUUUAAAACUUUAGAAAUAGUAAAUAAGAAUUAUUUGGUGUAAUAUUUUAUGAUUUUUGUAUGAAUAAAGAUGUGUCAUUAUUGUAUGACUGUUGAAACAGUUUGUAAUUAUCUUAUAAUUAUUGUAUGACUGUCAUUAUUGUAAGAAUAAUUAUUUGUGUACGAUUUUUUUCGACUCAUGUAGAUGGAUCGGCAAUGGAUGUACGCUGACCGGCGGUCCAAAGAGUUUAUUGACGGCGUGCACUAUUUUUUGAGAGUGGCCGAAGCUAAUAGGCAAAGGGGUUUUAUUUGUUGUCCAUGCAAUAAGUGUAAGAAUCAGAAGGAGUAUUCUGCAUCCAGGACUAUUCAUUUCCACUUGUUUGAGUCGGGGUUUAUGCCAAGCUAUAAUUGUUGGACAUCCCACGGAGAGCAAGGUAUUGAAAUGGAAGAAGAUGAAGUGGAAGACGACAAUAUUCCGGACUUUGCUCAGUACGUUGGAUUUGAAGGAAAUCAAACGGGCGAGGAGGAAAGGGAUGCUGAUGGUAACGACGUUGCGGAUGAUCUUGGUCAGAUGUUGCAGGAUGCCAAGGAGGACUGCGAAAGUGAAAAGGGGGCCCAUAAAUUGGACAAGAUGUUAGAGGACCACAGAACUUCGUUAUACCCAGGUUGCGAGCAGGGGCACAAAAAGUUGGAUACCACUCUGGAGUUCUUGCAAUGGAAGGCAAAAAAUGGGGUUAGUGACAAGGCAUUUGGCGAUUUAUUGAAACUCGUCAAGAACAUUCUUCCGGAGGGAAACAAAUUGCCCCAGACAACGUACGAGGCUAAGAAGAUAGUCUGCCCGCUAGGACUGGAAGUUCAGAAGAUUCACGCAUGUCCGAAUGAUUGUAUCCUAUAUCGCGGUGAGGAGUAUGAGAACCUAGAAGCAUGCCCUGUUUGCAAAGCACUACGAUACAAGAUUAGACGAGACGAUCCAGGAGAAGUUGACGGGCAGCUAACAAAGAAGAGAAUUCCUGCUAAGGUGAUGUGGUAUUUCCCUAUAAUACCACGGCUAAGGUGUUUGUUCAGGAAUAAGGGGAAUGCUAGAAUGAUGCGAUGGCACGCUGAAGAGCGUCAACAGGACGGGAUGCUGAGACACCCCGCCGAUGGUUCGCAGUGGCGAAACAUCGACAGAAAAUUUAAAGAAUUUGGAAAGGACGCACGAAACAUACGGUUUGAUUUGAGUACGGAUGGCAUGAAUCCUUUUGGAGAGAUGAGCAGCGGCCAUAGCACUUGGCCCGUUACGAUGUGUAUCUAUAACCUUCCCCCCUGGCUAUGCAUGAAGAGGAAGUACAUAAUGAUGCCGAUUAUUAUUCAAGGCCCCAAGCAACCUGGUAACGACAUCGAUGUGUACCUAAGACCACUGGUCGAAGAUCUUAAACUGUUGUGGAAGAAGGAAGGUGUCCCCGUGUGGGACAACGACAAACAGGAGGAGUUUAACCUACGAGCGCUGCUGUUCGUAACCAGCAACGAUUGGCCUGCACUUAGCAACCUAUCCGGACAGUCCAACAAGGGGUACAAGGCUUGCACUCACUGUAUGGAUGAAACAGAAAGUACGUAUCUUAAGCACUGUAGGAAGGUUGUUUACAUGGGUCAUCGUCGAUUCCUUGUAGCAAACCAUCCGGUACGGAAGAAAGGCAAGCACUUCGAACAUAAGGCUAACCACCGUACGAAGCCUAAACAUCGCAGCGGGAAAACAGUGUUUGCUAUGGUUAAAGAUCUUAAAGUAGUGUUCGGAAAGGGGCCUGGAAGCCAGCCUAUAGAGAGCGAAGAUGGUCACGCGGCGAUGUGGAAAAAGAACUCUAUAUUUUGGGAGUUACCCAAUUGGGAAUUCUUGGACGUACGCCACGCAAUCGACGUGAUGCACCUCACUAAGAACCUUUGCGUAAACCUUCUUGGCUUCCUAGGUGUACACGGAAAGUCGAAAGAUACACUGGAAGCACGUAAUGAUCUGAAGCAUAUGGAAGAACGCGGCGACCUUCAGCCGGAACCAAAGGAGAAAGGAAGCCAUUACUUGAGUCCAGCCAGCUACACUCUUAGUAUGGCAGAGAAGGAAAGUAUGUUUGAAUGCUUGGAGAGCAUAAAGGUACCGUCUGGAUACCCCACGAAUAUCAAGCGAAUAAUAAGCACGAAGGAAAAGAAGUUCACAAACCUAAAGUCUCAUGACUGUCACGUGUUGAUGACACAACUGCUACCAGUUGUAAUAAGGGGUAUCCUUCCAGACAAUGUCCGGGCAACGAUAACAAAGAUAUGUGCAUUCAUGAACGCAAUUUCGCAGAAGGUCAUCGAUCCGGAUAGAUUAGAAGCCCUUCAGAAUGAUGUGGUGCAAUGUCUCGUCAGUUUUGAGUUGAUAUUUCCACCUUCAUUUUUCAAUAUAAUGACGCAUCUGCUUUGUCACCUUGUGAAAGAGAUCAGUAUUCUCGGGCCUGUGUACCUACACAACAUGUCCUUUCGAGAGGUACAUGGGCAUUCUGAAGAAGUAUGUUCGUAACCGUGCUCGUCCAGAGGCAAGCAUCGCCAAGGGUUAUGGAACAGAGGAGGUCAUCGAAUUUUGCGUAGAAUUUAUCGAAGAUCUUCGCUCAAUCGGGGUACCUGAAUCACGCCAUGAAGGAAGACUACGGGGAAAGGGAACUCUCGGAAGGAAAGCAAUAAUGACGGUAGACAACGAUUUAUUCCGUAAAGCCCAUUUCACGGUUCUGCAACAAUCUUCAUUGGUAGCUCCUUAUGUCGAGGAGCACUUGGCUCUAGUUCGCGCCAGGAACAUCGGUAAGUCCGAUGCAUGGAUUACAUGGCAUCACAUUGAUACUUUCCCCGCGUGGCUACGACAACAUCUCAUGGGUAACGAGUCGAUCAACCAACAACUUGCCUUCCUGGCGAGGGGACCGUCUGGGUCGAUCGCGACAUUCCAGGGAUAUGAGAUCAAUGGGUAUACAUUCUACACGAGAGCCCAAGACAUGAAGAGCACGAACCAAAACAGCGCUGUUCGUGUCGAUGCCAUGGGACACGAUGGAACAACUGGCACGUAUUACGGUGCCAUCGAGGACAUAUGGGAACUUGACUAUGGUCCUCUCAAGGUCCCUCUGUUCCGGUACCAAUGGGUUAGGUUGACUGGUGGAGGCGUAAUGAUUGAUGACAGUGGGAUGACAACGGUUGACCUUAACAAGGUUGGAUACUCGGACGAACCUUUUGUCCUUGCCAAUGAUGUAACGCAAGUCUUUUUCGUGAAGGACAUGUCUAGCAAAGGAAAGAAGGGCAGAUGGCCUAACGAGCCUAAGUGUCAUGUGGUUCUCCCAAGCAAAAGAAAAAUCGUCGGAGUUGAGGACAAGACUGACGAGGAUUACGAUCAGUUGGAUGGGCAACCCCCUUUCACGGUGACGAUUGACCCUAGCAUCCUCCUAUCAAAUGAAGACACCCCUUACUCACGUAGCGAUCACAAGAAGGGAACAAUAGUGAGGAGAAAGUACGUGCGGUCAACCGUCACCGCCGAUGUAUUGCCGUAAUUAUUGUGUACACGAUGUAAACUAUUUUGGAUGUAUUGAUUAUCCAUAUAAAUCAAUUGAUGUAUGGCAUAUGUUAAUUACGCACGAUUAUUAGAGGUUUUAACAAGUUUAAAUCAUGUAUAUGCUAGUUAUAUGCGAUACUUACAAUUUUUAAAAGUUUUAAAUCACGCAGGUGGCAAUUUCAUAUGUUAAUUAGAGUUUUUAACAUUUAAUUUACUAUCAUUCAUAUGCAUGUGGCAUUUACAUAUGCUAAUUAUAAUUGACUAGAGAAUUUUUAAAAGUUUCAAAUCAUGCAUGUGGCAUUUACAUAUGUUAAUUAGAGUUUUUCACAAUUUAAUUUACUAUCAUUCAUAUGCUAAUUAUAUAUGACUAUUCGAAUUUUUAAAAUUUUUAAAUCAUGCAUGUGGUAUUUACAUAUGUUAAUUAGAGUUUUUAACAAUUAAUUUAAUAUAAUUCCUAUGCUAAGUAUAUAUGAUGAUUACAAUUUUUAUUAAUUUUAAAUCAUGCCGUAUGUAUAUACAUAUGUUAAUUAGAGUUUUUACGAAUUUAAUAAUAUCAUUCAUAUGCUAAGUAUAUAUGAUUAUUAGAAUUUUUAUUAAUUUUAAAUCAUAUAUUUGCUUAUUACGAUUUAUCCACUUAAUUUAUUACAGACAACAGUAAUUUUUCGAAGUAAUUGUCAUUAAUCUUUGUACUUUAAAUAAUUGUAAUGCAUUAUCUUCUAUUUUAGAAACACAUAUGUAAUGGAAAAUAAUAUUCAGUGCGCUUAUCAGUAGUCCCGGUUCUUAACCCUAACCGGGUUUAAAAAGAAUUUGAAAAUAGCGGGAAAAGAUCUUUAGUCUCGGUUGAUGAGAACAACCGGGACUAAACAACCGGGACUAAAUCUUUAGUCCCGGUUGUUCUCAUCAACCGGGACUAAAGAUCUAGGGGUAUAUAUAUUCCCGAUGCGCGCCCUCGUCUUCUCCACUAACACUUAGAAGUUUUUGCCCGAUCAAUCUCUCUCGGCUUCUCCUUCGCCGCCACUGCCUAGGGCAUCCCCGCGCCGACGCCGCCGCCGUAUCUCGCCGUCGUCUCGCGCUCGUCGUCGUCGCCGCCGCCUCCGCCUCCUCCGCCGCCGCCGCAUCUCUGGGGUGAGAGCCGCCGCCGUGCAGCGCCCGUUCCGUCAUGGCGCCUAGCGGGAAAACUAUCUCUUAAAAACCCUAAUUGCGAAAUCUGUUUCUUUGCUUGUUGUCUAGUGUCUGUGCCAUCUCAGAUCUCGAAUCCCCGAUCUAUCGUCAAGUUCAAUCCCGAAUCCAAAUCCUUCCCAAAUCAAUUCCCUCUGCAAAAGUCUAUUUUGCCUCCCUCGGGUUCGAUGGGCCGAAUUCCUCUCGGCCCAUCUCUCCCUCCCUCCCCAUCUCUCUCUCCCUCUCUCUCUCUCUCUCCCCGCUCUGCCCGUGAGCCGCGCCGAGCCCUCCCUCUCCACUCUCGCUGCCGUUCCCGCCGACGCCGCCAAAUCGUCGCCGCGCGCCGUUGCUUCCCGCGCGCACGCGCCAUGGUGGCCGACCGGCCAGUCGCCGCCGCCGUCAGAUACAACAUUAAGCAACACUUGACAGAUGAUGGGAUCAGCCAGGCCUGGGUGGCCGUUUGAAAGCUGUUGGCCGGAUGUCAACCUUGAUCAAUUCAAAAGACUGAUACCUUGCACAUACUCCGACCGGACGAGACGCACUGUCUCAUCCGUGUCGUUUGAGAAGCACUCACUUAGUUGUUUCAGAAAAGAGUUUAAAUAAAAUCAAUUGCAAAAACAACAGCCUUUCCGUUGAAGCCUGCAUUAAACACUUAUUUCCCACGGCUUGCUGAGUACUCCUGUACUCACCCUUGCUCUAUAUAAAUAAUCCCCCCCAGUUGCUGAAGAAGAUGAAGCGGAUCCCGCUGACGAGGAGUUCUUCCAGGAGCAAGUCGGCUACGAUGAGUUUUCGGGUUUCGGCCUAGUUCCCAAGUCGCGCCUGUGAUGUUUGGUCCAAGUCUUGGCUUCCGCUUCCCUUUUGUAAUGCAGUUGUGAGCUCGGGAUCUGUCCGCAGCCCAAUAUGACUGUACUCCUACUCUAUAAUAAAGAGACCUCUGUUGCUGUGAUAUUCUGUCUUCCUGUGAUACCAGCACUGUUUCCUGGGACUGGUAUCGAUUAACAGGUUAAUUUGGAGCGUCACGGUCUAGUCCCGCUCGGGGCUAGUUCGGGGCGUGACACGCCGCCUCCCUCGAUCUCUCUCUCCGAUCCUCGCGCCGCCACACCGCCGCCGCGCAACGCCGCCGCCGUGCAACGCCGCCACCGGGCGUACCGCCCCGACGGCACCGCGCCGCGCGCAGCACGCCGCCGCCGCACCACGCCGAUGCUGCGCGCGGCGCCACGCCGCCGCGCCAUGCGUCGGCCCGAUGCCGCGCGCGGCGCCACGCCGCCGCCGCGCCGCCGCUCCGCUGCCGCCACACCGCCGUCCCACUGCCGCCACACCGAGAACGUGAACGAGCGAACGAACAUGAACGAGAACAAGGUGAAUGAACGUGAACGAGAACGAGCGAACUAACGUGAACGAGCCAACGAACGUGAAUGAGAACGAGCGAACGAACGUGAACGAUAACGUGAACGAGCGAACGAACGUGAACGUGAAAUGCAAUUAUAGGCAGAUGAAUGAACGUGAACGAACAAACGUAGGUGAAUGAAACGUGACCUUAACGAGAACGCGAACGUGAACGAUAUCGUGAACGAAACGUGAACGUCAAAUGCAAUAUAUGUUACUUCGCGUUUAUCCUAAUACAUCUUUUUGUAUCUUGCAGAAAAGACGUUGUCAGAGUCAUCUCUCAAGCCGGAGUGGUAGAGCUAGCCCUCGAAGGAAUUCGCGCAGGCAAGUGACGUAAUUAUAUAUAUGAUUGUUAUAUUUGUAAUGCAAUUAAGAUUAUUAGAUUUGUAAUUAGACUUAGCAUAUAAGAUUGUGUAGUGUUCUAAUAUACGACAGUUACACUUAGCAUACAUGACUAUUUGAGUUUUAGUAUAAGAUUAUUUAAGUUUUAAUACAAGAUUAUUAUAUUUGUAAUUAGACUUAGUAUAUAAUUAUUGACUAGCUAGGGUCCUAUAAUAUAUGUCACCUAGACUUAGCAUAUAUCACUAUUUGAGUUUUAGUAUAAGAUUAUUAGAUUUGUAAUUAGACUUAGCAUGUAAGAUUGUGUAGGGUUCUAAUAUACGACAGUUACACUUAGCAUACAUGACUAUUUUAGUCUUAGCAUAUAAGAUUAUUUGAGUUUUAAUAUAAGAUUAUUAUAUUUGUAAUUAGACUUAGUAUAUAAUUAUUGACUAGCUAGGGUCCUAUAAUAUACGUCACCUAGACUUAGCAUAUAUCACUAUUUGAGUUUUAGUAUAAGAUUAUUAGAUUUGUAAUUAGACUUAGCAUGUAAGAUUGUGUAGGGUUCUAAUAUACGACAGUUACACUUAGCAUACAUGACUAUUUUAGUCUUAGCAUAUAAAAUUAUUUGAGUUUUGAUAUAAGAUUAUUAUAUUUGUAAUUAGACUUAGUAUAUAAUUAUUGACUAGCUAGGGUCCUAUAAUAUACGUCAUCUAGACUUAGCAUAUAUCACUAUUUGAGUUUUAGUAUAAGAUUAUUAGAUUUGUAAUUAGACUUAGCAUGUAAGAUUGUGUAGGGUUCUAAUAUACGACAGUUACACUUAGCAUACAUGACUAUUUUAGUCUUAGCAUAUAAGAUUAUUUGAGUUUUAAUAUAAGAUUGUUAAAACAUAAAUGUCUCAUGACUUAGCAGAUGUUUCCUGUAUGAACAGAUGGCUAAUCGCGAUGAGGAACAAAUAUUGUACGAUACAAUCGCGGAGGGAAGUAGCCAGUACUGGAACGAAGAAGAGGGGAACGAGGAUCCAAACCAGUAUUUGAACGAGGAAGGGAACGUGGAGAGGGAUGCAGAGGGGAACCAGGAGGGGCACGUGGAAAGGGAUGUGGAGGGGAACCAGGAGGAGAAGGCUAGUGGAAGUCAACCCUCCGUUGGACAGAAGAGGGCACGCGGGUAACGAGGUACCACGAAGAAGCUUGAGGGUCGGCACAUCAUAACGGAAGUGGAAGAAGAUGGACGACCUAGUGCCCCGGCAGAAGCCGCCAAGAACUAUGUAUGUCACAGUGGUUGGGUUGUGCGGGAUAACGUGCCUGUCAGUACGGUGUACUGGCAAAGAACAAGGGCACGCAGAGAUCAUGAGAGCUUUGUCCCAGAUUCGAAGAAAGAGAUGCUGUGGACCACAAUGCUCGAGACAUUCACCCUUCCCGCGGGUAGAGAGGACAAAGUGAAAAGGUGGACUCUGAAGAAAAUGGCAGAACAGUUUCAGAGCUUCAAGGGAGAUCUGUACCAGAAAUAUAUCCUGAAGGGGCAGACACCGAACUUCGACACAUUCCCAAAGCUAAGGGAUCACUGGGACGAGUUCGUUGCAUAUAAGACAGGUGAACAAGGGCAGGCGAUAAUGGAAAGAAACAAAGAAAAUGCCGCCAAGAAGAAGUACCAUCACCACUUGGGGUCAGGCGGCUAUAGCGUUGCGAUGCCGAAGUGGGAGGAGAUGGAGGCAAGCUUGCUUGAGAGGGGUAUCGAACCGGCCACCGCUAAUUAGCCGGAACGAUCGAAGUUCUGGUACUAUGCUCACGGUGGAACGCUCAACCCAGCUGAUGGCCCACUGGUCUUCGGCGAUCAGAUACAAGAGGCUGCGCGUUGACUAGCAGACGCAGUGGAAGCCUCUUCUUAGGGCACGUUCCGACCGGACAGAGAGAGGGACGAGCUGUCACUCGCCCUGCAGACUCCAGAGCAUCCAGGACGAACACGAGCGAAAGGGGUGAUUCCUUGGAAGAUUAGGUUCAAGGAGGACAUCCACACGUACAGGAGUCGGAUGAGGAGCAAGAGAGAUACCAAGGUGAAGAUUGCAGAUCUAGAGUUCAGGGUAUCGAGCUACGAGCGCAGCAUGCAAGAGGAGGUGGCAAGGAAGGUUGAUGAACGCAUGGCCGCACAUCGGUCCCAUGAUCCCCAGCCGACCAUUCCUCCUGCAAUGGUGAGCCCGUCAGGAAACCGUAGCAGCUGCGCCUCAAUGGGGCAGGUAGGAUCACAGAGUAUGGACGCCAUACAAACCCAGGACGAAUCCACUUGCCCCGUUGAUGACAUCAUUCAGUGGACACCAUGUGAGCUGCAUAUUCCUUUCAAGAACUUAUCAAUAAAGGUAAGCUCGUAGUUUAUAUAUUUUAGAUUUGGCCAUUCCGCUAGUUGCUGCUUAUAUAUGUUGAUUACUAAUAAAUAACCUCUCACCACAUGAAGGUGGCGUCGGGCAUGGCCAUCCCAAUGGACCUUUCAGGUACUUACCACUGCAGGCCGAUUCCAGCAGGAUACUCCAAGGUCGAAGUUGAGUUGGUCGAAGGCGCGUACGAGGACCUCGCGCUGGAUUACCCUGGAGGAGACGGUGAGACGCAUCUACGAGACACAAGCCAUGCCAUUAUUCUAUGGCGCAGGCGGUACAUCAUCCUCCCUGGGCGACAAGCGGCGUCUCAUGCACCAUCUCCUCCGGCUCUGCCAUCUCCUCCUCAGGCUUCAGCACCGUCUCCACCUCAGGCUCCUACACCGACUCCUCCUCAGGCUCCUGCACCGUCUCCACCUUAGGCUCCUGCACCGACUCCUCCUCAUGCUCCAGCACCGUCUCCACCUUAGGCUCCUGCACCGACUCCUCCGCAAGCUCCUCUUCCGGCACCUUCAAAGUCAAGGGCCCCCCAAGCUCCACCGCUUGCCCACACAAGGGCAACGAAGAAGGCGAAAGUUGACGCCGCCAAGAACAAAGACCUAAUUAAUUAAAGGAUGACAUUCUCUGGAUCAAUUUCAAGGGAAUCUACGAACUAUACCAGCUGGAUGCCCUCGACGUCUCUAUUAUGAGUUGCUGGAUUUUGUAAGUAUAUCGUUCAGUUAGAUUUCUUACUACGUCUCCUUUAAUUAAUUAGGUCCUUGUAUAUAAGUAGACUAUAGAAAAUAAUAUACUCCCUUUUAUCAUUGUAGAAUGGAGAUUCAAAGGGCCCGACGGCGGGGGGUUUUCGAUACUGGAUUCAUCGACCCUCGGAAAGUAAACGUCGCAAUGCUCGACCAAUAUCCGCAAGCCACAGAGGACAAUCUCGUCCAUCUCCUAAAGGCGCAGCAUUACAAGACGUUCAUACUGUUGCCGUACAACACAGAGUUAGUUUAAUUUUACUGUCUUCCUAUACCAAAUUUCAUUCCCGUAUGAACUUGCUAAGUGUUUCAUAUGUAAUGCAUCCCACGCACAUUGUAGAUUCCACUGGGUGCUUUUACUCUUCGACCUGUCGGCCUGCACCGUCAAUGUAUAUGACUCAAUGGAUAAAAAAGAGUCUACGUUUGACAAGGUUUUCGAACUUAUAGACAGGUACUGUCAUAAGUUCCUCUGUUAAUUAAGAAAAUCUUGUUAUGUUAAUUGCUACUACGAAUCAUAGCUUUAAACUCCAUGUAGGGCUUGGUAUCGGUUCCGUCAUUUGGUCCGCGGCAACUGGAGAGAAAGACUUAGGCGGAAGUUCAAAUUUUCUGUGAGUACACAUGCUCUACAUUUAUAUUUCUCCGAUUCAAAUACAUACAAGUGUAUAUUAAUUAGAUCUCUCGUCGUUUGUCAUUUAUUUGUAGUGCGCAAAGCAAAAGCAGUUCAAAGCACUUAGGUAUUAACAUUAACCACUUUACUAACUAGUUCAAAGCAAGUUUGAACUGAAUUUGAACUUGUUUUUGUUAGAUUUUGAUUCUAGGUAUAUAGCAUCCAUACAUAUAAUUAGUUAGGUAUGUAAUCAUGGAUUGUGAAAUAAAGUUAAAUUUGAGUUGUUUUGUUGAUAGGUAUAGGUAUGAAUCGAAUUAUUAUAACUAGGUAUAUACUCACAAUUUGAAAAUUUUGAAAAAUUUGAGUGAUUUUGUGCAUUUGAUACCAUGGUGCCGGGCACCAUGGUGCCCUAUAUGAGUGUCUAUAUAUAUAUAUAUAUAUAUAUAUAUAUAUAUAUAUAUAUAUAUAUAUAUAUAUAUAUAUAUAUAGACACACACACACAUACAUACAUAUGCAUUUGCAAAACAUAUAUAUGUAUAAAUACAUAUAUAUUAUGCAUGUACAUAUGUAUUGAAACAUAUAUAAAUAUAAUAUAUAUAUAUAUAUAUAUAUAUAUAUAUAUAUAUAUAUAUAUAUGCAUAUAUUAUAUAUGCAUAUAUAUGUAUUGAAACAUAUAUAUGCAUGGUUUAUAUAUAUAUAUAUAUAUAUAUAUAUAAACCAUACAGUAAUAGGGCCAUACAAAAAAAAAGGUUAGCUCGAUCUUUAGUCCCGGUUGAUGUUAUCAACCGGGACUAAAGAUCGAUCUUUAGUCCCGAUUAUUUCACCCGGGACUAAAGAUAGCGAUCUUUAGUUUCGGAUUGGUAGUCCCAGUUUAGAAACCAGGACUAAAGAGAAGUUACGAACCGGGACUACAAAGGGUUUCUCCACCAGUGAAUAUCGCGUCCUUGUCACUGGGCAUAGGAGCGCUGCCUAUGAUCAGCACGGGUAAGUACAAAUUUAUACUCGCAUUAAAACAUUGACAUGUGCUCAUACAUGCAUAAAUAUAAAUUGUUCUGCCUAUGUAUAUAUCAUAGGAGUAUAUGAUACACCAGGUACAGGGGAUAUACAUUAUUUUUCCUUUUUAAAUUUCCCACUAACAGUAACAGAUUGUCUUUUAUUUUCCUUUGUAACAAAUAUGCAUGUCUUGGACACUUGUUUUUGGGGCGGGGUCAUGCUCAUUUUAUCUGCAGGUUUGUCCAUGGGAAGUCAGGAAAGUAUCAUAGCUUGUGAUCUGUGCGGCUGCAUCCUGGGACAGGUUUUGAAGUUUGCUCUUGGACCCAUUGCGAUGACCAUUGCAUCCAAAAUUGUUGGCCUUCACGGCAACAAACUCCGGGCUGCCAUCAUACAGGUAUCUAAUUACAAUGUUAUUUGUAGUCAGACGUUUAGAGACCAAACGCAACUUUCUCACGACACAUUUCCAUAUUACCUUCCAACUACGCUCUUUAAUCUUUUUCUUUUCUUGCUUCGAUGAUGGAAAUCCAACCCUUCUUAAUUACCUGCUUGAAUAUUCAGAAAGCGAGCGCGGUUGAUAAUGGUUGAAAGUAGCUUUUCUUUACCAUGGCAAGACGAUUGAUAAUUGUUAAUCUUUUUUUCCCUGAGAUUGAUAACUUUUAAUCUUGAUCACUUCCUAGCUUAGAUUUACUCAAAUAGUUAAGUUCACAAUGGUCAGAUUUUUAAAAGAACAUAAUGGCCAGUUUUUUCUGUGUUCAAACAUAAUGGUCAGAGACUCAGAGUUAAUCUUAGCUUUACCCAAAUUGGAACGUUUCGGACUCUCCUAUGUUAGCUCGCCAUUGUAAUCCUGUUCUACGCAAGGAAAACUGAUGAUCUCUUGAUCUGUGCAAACAUUUUGCAGGCUGCUGUACCACAAGCCAUUUCAUCAUUCAUAUUUGCAAAAGAAUACGGGCUGCAUCCUGAGAUUAUUAUCACCGCGUAAGAUCUUCCAACUGAUUUACUAAUUAAGUGAGAAAGUAUAUACUCCCUCUGUUUCUAAAUAUUUGACGCCGUUGACUUUUUUAAAUAUGUUUGAUCAUUCGUCUUAUUUAAAAAAAUUAAGCAAUUAUUAAUUUUUUUUCAUAUCAUUUGAUUCAUGGUUAAAUAUACUUUCACGUAUACAUAUAGUUUUACAUAUUGCAUAAUUCUUUUUAAUAAGACGAAUGGUCAAACAUAUGCUAAAAAGACAACGGUAUCAAACAUUUAGAAACGGAGAGAGUCCUCGUUUCGACGUUACCAUCCUAACUGCUUAAUUAAUUCAAUCUGCAGGGUGAUUAUCGGGAUGCUUCUCGCUGUGCUGUUCCUACCUCUAUACUACGUAAUCUUACGGCUUACUACAUAAGGCAAAAUCUCCUGCCUUUCCUUAAAAAAAUUCUUAUGGCUUACUCUAUCUAGACAUUCAGAUGACAGCAGGGAGUAUAGAUACAGAAGGAAAAGAGAGAUACCAUGUAGUGGGUGAAAUGCGUAGACAGUGUAUACGUACUGUAUGAUUGUAAUUUGUAAGAAAAAUAGAGCUACUUCCUCCGUCCCUAAAAAACGAAUCUAAUACAUGUGACAUAUUCUAGUACAAUGAAUUUGGACGGAUGUAUGUACAGAUUCGUAAUAUUAGGAUAUGUCACAUUCAGUACUAGGUUGAUUUUUUAUAGGAUAGAGGGAGUACGUGUGAAAUGUGUGGACAGCGAAUAAGUACGGAAUGAUUGUUGUAACGGUUUGCUUUAAGCGAAUAUACAGAUUUGAAUGAUUUUUUCCUCAAUUUUGAUGCAAGCCAUUUGCGAGCGCGCGCACACACAGAUAGCGUUGGCUCUGUGAUGAAUUCUCGAAUAAUACUCCCUAGCUCAGUUUUAUGAUAUAAGUCAAACUGUUUUAAGUUUGUCUAAGUUUAUAGUCAAAUAUAGUAAUAUUUAUAAUACUAAAUUAGUUUCAUCAAAUCAAUAAUUAAAUAUAUUUUUAUAAUAAAUUUGUCUUGGGUUGAAAAUGUUACUAUUUUUUUUAGAAACUUAGUUAAAUUUAAAAUAGUAAAAGUCAAAAAGUCAAAACGUUUUAUAACCUAAAACGGAGGGAAUAAUACAUUUUGUGUUGUCCAUGCAAUCGAUUAGUGUUAAGUACCAGCAGUACCUGAUCAACAAUUAAGCUUCAGCUUGAGCGGUUUUCAGCUCUGAACAACUGUUCGUCGUGUUCUGUUCCAUCUUUUCUCUAUGUCUCUUGCAGGGUUUACAUUACCGUCGGUAAUCACGCGGUUACCAGUUUUAUCGUGGGGUACGGUAAAAAAACCACGGUAACCACCUUAAAUUUAAAUAAAUUUAGAAAAUAAUUUAAAUUUUAAAUUAGAAAAUAAUUUAAAUUUUACCGUGGUUACCGUGCCUACCGUCGGGGAAACCCUGGUCUCCGGUGAUGAAGGAAAAGGGACUCGAUCUGCAAUUUUUCAGCCCCAUCUGUCACUAUCUGAAAACUGAAGCAGCACUGAACUGCAUCAGAGAAGGCUGGGCCUAAAGUGGGCUCUGGCCCGCAUGAAGGCCUGCUAUGAAUCUUGCUGUUGGUGGAAUGGACUCAAUUAGUUAGCGAUCCAAGAGAGCGUCCUCCUUGUAAUUAAGCCAUUUGGGCCAUUACUAUCAGUUUCAAACCCAAUACACACUUGGGCUCAGAAACGAGGUAAGGCUACAUUUAGAACAGGAAUAAUUCUGACCUAAAAUUUCAGCUGCAUCGCACACAAGUCAGGAAGAAAGAUUCAUUCUUGCACAUUCUGAUUCUGGAGUUGGCACCUUUAAUUUCUAAGUUUUGUUGCACAUGAAACUCUUUCAUUAUUCCUUCAAAAAAAAACUCUAUCAGUAUUUUCUCUCAAUUGAGUGCCAGGUUGUAUGAAAACCAAUUCAUCUCCUUUAUUUUAUUCAGAAGAAAGGGAAGAAAACGUUCUUUCAGAAAAAAAAAGGGGAAGAAACUAACGAAGUCAGAAGCAGACUAAUUAAUUAAUUUAAUUCCACACUGCAAUCAGUGGGAAGUACUGAAGAAAGCUAUAGCUUGCUACAAAAUAAUUAAGUGGUACUAUUUUUUGCCUGGUGGAUACAACAUUAAGCAACACUUGACAAAUGAUUAACUAAAGUUUCAAGAAUUAAUCAAGACUGGCUGCACGUGACUAAUUUAUACAGCUCCAAUUUAAGGUUGUUAGUUAGGGCACGAUUAAUGUCGUAAUGAAGGCAUACUUAAUGUAGUCUCUCCCUGCAAAAAAAAUAGGUACUAAUUUUAAUAUUCUAAUUACAUGCAGGGACUUGCUGCAAAAAUAGGAUAACAGCAUAGGUUAUAUUGAUUCCUGUUUUUCAACGAAAUGGUAUACCCUUUUUUAGCCAAAAAAAACCUAUAGAGUUAAUAAUGGAAAUCCCCUAGAAAUUAAUUAUGAUCACUAGCUAGCUGGUAUCUCUGCUAGCUAGCUAAGCCACUCUCUAAGCUUAAUUAAUUAGUUGGUUCAGUACCAGUACUAUGCCCCGAUGCAAAAUAGUUAAGGCAUCGCUUGGACUGCAAGGAUUUUUCACAGGAAAUUUGAACAAAAUCUCAUAGCAAAUAUGAACAUUUCUCGAGAUCAAGACAUGCCUAGCUGGCUAAUUAUUUAUUGAUUUAUGGGAUGUCUUCACUAUUUCCUAUAGUAAAAGGAAGCAUGACCAAACUUUAAGCUCUACAAGAAAACCAUGAUUUCUCAGGUCGAGGUUCCAUCUAGAAAGUGACUUUUUGAAAACAAAGAUGCAUUAUGCAUGGUCCAUAGUCUUUUCGCGAAUGAAACAAACAAGAAAGAAAAGCAAAUAAUCAAAGAAAGAAAGCCCUGGCUACUGGAAAAGUACUAGCUGGUUAAUUACAGAUGAGAUCUAAAUUAAAGCAUCAGCCCCUGCCCAUAUAGAUCAUGAAAAAUGAAGUGGGACACACAUAUGCUACCCUUUUUUUACAAAUCAUAUUAUGAGAUCAGUGUUGGUUUUCAACAGGUAAUUAUUUAUAUUGAUUUAUAUAAAAGAGAUAAUCUAUCAUAUUCAGACCACAACAGCACUAAUUUUCAUAUUGCUAAUGAUUGAAUUUGACAUCUCGAUAUUAUAAUCUUGCUAGCAUUGUGCAAUGUUAGGUUGAUCAUGUGUGUGGCUGGUUUCAUAUAUAUGCAUUAAACUCAUCCUAGCUAGAAAAGCUUUUAAAAGGAUUUCUCAUCCAGAAUAUAUAUAUAUAGGUUUUUAGCAGGUCAAUGUAUGGGCAAAUGAAAUACUUAUGAUAAAACUUUUAGGUGUUGAAAGAAUACAUGAGACUAAUAUAAGUGCAAAGGUCAAUGUGCAAAUGAGAAUUACAAUCCAUGCAAAAGAGGAUUCUUCUUCCACACAGAAAACAAUAUGCAUCAUUGGUUCUGUAAAGGUCACGACAACUAGCCGAUUGGAUGAAUUAAUGGGACUAAUAAGCUUUAGUUUCACCAGCUCUCUCAUCAAAGAGAGAAAGCUAAAAAGGUGCUUAGACUUGCAGGGCGAAGGCUCCCAUUUGAGCAUAUCUUUUUGCAAAAAGCACGCAAGAAAUGAAGCAAAGGUGUUGAAGAACAUGGAAACUGGGUACCAAAUUGAGCAUGAGUUAGUUAGGCCUUUUCUUGCACAAUUUCUUGAAUUAGCACACAAAGGUGGAGUGAAGAUCAAUUAGUACUAAUUAAUUAGUAUAAUUGUGCAAUGAUAUUUAAUUACCAUGAAUUUAAUUAUAAGAGAGAUGAUAUUAUAAUGUAUCCCUUUUCAUCUUAUUUGUGUCUAACAAUGCAAAAGGCAUCAACAUGCAUUCCAAACCACUGGCUUCUGCUCCAUCAUGAGUGCUUCACUUGGCAGUUCCUAUUCCUUGUGCUAAUGAUGUGAACAGUACAUAUACUUCUAUUAUAGAGUUGUAUUGGGAUCUUGCUUUGUGCUAACAACCAAAGGUGGUGAUGGCCAAAUCCUAGGGGGCAAGAUUUCAUACUUCAACUGUCCAACACUUGCUUGAAGGAUUGCAAAGCUAUCGGGCCCUUCUAUAUAUCAACAAGCCAUGUCUCCAUUUCCUUUUUUGACACUUAAAAAGGGAUUAAUUAUUUGUGGUAGAAAAAUGCUAGAUAUUGUUGAAGACAGUUGUAUCUAAAGCAGGGAUAUUUAGAUAUACCUAAUGUGGUAUUUAAUAAGUCAUUUUUGGCAUGUCAAAAAAUCUAUGCAAACUUUGAAGUAUCAUUCACAAGCUAUAGCAAGUUUGGCAUAUAUUAGUUUUACCAAAAUAUGUGAAUUUCAAGGCCAGUGAGUGAUUCUAUUCAUAUGUCUACAUAUAGUAUAUAUGUUCAGGAACUCAAACUCGGGAUUUGAAGUGUCAUAAAUUAUUUAUUUUAUUCAAUUUCCACAUAUUCUUUUAGCUUGGAUAUACUAAGUUCAAAACAUAAAACUUGUUCUAUUCAAUACAAAUAUAUAUGACUGCAAACCUAGCUAGCUAGAAGUUAAUCCAAUACUGAAAAUGCAGAUGUGAAUCCAUCAAUGCAGCACACGAUUAAAAUUUUCAUAUAUAUAUGCGUGCGUGGUUAGGGAUGUUGCAUGCAUGAUUGCAACUGCUACGCUGAACUUGAAAGCUUAAAUGAGAAAGCAUUGUCCUUAGAUUGUUGGCCCAGGUUGGAAAACACUCCUUUUGUUUUCUUCCGUCUUACCAUGACCUAUAUAUGGGGACACUCGAUCUCUCGGAAAAAAUAGCUAUCAAUGGCAAGCAGUCUGUUGGUAAAGAGUUUUACCGACACUCAACCUGCCACGAGCAUCUGCCAGGGGUUCAACAGUCAAGAAAAAUAUUUACCAACAGACUUCUUAUUUAUUGGCAGAUGGGUGCUGAUAAUUUUAUAGUUUUUUCCGACAGAUAUUGUAUUUCGGUAGAUGGGGAUCUCCACCAUGUCGUCCUCCCGGUGGCUACACCCUCGUCCAUGUCCACCUUGUAGCAGCUCCGUUGCACCUCUACCCACUCGCUCGGCUGGCUUGCUUCGCCGCCUCCUCGUGCCAAAACCCUAGAGGCUACGCCUUGCCUAGCAGUGUGGUGAGGGAGACAGGUGUUUUUUCUUGUCACAGGAACCUUAUCCUAUCCACCCCAAUAUCUGACACGCCCUAGUGAUAUAGCAACAGACAGCUCGUCGGUCCAAGAUCUUUACCGAGUACCUACAGAUAGUCCGUCACUUUCUUUUACUGACAGAUUGUUUGACAUAGUUAUCUUUUUACCGAUAGAUUGUUUUGCCAGGAUAUUUACCGGCAGACUGACUUGUACCAAUAGUCCAUUUUUCCCAACAAACUAUUGCCUUCUAUUUGGUGUUGCGGUGUAGUGUAUAUACUGAUCACCAGAUGAUCAAUGCUAUAGUAUGAAUAUAUUUAAUAAUUACAGCAAAUAGAAAUUUUACCGUUCACUAAUUCAAUUUUAGUGUGUCACAUCACUAGGGGAGGGGUAAGAAUAAAAGCUCUAAAAACUCGCGGCUCAGCUCGAAUCAAGCUCAUAGUCCUAACGAGGCAAGUCAAGCUGCGCUUUUAUCUCUUUAGUUUAGCGAGCUAGCUCACGAGCAUCAUAUCUUCUUUUUAUACUUGCUUCUUAACCAAUACUUAGUCCUUUAUUUAUUUUAAAACUAUUUGUAUUUAGUUUUUUUAUUAGUUAAUAUUUUAUUAUUAUAUUAUGAAUCGGUAAAUUUAAAACUAUAGAGCCAGUAAUAUUAAUAUAAAUUAGAUAAAAUUUAUUGACAAACCUAACAAUCUUAAUGAACCAGUUUGCAAACCGAGGCAAGCUAGCACGUUUAUUAAGGUAUCGAGCCUAAUAAGUCGAGCCUUAAUGAAUCGAGCUGGCUCAUUACCCACACUUACACAUCAUAGGGUUUGGGUCAACAACAUGAGCAUAUGCUGUUAAAAUUAAAACUUAGAGAAUAAUUAUGUCAGGGUUAUGGAUACCUAAUAGUAGUUGACUAAAUCUCGGCAGGACCCACCACAUACCAUGUUUUAUACGGAAACAACCUUCGGGUAUAGAAGGAGUUCCGGAUAAAGAAAGAUAAAUAGAGUUCUACAUGGACAACAUAGACGCCACAAAGCCACAAGCCAAUACAAGCCAACAUACGCCAAGUCAAACUGCCAGAUAUCGACAUCAGAGAUAAGUCUAGGAAAACCCCAUAUGGUACCUACGGGAACCAAAGAGAGGAAUCUAGCGCUGUCUCUGACCUCGCCGGAUGUGGAUUCGAGGAGGAAGGCUACCCUGUUGUUGACUACGAGUCAGAACUUCAGACCACCAUGUCGACAACAGAUAGAUAAGCUACCCCAAAUAUUGUACUGGUGUGAUUAUGGUGAAUAAGAGCAACGACCGGCUUCGGUCAACAGGAGUAGGGUUAUUACCUGACAAUUCAGGGGCCCGAACCUGUAUAAAAAUCCCCGUCUCCAUCUUUUUUACUACAAUCUCGUAUAUACCCUGGUAUCAACAAUCCCCACACUAUACAAAUAUCGGAAUCGCGACAUCAAACAUCGACAAAUUAUAUAUGUUAUUGUGUCAAAUGCAAGAGGACAAGUUGCACGGUUUAUUAUACAUUCAAACUCCGAUCAAAUUAAUUAGUGGUUUGAUAAACAAUUUUCUACAUGCAGUUUGCAUAGUGUCAAAUAGUCAUUCAGACAGGGCUCAUUAGUUAUACAUGUACUCCCUCCAUUCCAUAUAAACCACUUUUCUUAGAUGUUCCAUAAUACUCCAUAAGGCAUGCAUGCAUAUAGGCAAUUAACUAUGACCCCUUCUCCAUUAAAUUAUUACUUUUUUAAUCCUCCACUCUCAUGUUCUUUAAUUCUAUUGGAUGCAUGCAUUGUAUUUAUUAGGAUGAUCCAAACUACAAGAUGAUAAUAAUUAUUUCUUAGUCUUUGUGUUAGGGGUGGUUAUGCCUUAUAUUUUGGAAUGGAGGGAGUAUUUAUCUCGUGACAGUUUCGCAUGAAACAAAGAAUUAAAUUUUAAUUACCAGAACUCUCAUAAUCUUUAUUUUCAAUUGGAACCUAUAUAUAUUUCUCUAAUUUCAAGAUAAACCCAAUGGAGCCUGCUUUAUUAAAUUUCUUACAAAUUAUUUUUAUAUUUAUUAAAUUUCAGGAGAAGCUAUCAAAGCUAGCUGGAAUAUCCUAUUAAAUUGUCUCAAUGUGCUAGAUGACAGCAUGAUAUUAGGGGUAGAGAAAGAGAGAGAUGUGAUGGCAAAGAUAGUACAUGGAGUACUCACUUUCCUGCCUCCCCUUCCUAUCUUUCUGGACCCUAGCAGCUAAUUGCAUCUGCUAACGACCUGUAAUUGCAACCAACCUACAUAUAUUUUGACCAGUGACAGUGACUGUUCCUCCUACUUCAUUCAUGCAUGCACAUGAUACUCAUCAUCUCUCUCCAACACCACACUGAUCACUAGUCACUCAGGCAAGUACUAGCUGCAUGCACCUUUCAGACACUUCAAUAUAUUUAUUCAUAAGCUCAUCAAUGUGACUUCAUGUGCAAGGGAAGCAGUUGGUGCAUGAAAGGAAAGAGGAAGCAAAGAAACAAAACAGGGGAAACUUUACCCUGAAGAAAAUUUUUAUAAAAAGGUGAAGCAUUAUCUACAGUGUUUAGCCCUAAUUCUAAACUAACUUCUAAACAUGAACACCCACAUAAUUAAGGCAUCUAACUAUAUAUUUAAUUAUGAUAUCGCUAUAUAUGCAAGGCUGUCGAUAUUCUGAUCCGUAUCCUAGUAUCUUAUGGUGCUGCGAUCCUACCAAAUCAAAAUGAUACCGAUCUCAUCUAGUAUCUUAAUUUUUUAUAGUAUCUUGAUCUUACUAUUUAUUUCCAGACGAUUCUAUGAAAUCUUAGGUAGUAUCUCGAUUCUACGAUCCAUACAAUCCUACAAAAUAUUAUUUAAAAUAAGGUGGAUUGAAAAUAAUUUGAAUAAAUACGCUCAAGUUUACAUAAAACCAAUUAAAUUGAUCAAAAUCAAUAUUAUAUGCUUUAAUUUAUACAACAUACUUUAUACUUUAUAUUAAAUUAUGUACUUUCUAAAAUCUGGUAGUAUUUCGAUCCUGUGAUACUACAAAUAAAAAAAACGAUCUUACCUAGUAUCUUGAUACUGAGUAUAUAUACAACUCAAGUUCUUUUAGUUAUUUGCAUGACUACAUAACUCUAUAAUUUUGUGUACAAGGAUGAAUUUCAAGAUAUUUAUAUAUAUGCAAGAUCAAAAGUGGAGUUGGUGUGAGAAAUCUUGUACAUUUGGAAGAGAGAAUAUAUGUGUCAAUGGAAAAAAAUACUACCUUCAAUGUGUAUGUAUGUAUAUAUAUGUAUAAUUGUAUAUAUAUGCAAUGUACUCCUUUGGCAGCUAUAGAUGGGGCCCCUCCCUCUCAAUCAUUCAACUUGGAAAUCAAGGAAAGGCAAGGAUGACACAUCUUUCAUCAGCUCCUCCAAGUCCCACUCUCCCAUGACAUUCCUGCUCAUGUGCUGCUGCUGCUGCUGCAGCAUCUGAUGCUGCUGCUGCUGUUGUUGGUGGUGACCCUCCCAAUAGAUCAUGUUGCUGCUGCUGUUCAUUAGGCUAAUGCAGCAGCUGCUGCUGAUGUUGUUGUUAUUAUCACUGUUGUUCUUGUUGCUGUUGCUGUUGUCUGUGAUGUUGCUGCUCAGUGUGGCCGCGGUCGUGUUGCUGCCGGUUUUGUUAGGGUGGUCGUCGUCGUCGUCGAGAAUGGUUUGGUGGUCUAGGAGAGGUGGCACUGAUGCGCCGCCAAAGAGGAUGCUGCUGCUGUGAUGGUGAUGAUCUCCUAUUAAGCUUGAUCCGUCCAUGGUGGCGAUCGCGUGGUGGUGGUGGUGGGCGCCGGUUGAUCCGUAGUAUGCUUGCUUGAUGGAGAUGGAGUGGUCGUGGAAGAACGGCGGUGGCGGCGAGGUGUCGACGCCGCAGACCUGGUCGGGGAGUGGGAGGAGGCCGCCGUAGCUCCUCCCCGCCGCCGCCGCCGCCAUUAUCGACGGCCGGCUCUGCAUCGACGAGGAAGACGACGACGACGACGACGAGGAAUCCACCCACAUGCUCUUCAUGGCAGCAUUAGCUGUCCCGACAACGACGUCGUCCGUGGCGCCGCCGCCGCCGGCGAGGUCGACGACGGCGCCGAGCUUGUGCUCCGGCGGGGAGGCGCAGUCGGUGGUGGUGGCCGGAGACGCCGAGGAGGAGGAGAUCUUGAGGCGCUUCUUGAUGGUGGAGUUCCAGAAGUUCUUGAUCUCGUUGUCGGUGCGCCCCGGUAGCCGGGCAGCGAUCUGAGACCACCUGCAAUAAUUCCAUGCGUCGUAGUACGGUAGAUUUUUCAUCAGUGAGCAAACGAGAUGUUUCUGUCAAGAAUUAUUAUCCAAGCUUAGCUAUAGCUAUGGUUGUAGUACAAAAGAUUAAUUAAAUAAAAAGGUUAAUUAGCUGCAUGCACAUAUAUGUCAAUGCGCCUUAAUUAAUCUUCUUUUUAUGCAUGCAUGCAUGCAUGCAUAAGCGCAUAAGCAUGAUUAAUCUAGUAUUUACUUCCAAAAAAAAAUAAAGAUAAAAUAUAUAUGAUUUUCUCCGUUUCAAAUUACUUGUUGUUUUACUUAAAAAAAUUACUUGUCGUUAUAACUUUGCAGUAAGUCAAACAUUUCUAACCUUCAUCAUCAAUUCUCUAGAAAUUUAUACAGUUAUUACCAUAAUAAGAUUUAUUUUCUAAAUUCAUUAUAUAUGAGAAAUAUUUUCAUAAUAUAUAAUUCACAUGUUAAACUGUAUACGAAUUUUUGAAAAUUUAUGAUGAAUAUUUGACUUUAUACAAAGCUAAAAUGAAAAGGUUUUUUUAGGUAAAACGAAAAGCAUAUAUAUAUAUAUAUAUAUAUAUAUAUAUAUAUAUAUAUAUAUAUAUAUAUAUAUAUAUAUAUAUAUAUAGGUUAGUUUUACAUGUGAGAAAGUACGUAGAGGUAAUUAGUCGAUGUCAUAAUCUCAUUUCUGGUAAGACAAGGAUUAAUCAAUAAUUAUGGAUGAUUGGAUCCGACAAAUUUGCAUAUGUCUUUCAGGGUUAAUUAGAACGUAUACAAGUAUGAAGUAUCCCUUUCGGUGUCUUUUCAGGCAACUUUUAGUUUCUACGUUACAUAUAUAUCAGUUUUGUAAUUAUGCAUGGUGUACGACAUUUCAUGCAAAAUUAAGCAGAAGAAAAAAAAGAAUUAAUCAAGAAAUAUUUUGAUUGAUAUAUCCAGGACUCAUGUUGUUCUCAUAGCCCUUUGAGACUUGAGACACAUGUCUGUAUAUAUAUUAAUAUUCUAAUAAUCAAAUUUUUUUAACUUAUGUCACAUAUUAUAAAUGUAUAUGCAUGCAUGAGUAUAUGCACGUCAACGUUUUGCUGUACGUGAUCUGUAAUGCUUCAGCUGUAGAAUACGGAAAUUGUACGCUCACGGUAGAUCUACCUAAGACAGUUGUGAACUAGGACAGUGUACAUGGGAAAAAAAUAUCGUACGACGUAUUGUGUCAAAUUCACGUAAUCUCUUAUAUACUUUUUUUUUGGAGAAAUGCAUGUGUAGAUCAGAGCACCACAGAGAAUUAUAAACAAAAUCAACACCAUCUCAAAAAAAAAAGAGAAACCAGAGGAAAACAAUUAAUACACACCCAGAGAGAGAUUUUUUUUUAAAAAAAGAACAGUAUAUAUAUCUUUUAAUUGCGAGGGAAAUUCAUUGAAAGAUUAUGCUACAUUACUUGCUAGCCCUAUCAACACAAUAUAACAACAUUCCAAACGAGAAAACAAAACAAAUUAAACACACACAGAAAAAGCUAGCACUUUGUGAAAAACAAGAAACAAAUUAAUGUAGGAAGAAGACAAGCAAACUACUUAAGAAAAACCGAUGAGAAACGAACGAACAAAGAAGAACACACAAUAUGAACCCCCACAUUACAAAGACAAUGAAGUAAUUAAUGAAUCAAUCUCCUAAUAUAUUAAAGCUUAAUUAAUCAUGGUAAUUAAUUAAUUAGGUACUACUUAGUCGUAGGAGCUUAUAGUUAACUGAUUAGCUGCACCUGUUGCCGAGGAUGGCGUGGAGGUUGACGAUGAGGUCCUCCUCCUGCGGCGAGAAGGCGCCGCGCUUGAGGUCGGGGCGGAGGUAGUUGAUCCACCGGAGGCGGCAGCUCUUGCCGCAGCGCUGCAGCCCGGCGUUCCUCGCCACGUCGCUCCACGACCCCUGCCCGCUCCGCAGCAUGUACGCCACCAGCUUCUCGUCCUCCUCCGGCGACCACAGCCCCUUCCGAACCUUCCCCCCCACCACCGCCGCAUUGUUCCCUCCCGCCACACCCAGAACGCCGCCGCCCUUCGCCGCCCCUCCCCCGCCGCCGCAAUCCGGCUUCCUCAUUGCCGAUCUUGCUGUGAUUUUGAUCAAGUAUGUAGAUAGAUAUGAUGGAUAUAAGUAGCUAGGGAGAAAUGGACAUGAGUGUGUGUGAGGUAUAUAUAUCAAGUGUGUUGUGUUCUUGUUGUUUGUAUGGAGUGAUGAGGAGCUAGCAAUGGAGAGAGAUGAGAGGGAGGAAGAAGGAGAGGAGGAGAGGGGAUGAUAUGAUGGUGAUGGCGAUGGGUGCGUGUGUGUGCUUUGCUUAGAAACUGGACAAGUAGAUGGAGAGCAAACAAGAGAGGAAAUAAAAGAAGGGUUGUAAAAUGCUAGGUUCACACGCAUAGGUCAUCUAGGCAUGUGGCUUCUAUAUAUGUAGCUUAAUUAUAGGAUGCCCCUUUAUGUGUAAGCCAUUGCGUUUUUAUUUCUUUGUUCUCGAAUGUGUGAUUCGUGGAUUUUCUAUAUGAGAAAGUUAAUGUUUUUAGCAAGAGGAAUUUUAUAGUACUUGACAUAGGGAGUCGAUACCAAGAGGUAUAUAUUUUCUUGUGGACGAGGAACCAAAAUUUACACUAUAAUUUAGCAAUACACCAUCCUAAGGAAGCGCUUAAGGCAACUGAGUAUAUCUGUUGCAUUGAAACUAAUGCACUAAAAGGUUGUAUGUAGUGACAUGCUUGGAUCAAUAAAUAAAUGUGGCCAUUGGUUUGUGUUCAUAUAAAUCAUGAGAAUAGGCGUCUACGCAUAAAUUCUACAUAUUGAAAGCAACUACUUAUACAUACAAAUUAUUCGCUGCUACAGUUUGUACGGCUUCAAUGUACGUAUAAUAACCCCACAAUUUAGUAUAUACAUCAUUGUACUACGGUGUAGCUGGUAUGUGUGAACCAACCAUUUUCCAUGCUCUUUCAAGGAGAGAUAUGAGAGAGAGAUAGAGCUCUAGUCUUCUUGUCUUUGACUCCAGCUCUUGUUGUCCUUUUCCAUUUCUCACUUCCCUUGAGCCAGAAGGUUAUCAUGGCCACCUGAGGGGCAGGGAGAUCAGUUGAGGGGACAGAGAUAUGUGCAUAUACAUACAUGCCCCUGUGGGGUUGUUUUGCAAUGAAGCAUAGACAAUAGAGAGAGCUAUUAGCUAUAGGUCACAUAAUUGCUUGGAGUUCACAUAAUCCUGGCCCAUCAUCUAGCUAUAAAUCUCUCUCUCUCCUUUAAUUUUUCUUCUCUCUCUUUUCAUGUCCCUCUCACACAGCUUCCAAAUGCCAUCAAAAAUCAUCAUCAUCAUCAUUCAUCCACACACACAGAGAGAGCUAGCCAGGGGCACAUAUCAAAACAGUCCCUAUUGUAUGCUGCAUGCAAUAACAGAUCGAUCGAUGGAUGGAAGCUGCUGCAGUAAGCUGCAAAACUUGCAUGCGUGGAAGCCUUUGCAUGGAGUGUACGUCUGGCAUGCUGGCCCCUCUCUCUAUCUCCUCUCUCUCUCCUCUACUCUACUCUCUCUCAUGGAGAAAAGAAUUUAGUUAAAAUCGUUGAAAUUAGAAAGCAAAAGAUGAUAAAGCUAUACAUGCAUGCAUAUGGAUUAUGUAGAGCUAGCUUGCAACUUUACAAGUAGGUGUAGAUAGUACUAGCUAGUAUACAUGUAUGGUUGUGAUUCUCCAAAGAUUUUGUUGUCCACUUGUCAUGCGUGAGAUGGAAGUACACGUACUACAGUGUACAACGUGAAUUAUGGGGCCCAACGACUGUCAAUUGUCACUUAAAAGAAGUAUGGUUACAGCUAUGAUCAAAUUGAGGGACUCGUGCCAACAAUUUGGUCAUAAUAUAUAGUGGAGAUGGGCGUGUGUAGUCAGGUUUCGCCAUACCGUGCGCAAGGGUUUAUUUUACCACCACACGAAGUUACGAAGGUUAUCGCAUAAAAUUUAUCUUUAAAUUUUCGAAUUCAAGAUUUUCAACCUCCCUCAGUCGGUCGAGGUAACCGCGCCGUGGUAUGCUUUUUAGAAAAAAUAAAAAAAUUGCAAAAAGGUUGAGGAAACUUGUAAAACAUUUUAUAUAAUAUUUUGUGUAGGGAGAGAUUAAAUGAGGGAGAAAGAAAAUAUUUUUUUCCCUUUGCUGGGAUUAAAUGGGCUUUGUGAUCUUCUUUUCCCUGUUCUCUGUUUCAACUUCAGUUUGACUCGAAAAAAAUGAAUUUAACUUUGUUUUUUUUCUUUCACACAAGGUUUUCACUAGAUAUCACUAGAAAUUAUGUAUUACUUGUAAGAUUUUUUUUUAAUAUUUUCAUUGCUUCUAUAAAUUAUAUUUCAAUUCAAACAAAUUUCCCCAAACCAUUCUGGUAAUUACACCUACCAUAGCUCUGCGGUAAAAGUGGUAACUAUAACUGCAAAGGCCAAAGGAGGAAAACCCUUAUAACCGCCAAGAAGAAAAAAAACCCUUGGCGGACCUAUGGAUACUUAGUUGAUUUACAUUGUUAAAAAAAAUAUGAUCAGUUCAUUUAGUUGAUCCAGCUAAAGUGAGUCAAGUGUUACCGGCGAUAGGUCCACGCCGGUCUCUAACAAUGCUACAUGGAGGAAACUAGACUUAUAUAUUUUUUAGUACUAAAUUUAUACUCCAUCUGUCCCAAAAUAUAAUAAUUUUUAACCUUUAGAAUUUGUCCUAAAAUAUAACUUCUCUACCGACAUUCUCUUCCCAACCAAUCAUAACCCUUCACAAUUCAAAUUUUUCUCUACCUCUAUUUCUCAUCCAAUCAUAAUAUUCAUCCAUUUAAUUUUACCUACUUUCUUAAUAACCACGUUAAUCUCUAAAACUCCUUAUAUUCUAUGAUGGAGGAAGUUCUUUUUUUCAUUAACAAAUCGGCGUGGAUGCUUUGGGUGAUUAGUUUGGUAUUUUGUUCAUCAUGUUUGAUCUAUCAUCACAAGUUUAUUUUUCAUGCAUUUAACUCCGGUUGAAAAUGAUUUAAAGGCAUGCAUGCCUCAAACCGAAGCAUUUCUGUUUCCUCGUGAGAGAACACAAUUAUUCUUAUCCAGCAAUUUUCCACUAAAAACGGAGGCUUGUCAGUUUAUCUGGAAAAACAAUGGGACCAGAAAUGAGAGUGAAACCCAAUAUUAGAUUGUGACACAAUAUAGUAAGUGAUUAAAAAGGUUUUCAAAGCACGUGAUCCACACAGAUCGAGUUGUCUAGCCUGGUGAAGCACAUGGGUAUAAUUUUAACUCUUAAUUAUCAUUCAAACAAUGAUUUAUCCUCUGAAAUAUAGCAGUAUCACGCAAUAUAUGUGCGUGUUAUGAUGUUACUUAUAUUUAUUUUAAUUUGCAGAUUGGUUAUGAUCUCUAGACCAUUGCAAUGCAUGAUGUUGUCAUCAGGCAUGUAGCUAAUCCUGUCCACAAACAUGAUUACAAUAUCACAAGGUAUAUUAUAUAUAUAUAUAUAUAUAUAUAUACCAGCUAAUCGCAUUUGAUUUUCUAUCUUCACCUAAAUAAUGCUUUCAUGUGCACAAGUAUCGCAAACACUACAUAAAUAAUAAUUUUAAUGAAAUAUUAGACUCCAUGAAUUGAGGGAUCAAAGAGUCUAGACAUUUUUCCCCAUGUUUCCAGAGUGCAUGGACAAAACUGAAGCACAUCUUUCAAAUUCAUUUUUCCUUUUGCAUAUUUCAUUUUAAUGGCAAAUCGGGUUCAAAUGUUCAGUUGUUUACGUUGGGCCUAAUGCAACCAGCCCAAAUCUAUCAUUCCUCUUCCCUAAUUUCUCAGCCCAGGCCCAAACUCCAUGGCCUGGAUAUGAUUUGUCGAUCUGAUCGAAUUAAUUCCUCCCUUGUAGAUCCAGUCUUUCUUUCUUUUUUUUUCUUUUUUUUUUUGUGCGAGGUCUUGUAGGUCAAAUGAUUGAUCAAUGUAAAAUAAUAGUAAAAAAAAGAACUAAAAUUCUUCGAGAAAGUAGUACUCCGUAGAUGAAAAGGAGGAGAAUAGAAAGAAGCAAUAACUAGGCUCUGUACAGAAUAAUACGAUUAGUAAAAAAAAAGAAGAAAUCAGAAUUAAUAAUUCUUGUUUCAGCACACCCAUAGAAAUCAGAUUAUGUCAGAAGUAAUCUGCAGUUUGUUCCAUCUUCUUCUUGCUUCUUAAUACUAUAUAUGAUCUUUCUUACAUCUAGCUAGAAGAUUUUUGUUGCAUAUUUUAUGAUUGGAAAUGAGUAGGCAUGCAUACAAAAGUAUCUUCUCAUGCUCCCACAGAACAUUAUUUGCCAUCUGAAUUCUGAAUCAGUUUAACAGUUUUACAAACAUUAAUUGCAGUUUAGCUACCGUUGUAUAGAAAAAUUGCCGAAGAACAAAUGUACAAUGAUAAGAAAAGAAAGGUUACUCCUCACGGAGUUUCUAGUAGUGAUCGAAUUAGCCUCUGCUUGAGAUGCAGUGACAAGGUUGUGUGAUUUUAACCAGGUCUCUUGUUCAAUCUCUAAUAUGCUCACAAUUCAUUCUUAAAAAUAGUUUGAAAGGACGUCUCUCUUUUUUUUUAAUUAGCCUCUGCUUUGUUUUGUCAGCAACAGUGUUUUGAUAAUUCAAUUGGUGUAGAGAUAUAUUGUGUUUAAUUUCUGCACUGCAUCAAUUGUAUUUGCUGCUAAUGCAUAAUAUCAGAUAUAGUUGCUCAACAAUCAACCUUGCAAGCUUGCGUUUAUCCCGUUGUCUGUUUUGGCCAACUGUCUGGAUUCUAUACCAACACCAUUUUCAGGCAGGCCAAGGCUGUGAUUAGUUCACGCCAAAAUUGAAAGUUUGGUUAAAAUUGAAACGAUGUGACGGAAAAGUUGAAAGUUUGUGUGUAGCGAAGUUUUGAUGUGAUGAAAAAUUUAGAAGUUUUGAAGAAAAACUUUAAAACUAAACACGGCCCAAUUUAGUUAGCACCACAAAAUUGAUGAAACAAAUGCCGAAUUGAGCAGGCAAAAAAUAUACCCUUCCAAAAAGUAGAAAUCUAUGACUAAUAUAAAUAUUUAUAUUUUUCCGAUCGUCACAUCUAAUUUUCGUCCGUUUUUCGUCCAUACACAAUCUGAUUCGGUUAGCAAUAGCCAUCGAAAAAAAUUGCAAAAAAAAAAAAUCGGCGGCCACCGCCACCUCCACCGCCGCCGGAGGGAGAAGAGAGGCGGCGGAGGGAGCGCCGCUGCCGGAUCCACCCGCGGUGGCCACCACUGCCGACGGAUCCACCCUCGGACGAAGCCGACGUCGUCGACGCCGCCGUUGAGAGGGCGCCGUCGCCAUCGAGGCCAACGGGGAGAGGGAGAGGGAGAGGGGGAGGGACGGUCGCCGCCGCCGUCUCCACCGCACCCCGCCGCCGCUGCACCGUGCCGGCGAGACGGGAAGGAGAGCCACCGCCACCACCGCCGCUAGCGUGGGGAAGGGUGCCGCCGCCGCUCGCCGUGGGGGAAGCCGCCGCCGCCGCCACAGCUAGCGUGGGGGAAGGGCGCCGUCUCCGCCGUGCCGGCGAGAAGGGAGGGAGAAGGGAAGGGAAGCGGCGCCGGUGGUGGGAGAGGCGGCUGGCUAGGGGGAGGGGGAGAGGCGGGAGAUGGGGAGAGGGAGCGGCGCCGCCUGAGGGGAGGGGAGGAGAAGCGGCGCCGAUAGAGAGAGGGGGAGGGGGAGAGGCGGCGUCGGGAGUGGGGGAGGCGGCCGACUCGGCUAUGGGGGGUUGGGGGAUGGAGGGGGAGGGUUAGGGUUAAGGUUUUCAUAAGGCCAUGGGCCGACCGGGAUGGGACGGAAAUAAGUCUAUUUUACAUCCCUCGGGCCAAAAAAAAAAGAGAAGAGGUUCAUUUUUAGUAUUUCGUUUUUUCAGAAGCAUUACAAUUAUAGUUAUUGAAUGUGUUUAUUUCUAAGCAAACCUAAAAAGAAGUAUUUUCUUUCUUUUUCUAAUUAAAUAAUUGUUAAAUGUUGUUUGUAUUAUUAAAAUUAAUAAUUAAGCUCUGAAAAUUCCAAUAAAACUUCAAAGAGCGUAACUAAUCAUGGAGAAUUUAAUAAAAUUAGAUUUAACCAUGUCAUUUUAUUUCUCAUACUUGCUUUACUUAUAAAUUUAUUUAAUUAUACACAUACCUACUUAAAAAUACCAAAUAUUUCAGCGAAUUUGUAUUUUAAUUAAUUGCAUGUUUUUCUAAUCUGUACGCUUCCCGUUGCAACGCACGGGCAGUUUUGCUAAACCAAACAAUACUUUUGGUCAAUAUACACACUCCGUAAUCACCUGGUGUAACGCACGGGCACUUUUGCUAGUUAAGAAAAGAAAAUGCAUCUUUAUCGACCAAAUUAAGUAAACAACAAUCAAUCACGCGCGCGUUCGCGAAAAAAAAUGCGUUAGCGAAAAAAAACAAUCAAUCACAAGCUAGCUCCAUCCAUGUCGCUGCUCUUCUAUUAUAUACUACAUGUUCAGACUUCAGACUUUCAGAUCCUAAUAACAGCAUGCAGAGGUAUUAUCUUUUCAAGCUGCCCAACAAAAAUGGUCAGAGGCAAUGCAACUUCGGACUAUUCCCAUUUCCCCAAGUUAGACAUUCAAUGGCUUAAUUAGGGUGGCCACAUCCUUCAGUUAAUCUGGUUCAGUGUGCGAUUGUGACAAAAUUUGUCUGUAGUACGAAUUUUUGUAAUAUGAAUGUUCUGGCAGGUUCUUGAGAGGAUCGUGGACUAAAGAACAAAAUCAAUUUAUUCUUGGAGUCGAGAUUCAGAUCUGUCCAGCUAAGCAUGUCCAUUUGUUAAACAGACCCUUGAUGGUAAAUUAUACAGCAAUAACAAGAACACAUAUUUGCUCCAUGCAUGCGUAUGCAAGACCAAUAGACUAUCAAAUACGGUAUCAUCUUACAAAAUAUACUAGUUGUUGUUGUAAUAGUAGUAGUAGUUAGGGUUUCCAAAACCGCCGGGGCCAGGUUACCGCGUCCCGGCGGUAAGCACGGUUACCGUACGGUAACCGCGGUAAAAAACUGUACGAAACCGUGCAAAAUUUAUCAAAAAUUAAAAUUAUUUUUUAAAUUUAUUUGAAUUUAAGGAGGUUACCGUGGUUUUUCUAUUACCGUACCCCGUGGUAAGACUGGUAACCACGGUUACCGACAGUAAUGUAAACCUUGUAGUAGUAGUACAAUUUUGUUAAGCACAUUUAGCCAUCUGCUACUACUUCCUAAACCAAUACAGAAUGCCAUGUAAUCAAACGUAUAAAAUCUCCAAAUUACUAAAAACAAUUGCACCAAUUUCAUCAUCAACUCCUGUACGGCCCCUGUAACAAGGGACUAUAGCUUCUGGGAAGCAAUCAAGCAAAGUCCGAAUGUAUUCCAUUAUUAAAGCAGCUCUUUUCCAGUCUCAUUUCAGUUUAUGAAUUCCAUCGCUACAAAACAACUGAAUCCAAACAACAUACUACAUACUACCUCCGUCUUAUUUUAAAUGCAACAAUAAGUUUUCGCGCUCAACUUUUAUCGUCCAUCUUAUUUAAAUUUUUUUAUAAUUAGUAUAUUUGUUGUUAUGAAAUGAUAAAAUAUAAAUAGUACUUUACUCGUGACUUAUGUUUUUAAUUUUUUUAAAAAAAAUUAAAUAAGAUGAACGAUUAAAGUUGGAUGUGGAAAACUAUGGCUGCAUUUAAAAUGGAAUGGAGGGAGUAUUACAUUUCUUCAGAAACAGACACGUCUCACUCGCCAACUCUGAAGAUUUCCCUCCUCUGCUUUUCUUUUGUUCUGAGAGUUGAGAGGGAGAACGGACGGCCAGGAGGCGUCGGUGCCCAAUCCUGUCCCCACAGGGGUGGAUCUCCACCGCUCGUCAGUCUCGUCUCAGCCACAAUCACAAGGACGCACACAUGGCCACUACUGCAAUGUCAAGGCUACACGUAUGGGGGACCCAACCUCUUGUAGUUUUUUGGCUGGACCCGGUCUGUAGGCUAGGCAGCUGUUGUUUUCUUCUCUCUCAAUGUUGAACACUUGGGACAUUCUCAAUGUUGAAUAUGAUAUAACACAUUACUGUAUAGUAUUUCGAAUCUAAACAAUUAUUAUUCUAAAUUUAUAGUAUUAGAAUAUAUUACAUCAUGUUCUAGGUUUUAUUUUUUAGAUGGAGGAAGUACUUGCUACUUUGAUGCUCAUACUAGUGAGAAAAGUUUUUAGGCAUUGUUUAGAUAAUGAGAUAGGAAAAUGAUUCCCACCCAUCAAAAGGUAUCCUAACUAUUUAUUCUCCCUCUUUCAUUUAAUUCUAACCCUUCAUUCAUUUCCUAAUCCCAAUCCCACCCUUCAUUUCUCAUUAUCCAAACACAUCCUUAGUGUUUAUGUACUCAAUAAAGGCGAGAUGGUAUUAGUAAUCGAUGCAUGUAAUUGGUGGAGAACAUGUAUAUAAAAGGAUAGAGUUGUACUACCUCCAUAUUUUAAUGUAUGACGCCAUUAACUUUUUUCCAACGUUUGAUCAUUCGUCUUAUUCAAAAAAAUUUAUGUAAUUAUCAUUUAUUUUAUUAUGAUUUGAUUCAUCAUCGAAUAUUCUUUAAGCAUGACAUAAAUAUUUUCAUAUUUACACAAAAAUUUUGAAUAAAACAAAUGGUCAAACGUUGGUCGAAAAGUUAACGGCGUCAUACAUUAAAAUAUGGAAUUAAAAUAUGGAGGAAGUAAUAAGUAACUGAGCCAGUGACACUGUGAAGCAUGGACAACACAUAGCGUUCUCUGGUCACUAACUAAUUUCUAUGUGCAUUAUCGAUAAUUAACAGCGGCGACACCACCAGCGAAGCCCUAUCUCCGCCGCUGGCGGUAAGAUUUGUAUUGUCCAUGCGAUGAUGAAAAUAUCAUAGGCAUAGCCAUGUAAUGUAAGAGCUAUUGUAAUGCACUUAUUAAUAUUGUAGCAAAGUAUAUAGGAAAAUGUUUAAAACCAUGUAAAAACAAUGUAUGAGAUGUGGUCACGUGGAUUGCCUUUGUUUUUUCCAAGUUUAUAACUGGUUGUAGGGAAUCCUAAUCAAAUUUUAUACAUUAAAUUAACAUCAAGGGAAAUCACAUUAAAAUUAACAUCAAGGGAAAUCGUGUUUACCUAUUAAAGUGCGAUUCCAGUAUCCUCCUUUCACGAAAUGAAACAAACUUGGUUUUUUUUUCUAGCUGCAGGAAAGUGGUCGUCUUUACAUGCAUUGUUGGUAAUUAACAAUGGCGAUAAUUGCAUGUAGAAAUAGCAUUUUCGCUCUAGUUAUUUUAUCUGGAAAGUGGAAAGGGUUGUCUAAAUUAUCUGGUAUCACUGUGACCAUGUUUCAUCCUAUCGUAUAAUAUUAUUGACUUUGGCAUGUUUCAUCCUAUCGUAUAAUAUUUCGUUCUUAAAUUAGAAAAAAAAAGGACUAACUCUCUUGCUACCAUAGGUCCUUUUGGCACAUCUCCAUAUAUCCAAGAUUUCUUGAAGUUGAGUAUUCCUAGCUUUACAAAUCUAUAUUUUUUAGAUAAUGGAUUUUCAUUAAUCCGGCCUCUAUAUCCACGAAGGAUAUACGCGGCCAAAAGGAUACAAGAGUAAUUUAGACUCACAUCUCAACAAGAAGGAGAACACAACCAAAAAAGAAAAUAAACCCAAACGACCUCAGCACAUCCUGGUUCUCUGUCUCCCACCAUAUUCUCCUGAAACAGCCAUAUUUGACGAGUGGAAGUCUACUAGUCGCUGCCGCCCCUAGUGCGCCAUUGAUGCAAACCUCCAUUUGUGCCAUCUUCAUCAGUUUCAGAUGAGCUGACGUCACGCGUCGCUUCUAAGCCCACUCUCAACCGUCGUCAUUCGUCGUAUAGUCGGAACUAGCCAACUAGACACGAACCGACAGGAUCGGCUUCCACUUUGCCAGAUUCCUAGGCAUCUACUAUCCAAAGUGCUCAGACCGCCACCGUUUCAAGCCACCGCAACCCCUAGGGCCCUGUGCCGACGGGGGCGCCGCCGUCCUGGGCCGCCGCAGCCCCUAGUGCCGCCGGUGUCAACGGAAGCCGCCGUCGUCCUCCAUCGCAACCCCUAGGGCUGCCGGCGCCGACGAGAGCCACUGUAGCCCCUAGGGCCACCAACACCAACGGGAGCCGUCGCCGCCGUCUGCCGCAGCCUCUAGGGCCGCCGGCGCCGAUGGAAGCUGCCGCCGUCCUCCACCACAUCCUCUAGGGCAGCCGGCGCCGAUGGGAACCACCGCCGCCGGCCGCAGCGCCGACGGGAGCCACUGUUGUCCUCCGUCGCAGCCCCAGGGCCAUCGACGCCGACGGAAGCCACCGCCUUCUUAGGCCGCCUCCACCGACGGGAGCCGUCGAGCCGCCGCCCCCACCGCCGUCCAAAGAGAUUCCGUCGCCGAUGCCUUGCCACUUCCUCGCCACCGCCGUCCUAGCCGUCGGUCAGCUCUCGCGAUAGGCCAGAUCUAGGAGCUGGGGGGAGAGGAAGAGACGAGCUAGAGGGAGAGGAAGCUAGGAUCUGGGCAGAGGCCCCGCCGCCGCUGUCCUCGUCGCUGCACGGACGUGCGGGAGCUGGCUCUAGCGGCGGCGAGGCAGUGGAGGGGAGGGAGGAAACCGGCGGUGGCGCGGGAUGGGGUCGCCACCUGUGUCGCCCGUGAGAGCGACGCGGGGGCUGAGUCAAAGCGCUCACUUCGAACGGUUCCCUUCACUUCAAAGCUUUACAAAUCUAUAUAUAUCUAGAUUUUGACUAUGUUGAUAACAUUUUAGAUAAAUAAUCUUGUUAAUGUUUUAGAUGAAAUUUACCACUUUAAUUAACUUACAAACUUCAACUACCAUGGAUUUGGAUCCGGAGCUAUAUCAAAACACAUCCCCAUUGUUUCGCUUACAACAUAUUUGUAAAUGAAAAAUAAUUUAUGAAUAAAGUUUUUAUAUAUGUGUUCUUAUCUAUCUAAAAGCAAAGGCUGAAAAAUAAACUUUAAUAAAAAAACCCAAGAUCAGCUCCAAAUUUAAGGUUGAAAAUUUAAAUUUUAGCUAAUAAGAUAACGAAAAGACGAGGGUAAUAAUGUGGGCAUGGGAGUGAGUGGACUAGUGCCACUAUGGUCCAGGAACACCGGGUGCACGCAGCCGCUGUUCCGAUUCCGAUACGCCCAAUGCCAAUGCCAUCCUCACCGUCCAUCCACUUUAACACCCCCACCUCCUCUCUCCCAUCUCCAUUUCCGCCCCCCCUCUCGCCGCCGCCGCCGCCGCCAUGGCCACCUCCACCUCCGCCGCCACCGCCCCCCUCACCUGCCACCACCUCGGCCUCCGCCUCCGCCCUCGCCUCCCCUCCCUCCCCCUCCGCCCCCUCUCCCCCUCCCCCUCCCUCUCCCUCUCCCGCCCCACCCCACUCACCCCUUCUCCUCCUCCUCGCCACCGCGCCCUUCAUGCCUCCGCCUCCGCUGCUCCAGCGGCGCCGCCGUCGCAGCCGCCGAAGCCGGUGCUUCAGGGGGCGGCAAUCAAGCCGCUGGUGGCAACCAUCGGGACCGGGGUGCUGAUAUGGCUGGUCCCGCCGCCCGCGGGCGUGGCGCGCAACGCGUGGCAGCUGCUGUCCAUCUUCCUCGCCACCAUCGUCGGGAUCAUCACCCAGCCUCUCCCGCUCGGCGCCGUCGCGCUGCUCGGCCUCGGCGCCGCCGUGCUCACGCGGACGCUCACGUUCGCCGCCGCGUUCUCCGCGUUCGGCGACCCGAUCCCGUGGCUCAUCGCGCUCGCCUUCUUCUUCGCCCGCGGCUUCAUCAAGACCGGCCUCGGAAGCCGCGUCGCCUACGCCUUCGUCUCCGCCUUCGGCGGCUCGUCGCUCGGGCUCGGCUACGCGCUCGUGUUCGCCGAGGCGCUGCUGGCGCCGGCCAUCCCGUCGGUGUCGGCGCGCGCGGGGGGCAUCUUCCUGCCGCUCGUCAAGUCGCUGUGCGAGGCGUGCGGCUCGCGCGCCGGCGACGGCACGGAGAGGAGGCUCGGGUCGUGGCUGAUGCUCACGUGCUUCCAGACGUCGGUGAUCUCGUCGGCGAUGUUCCUCACCGCCAUGGCAGCGAACCCGCUGGCGGCGAACCUGACGGCGGGGACGAUCGGGCAGGGGAUCGGGUGGACGCUGUGGGCGAAGGCCGCCAUUGUGCCGGGCUUGCUGUCGCUGGUGUUUGUGCCGUUGAUUCUGUACCUGAUCUACCCGCCGGAGGUGAAGACCAGCCCCGACGCGCCGCGGCUGGCGAAGGAGCGGUUGGAGAAGAUGGGGCCUAUGAGCAAGGAGGAGAAGAUCAUGGCUGGAACGCUGUUCCUCACGGUAUUUGAUGGGAUUAUUAGCAAUUUCCUUUCGUUCUACCAUUUUUGUUGAGGAAUUAACAAUUGCUAGUAUUAUAUUAUUGUUAUGCUGCUUUUGGGGUAUUAGGGUGGGCUCCAACUCCUAAAUUUAACUCCACUAGUUGGAUCUGAAGUUGAAUUGUAGAGCAACCUAAACCCAGCUCCACAUCUUUAGUUCAUUUUGUGAGAGUGAUCCAGCCUACUCCACUCUCUUUCUGGGUAGAGCUGAAACUGUUUGGCUGCGCUCUAGUUCCAGAAGAGGUGGAGCUGGAGCUCUACCAAAUAGGCCCUCAAUAUCAGUACUCUAGCGAAGUGUACUAUAUGUGUAGUAGGUGUUUAUGAUUUUCAGUACAAAGAUGUUGCCUGUGGGGUACUAGGAUUCUUAUAAGUGAUUGAUAUUAAAGGAGUGGGCUGUUCGGAAAUGGAGAUUUCCAUGAAUCUGGUGUUUGUGCCCUCAUUUUAGCAGGGGUCUUGUCUGGGAUUAGUACAUAGAGGUAGGGACCGGUAAUUGUUAUUUAGGUAUCCGUGAGAUUUGGAUCAUUAUUGUGCUCUGACUAGCCUAUGUAGAAUUACUAUGUGAUUUCACUUAAAAGACUUUCACUAAUUUACAUUAUCAGUGAAUGAAUAGCAAAGGUACCGUUUUGUGGUUUCUUUUGCGAAGCUUCAAGCCAUCUUUUAGGAGAACCCUACAGUGGUUUGUGAUUGGGUCACCUUAUUACUGUGAAACAUGUUAUUUUGUAAAAGAUAAGAAGUGGUAAACCCAAUAACGACCUGUUUAUAUACCUCUACAUUCUUGCAUCAUCUUGAUUGCCUCCAACUUGAAUAAAAACUGAGCCUUUUCCUCACUAUACAUUGUCAUCUUGCCAACAGGUAGGUCUUUGGAUCUUUGGUGGAAUGCUGAAUGUGGAUGCAGUGUCUGCUGCAAUUCUUGGCCUAUCCGUCCUCCUGAUUUCUGGAGUUGUUACAUGGAAAGAGUGUUUGGGGGAGGCUGUAGCGUGGGAUACCCUUACAUGGUUUGCUGCUCUUAUUGCAAUGGCUGGAUACCUCAACAAAUACGGGUUGAUCUCUUGGUUCAGUGAGACUGUUGUGAAGGUAUGUCCCUCCCCCCUCCUGUAACAAUAUCUCUUGACUUAUCAGGUCAAAUCGUAUCACAUGAUCUGCUUUAUGCUUGUAAGGAUUUUAUGAUCAGUAAGCUUUGUGACUAUAACUAACUGGUAAGCAUAUUAUAAACAUUGAGCAUGGUGACUUAAUUUUCCACAAUAUGUUAGUUCCUAGCAGUUUGAAAUCAAAGCAAUUUAUUUUUCAUUACAUCAGAUAUUAAAUUUCUUGAAUAAUCUUUCUAGCUUAUCCUUCUAUAGAAAUGAGAAGCAACUUAUACUGCUGUUUGUUCAUACUGAAACAAUAACACUGUCAAUAGUAUGGAUAGGCUGGCAAUUAUGCUAUGUUAGGGAGGUGUUUAAAAUUGUUAAAUUUGAAGAUAUCUUAAAAUGAAUGGUCCUCGUGGUUAUCAUUGUUAAGCUUGAAACAAAUGGCACUAGCUGGAGAUGAGCAGUUUAAAUGUUUAAUAUUAUUCUCACCUGAUAUUCUGCUAUUUUUGUUUCUUCUAACUCGAGCUCUGCAAAUAUAUUAAAAUAGAAGUGUUCUCUCAAUGUCUUUGCUGAUUUCCUAUACUGACCAUUGUUGUGUUUUAUGCUCAGUUUGUUGGUGGCCUUGGUCUCUCAUGGCAACUAUCGUUUGGUGUCUUGGUGCUGCUGUACUUCUACUCCCACUAUUUCUUUGCCAGUGGCGCAGCGCACAUUGGAGCAAUGUUCACUGCAUUUUUGUCAGUGUCCAGCGCCUUGGGCACUCCUCCUCUAAUUGCUGCCAUGGUUCUUUCAUUCCUCUCAAACAUCAUGGGUGGACUCACGCACUAUGGAAUUGGGUCUGCUCCUGUCUUCUACGGUGCUGGCUAUGUUCCACUGGCUCAGUGGUGGGGGUAUGGAUUUGUCAUUUCCAUCGUUAACAUCAUCAUCUGGCUUGGUGCUGGAGGCUUCUGGUGGAAGAUGCUCGGCUUGUGGUGAGGAGCAAAGUAAAUGCGGGUUUUUCCGUUUCUGUUUCGGUAGAAGACUGAAAGAAACCUAGCUGAAAUUGCGGUAGCACAGGUACAGCCAUCCGCAAAUUUUGUCGACAUGAUUUUGCAACCAGCAACCCAUUCUUUUAGUUUGUACCAAUACAUUUGUUUCAUCCUUGGGUUCUAACUGUUAAUUGCAAAGCCUGGGCACAGUUUUACUGGCAACAAUUGGUAUGUUGAAUGGAUCUUGGUGAUCUUAACCUGCAGAUUGUGACCCUUGUGCCUCUAUAUUAUGAUCAGAAUUGGUUGCAUUUAUGUUCCUAAGCUUUAUUGCUGUUCUCAUUGUGCACUAUACAGUGCAUUUACUAACUUGCAUUUGCAGAUUGCUGAGUUGGUCGUUGUGCUUUCACAAAAUACGGUUUGUUUUUCCAAAAAUCAUACAGAAACAUGUUGAGCUUUGGUUACAGUUUCACAGAAGCCAUGUUAUUCAUUGCAGCUAAACAAUUUGUUCUGAAUUUAUUUUGGAGAAGCCUUUGUUCUUGUUCUUUGCCAUCUUUUUCAGAAAUUCAAGUUCAAAAUGGCGAAUUUCGCUCAAGUUUUGUACCUGACGUUUACUGGCGUAGCUUGCCUGAACAUGGGCAGCUUGUGCUUGACUUUCUCCGGUGUCUGAACUCUGUAGAUGCCAACCGAGUGCUCCUUCCAACUGAAAACAAACAUCUAGUUGACCGUCGUUUUGUGUUAGUCAUAGAUAACAUCGAAAGCCACUUUAGAAGCAAAACUUGCACAAGGUCGGCACGAGUCGCUGUCUGUGGGCCCUCUAGAAAUGCUGCCGGCCCCACCCGCAGCGACACAAGUCCCAAAGUUGGCACAGUACCCUUAGAAAAGUUGUCCAAUAGCAAAUUUUGCGCCGGGGGGGGGGGGGGGGGAGUAAAAUAAACAACACUACCUCAUUGGCUCCUUGACUUGUAUGAUAUGAAACCUCUGAUGAAAAAAAAAGAAAGAUUUUACUAUACAUCAAGCACGUGAUUUUAGAGGAAACUGUGUGAAUUUCUAACCUUCAAAUCUGCUUCAAUAGCUAUGUUUCGGCUUCAUCUUUGAUGAAUCCGGCAGAGGACCUAUGGAUUAGGUUUUUAGGGUUGAGGUAGGGAGAGGAAGGAGAUUUUGGAGUGGGGAAGUGGGAGGUGUUCUCGAGCUUAGAGGGAUGGCUAGGACGAAGGUGAUGGCGACGCAACGGCGCCGUCUCAGCCAUGGAAGAAAAUGAGAAAAGGUGUAUUGGUGUUGGCGGGUGAAACUCUUCUCGUUAGAGUACAUAGGAGGUGGGGCGCUGUGGGAGCCAAAGACAAGGAAGAAGACGAGAAUAGGGCCAUUGCUGUCACUUGGAGAGAGGAGGGGUAGGGAGAGGACAGGAAGGGAGGAGGCCAGUCUGUUGGGCCUCACUGGUGCCAUUGACGACAGGACGCCGACGGGGUUAGGGGUCGCUCAUCAGGGGUAGAGAGGCGGUGGUAAUGGAGAAGGCGAGAAGAUUCGGUGUUGAGCGGCAAUGGCAAGAGGAAGGCGGGAUUAGGGUUAGAGGGACAUACAAGAAUCUUGAAGCAAUGCAAUGAAAAAAAAACACGUGAUAGGAAGUAAGAAAUCACUCGGAUAAUGAAUGAUAGUCAACAAGAUUACCUUCUCUACAAAUUACAAACAAAUUAAGUUCUCAUAUAUAGCGGAUGUGGCUUCUUGGGAUAGGGAGACGGUGGCAAUGGAGGAGGCGAGGAGAUUGGGACAGAACAGCAACAUUAUGAGUAGGAAGACAGUGUUCGGGUACGGGAUGUAUACAUGAUUUUUAAAGUAAUCUAACGGUUAGAAAACAUCAUAACAGGGAGGAAGAAAUCAUUUAGUGGUGAAUAGAUAAUUAAAAAGGACUAAAAAAACCUUGUCAACAAAAUACAAACGAAUUAAGUUCUCACAUUUUGUUUUUGUCGUUACCCGCAUCUUCUCUUCUAUGCGAACUAUGCCUUGCAAAUUCCGCCAAGAUCACUCUGCCACUACAAAGCGGUGGUGCGAUACAAAGACGACGAUGGAAAACCAUGAUAGGUCAGUGUGUUGGUACGUACGUAAGGUGAACGACGACGAUGUGGGCAGGUUGUUGGACCUCGACUCAAAGCUGUCGUAUAAGUGUGUUGGGCAACACCUCAAAUCGAGAUGACUCGUCUUUUUUACGAGUCGUGUAAUUAAGGUACUUGUUAAGGGUAAGUGAGUAACACAUGAAUUUUAAACUAAUAAUAUUUCAUGAAUGAUAUUAUUGUGAGCAUGAUUUUGCGAUGCUGGAGAAGGUUUAGAACAUAUUGCACUUUCUAGUCUUAAUUUAUGGGAAACAUAUCUAUACACAGAAAUUUUCCGUGCACACCAACUAGCAAAUGUCACAGAAAAUUCUAGAAAAAAUUUGACACAUACUUUCAAUAAUGUUACAUCUACAUGUGAAAUCUUAUUUUUCAACUAGUAUAUAUAUAUUUUCCCAUCAUACAGCGGUUGGCUUUCUCUCCACCGUCUAUAUAUAAGCUCUGUUUAGAUCACGCUCUAAAAUUUUUCACCCUGUCACAUUGAACAUUUGAACACAUGUAUGAAGUAUUAAAUAUAGGCUAUAAAAAUAACUAAUUGCACAGAUUGCGGCUAAUUUGUAAGACGAAUCUUUUAAGCCUAAUUGCUCCAUGAUUUAACAAUAUGGUGCUACAGUAAAUAUUUGCUAAUAACAGAUUAAUUAGGCUUAAUAAAUUCAUCUCAUGGUUUACUAAUGGAUUCUAUAAUUAGUUUUUUUAUUAGUGCCCGAACACUCCAUGCGACACCCUAUAUAAUGCCCGAUGUGACACGUCAAAACUUUACACUCCUGAAUCUAAACACCCCCUAAAUUCUUUUACUACUAGUGUAUCUCCGAUACUAUAAUAUGACCCGAGUCAUUAUCUCCUCCAACAAUUGCUCUAAGUUAAAAUUCUUCAUGGGAAAGCUUUAUUGCUCAUGGUUGCCGUUCCAGAAAAAAAGUAGAUCGCAAUCUGUAGCCCUACCCUCUAACAUAUAAUAAACUCUCCUAGGUGACAACAUCGCACGUACGUCUUGAAAAAGUACAAAAAGAAAGGAGAUAAGCACGAGAAAAUGACCGGCACUAAUUGGUCAUCAAAGUUAAGUGGACGAUGCAUGGAUGGUACUACCUCCGUCCCAUAUUACUUGUCUUUUUGAGUUUUUAUUUGUCAAUGUUUAAUCAUUUGUCUUAUUAAAAAAAAUGAAUUAUUAUUUAUUUUGUUUGUCAAUUGCUUUAUUAUCAAAAGUACUUUACAUAUGACUUAUCUUUUUUUAUAUUUGCAUUAAUUUUUUAAAUAAAACGAAUGGUCAAACGUUACAAAUAAAAAGUCAAAAACGUUAAUUAUGGGACGGAGGGAGUAGUACUCAAUGCAAGUACUGUACCCUGUACCCAAAUUGCAUCAUGUUUUCUCAGUCUCUAUUCCAAUUGUAAUUACCGUACCACUAGUACGUCGUGACAGGAUUAGUACAACAAAUAAAUUAGCUCUACAUAUCGAUCUUCUGUUUUCUUUUUCGUUCUGACAGAGGUAAAUUGUAAGGGAUGUCUGAGAAAGUAGGAUUUCACUGUCAACAGAAUAAGGAGCAAAUUGCUCCGUAGCACUUCAAAUAUUUAUGUGUUUUUUUAUUGUUCCACUUAUGUAUGGGACCCAGGGCCCACAUAUGUGUGGAUGACGCAUCAGAAUGUCAUUUUGCAUUUUAUGCGCAUGUUUGCAUUUAUGUGACAAGUGACAAAUUCUGGAACUCAUUUCAAUUUAGGAGUUGGCUUCGUUCCAGGCCUGACCUAUUUGAAACAUGUGAUCGGUGCUUCCCAAUAAAAAUAGAGCAUGCUUAGUUUGUUACCAUUUUCAAUCAUACUAAAUUUGGGCAUGCCAAAAUUUGACAAGCGGAAAUCCAAACAUGUCUUAGGCCCCGAUAGUUUCCUCCAUAUAACAUCAGCAGCCGCCAAAAUUUGAUUUUUCAAACUAAUUUUUGAAGGGUUUUCAUCGAAGUUUAUUUUUCAGUAUUAUCAUUUAAAUCGCUAAGAAUACAUAUGUAAAACUUUUACCUAUAAAUUAUUAGUAGUUUGCUAUUAUCCGUAUUUGGCCAAACGAUGGGGGCCUUAUAUAUAUAAACUCUGGUAAUUUGCUGGAAACUUUUUGACAUAACUUCAUGCAAAAAUAUCUCGUAAGGUUAAAACUAAAAAACACCGACUUACCUAUCUUAUCUUACCCAAUUUUGGCAUUGUUAAGCUUUACAAGUUUUGUAAUAUUUUUUCCAUUUUGUAGAAUCUAAGACUCACUUUCGUUAAAUUCAUGUGUUCAUGAGUUAAAUUACUGGACAAUUGGAGAGAAAAAACAUUCACAUUUGAAAGGCUUAAUUUUGGCCCAAAACCAAAAGCACUCCAAAUCUUGUAAUAAUAUUAAAUAGCUCCAUCGUUUGCUCUUUAGUUUAUCGAUCACUGUCGAAACGUGAAUUUUAAAUCUUAAUUUUAGAAUCAUUUUGAUUUUUUUUAUUUUAGUUUAUUUUAGUAUUGGUUUUUAAGUCAUUGAAAUAUAUACAUAAAAAAAUAUUUUUUUAAGUUGCUAUAAGUAUUACCGUUUAUAAUUAGGUUAGUUGCUAUAAGUAUUACCGUUUAUAAUUAGGUGUAGGUGAAACUAUGGAACUGUGGUGGCAAAAACUAUAUUAGUAAGCUUUGGCCAUGACAAUUUGUAACCUAUAUCAUGUUAAAGGAACCAUAUGCGAGUUGUACACGUGUUAUGACUAGAGAAAAGGAAUAAGAAAAACAGAGUAGCUAGGAGAGGACAAAUGGCAUCCAAGUACCACAUCACCCUGAUUUUCCAAAUCUACAAAUCGUCAAUAUCGUCAUUUCUGCGCUCUAGAUCUGAUGCAAGACCUCAGGCCUUAGGGUGACAUCUCGACAGUAACCUUUAAGCCAAUAAUUCUUUUCAAAACCUUUAAGCCAAUAAUAAUCUAACAGUAAGAAAAAAUAAAAAUAAAAACAAGACAAAAUUGAUGAUUCAUAUCCAUAGAAUCAAAGCUUUUUGGGGCAUCUUGUGAAGUGGAUGGCAACAUGAAAGGGACCUCCAUUUCAUCCUAGAGAUCAGAUAAAGUGAACUGGGAAUUGUGAUCAAAAUCUUACUGAAGAUAUGUGAAUAAACAAACAAAUCAAUAAGUGUCACAUGUUUGGUCUAGAUGCUAGGAUCAGAAUUUCUAGCAAAAAAAGCAGGAUAUAUGUAAAAAUUCAGUUGAUGCACUGCUAAAGUGCUACUAAUAUACUAUGAUUUGUUCUUGAUGCUUUAUUCUGGAAGUGGUGUCAAGUGAACUGUGCACCUUGCACACUUUAUGUAGACCAGUCAUCAGUUUUUCAAUCCUGUCACUGGUCAUAUAUAUAGCUGAAGAUAAUAACAUAUGUCAGUUCUGCCUGUGGCAACAUUGGCCUUCUCUGAUUGGCCUGUACUUGAUGAUAUUGUGAUCUUAAUUGGAUGACUCUACUAAUGCAACGAGUUUCCCUCAAAAGAAUACUCGUAGCAUUUUAAUCACUUUAAGUGUGACAUUUACAAUUUCCGAAGAAUUAAUCUUCACCUUGCGCUGCCAUUGUGCAUUUGAUUUGAAAUAGUGUAGUAAUAAAUUUACCAUUUAUUUUACGGUAAUGCUAAACAACGUAUUUCGCUCUACCUAUUAAGUACCAUGCCUUGCAGCCACCCAUCCAUCCCGCUCCCCUCCCUCCUCUCCUCAUUCCCCUCCCGAUGUUAAAACAAAAAAAAAAAGUUACUCUCAAUUUUACCCAAACGUUGGUUCUGUCGUUAGGGCUUUACUCUCUCCUCCUGAUGUAAAAAAAAUACUAUCUAUUUGGUGUAGAAAAAACUAUCCCGUCCCGUCCCCUUCCCUCCCCUCCCCACACCCUCUCUCUUUUCUUGAUGUAAACAAGUUACUCUUGAUGGAAAUAUGGUAUAUGUUUUGGUAACUCUUAUCCCCUCUACCCCCUUUCCUUCUAAUGAAAAAAAAAACACUCCAGGGGUAUUAGACAAAAAAAAUCUUGGAAAUUUAUUUCACUAGAACAUUUAUUCUAUGCUUUCCCACUUCCCUCCCGAUGCAACAAGAAUUAUUCUCACCCCUUCGGAAAAGGGUACGAGCAAUUUAUUUUACAUUGUAAGAAGAGAGUGGGGGAGGGGAUAGAUGAAGAGCCUAGCAUAACAAGGUGUAAGUAACUGUACAUGUGGGAGGCGGGAGGCGUGAGGUGCACUAUUGAAGCUAAACAAUGUGCUACACUCUGUAUAUUAGUUCUAGUAUAUUUCGUGCAUAAAUAUUCAUAAUGUCUUAUCUAGGCUCAAGGCCAUUUGAAGGGAAAGCAUAUGAAUUUGAUAGGAUUUCAUUGUCAUAGGAUUUUUUUUUUCUAAAUGGAUCUGAAACAAAGAAAGGACACAAUACCUCUAUACAUGCAAAUUUUGGAGAAAAUUUAAUGAGUUUCAACCUCAUAAAAUGUGUCCUUUCAAUCUCUAUCUUUUCGUAAACUCCUAUGUUUUUCGUGCGAUCUAACCAAACAUAUACUCAUGUAUUUUUUCCAUUUCGUAGAAUCUAAGACUCACUUUCGUUAAAUUCAUGUGUUCAUGAGUUUAAUUACUGGACAAUUGGAGAGAAACAACAUUCACAUUGAUUUACUGUACUACUGUAGGUCCCACACAAAGCACAAUAACUAUAAUAAAAAUAUACUCCAUCCGUCCUAAAAUAUAAUAACUUUUAGCAUUCAAAAUUUGUCGCAAAAUAUAAAUAACUUCACCAACCAUAUUUCCUUCUCGACAAACCAUAAACCUCCACUAUUCAAAUUCUUCACCAACUUUUAUUUCCUCGAAAAAUCGAAAACUUCUUCCAUUUAAUUCUACUAAGUAUUCUUGUGUAAGGUGGUGUUUGGAUUCAGGGACUUAACUUUAGUCCCUGUAUUUAGACACUAAUUUAGAGUAUUAAAUAUAGACUACUUACAAAACUAAUUACAUAAAUGAAAGCUAAUUUGUGAGACAAAUUUUUUAAGCCUAAUUAAUCCAUAAUUAGAGAAUGUUUACUGUAGCAUCACAUAGGCUAAUCAUGGAUUAAUUAGGCUCAAUAGAUUCGUCUCGCGAAUUAGUCCAAGAUUAUGGAUGGGUUUUAUUAAUAGUCUACGUUUAAUAUUUAUAAUUAAUAUCUAAACAUCCGAUAUGAUAGGAACUUAAAUCUAGUUUUAGUCCCAUCUAAACAGAGUCUAAGUCUAAUACUUCUUGUAUUGUACAGCGGGAUGUAGCCACCCACAACUAGUACUAAUUAUAAUUAGUAUUUUUUAUUUGUGAUGAUGUCAUAAAUACAAGUGGCGCCACGCUGCAGGUGGAAUACAAACGGAACAGCACGUGCCACGCGUCCCCGCUGCCAACUCGACUCGACUCGAGUCCGACCGAGCGAGCGAGCCCGACUCGCCGCGCGUCGCCGACGCCGGACCCGACCCACCCCACGAGCCGAGCCGGAUUUAUUCCCGUUUCCCGAGAAGCCCAUUUGCUACUCCACCUCCCGGAUUCGCUGGCGGCCCACAACCCACCAGCCCUGCUGACGAGGCGCCCACCUGUCAGUUACUCGCAGAGAGGGAGCCAGCGGAUCGGGUCGGGUCGGGUGGUGGGUCCAGGCCCGGAUCGCGAGGCAGGAGGAGGGGUGGCCCACCGCAGCAGCGCAGAGCCAAGGCACAGCACGCACGCACGCACGCGCGCGGGAGGCCCGGUCGGUCGUCGCGGCCCACCGGCUGCGGCCGGUCGCUUUGCCUGGCUUUCCGGUUUUACCCCCCGUAAAAAGGAAAAAUGUUCAGAAGAUCGAUAUGCACGAAAUCACCCUGGAUUUUCGUGAAUUCUUACUUUCUUCUAUUGCAAAUGUACGAUCAACUACACGGUAGGAGUAUAGUGCCGAUCAAAUUUAGUAUGGAACAUGUUUUUCUUUUUUUUUUACCAUCCUUCUUUUGGGAUAGUUACAUAUGACGAGGUAAAAAUCGAUCUCAAAAGAAACAGCUUAUGAACCAAGAAUAGGGUGUGAUUAUGUUUGAUCAUUUUUCCUGUUUAAAAAAUUUAGUCCAAAUAUAAAAAUGAAUAAAUCAUAUUUAAAGUUCCUUUAAUGAUAAAAAGUCGCAAUGAAAUAAAUAGUGCUAAAAUAUUAUAGUUUUUUCAAUAACUGAUGGUCAAACUUGAGAAGUUAACACCAUCACAUGUUAUAAUUAUAAUUAAAUAAGUAGAAUUAAUAAAUAUGAUUAAACAUGUGGAUCGGAUAAAUUUUAAGGAAUUUUAGAGGGAUAUAAAUAAUUAUAUGAAAAUCCUAUAAAAUUAAAAUUCAUGAAUCCCAAGGGAGACUUUAGAGCUACUCCUUGCAGUGAACAAAGCUUCUACUGUAUGCCUACUAGCAUGUCUUGUGCGCAUUUACUUUUUUGCGUGGAGGUUUGUUUACUUAUCAUGGAGAUGAGCUGGUAAUUCCAUUUACUCCCUAAUUAAAAUCUGAUUUCAUAAUUUUACUGCCUUUAGACUAUUCCCAACCAAGACACUAGACAUAGUUUUCAUAAACUCUACAUCAUCAAAAAACUAGUACUAUACAUUAAUCUUUCAAUGCAAACACCACUAUUCCAUACUUAAAUUUAAUGUUGCUUAUCUCACAUGAUGUUCUUGGAUGUUAUGUAGAAACAAUGUCUCUUUUCUCACGCAAAGACAUGGUUUCCUUCUCUUUUCUCAUUUAUUUACUUGUCACAUCAAUUUUUAUCCUAUGUGGCAGCUUAUUUAAUGUUAUGGACACCAUUCUAAUCAUUGGGUUGGGAAUAGCCAUAAUACUACUUUGCAUGUUUAUAUUCUUAAUUGCAUGCAUGCUUCAAUUCAUUUGUUCCUCUGUGUGGAGCUGCACUUUCAGGAAAAAGUCAUCACUAGAUCAUCUCAGUUGAAAAUCUUGUUCCAUCAACGUAUCGUCUGACAGUUUGGAAAAAAUGUAGUAGCAGCUUACUAGCUAGAUUUGGUCAAAAGACUUUAACGUCACAAAAACAAAUUAAGUCAUACAAACAGAUAAUUAAUUCCACUCUCCUCCAUAUCAGUUAAUCAAUGACAUUUGACACUUUCCAGACCAUAUUCUUUACCUAAAACAUCUAACAGUUUUUUUUUUCAUCGAGCAAUAGAAAUCUAUCCACCAGAGUGGUUUCUUAGCUUCAUCUCGAUCCUACAAAACCAAACUUAAUCUUCUUUUAGCACGCAUUCCAAACUACUAAACGAUACGUUCUGUGUAAAAAAUUUUAUAUGUAAAAGUUGUUUUUUGAAAUAUCAAAUAUAUCCCUUUGUCAACUUUGUAAUAAUUAAAACUUAAUUAAUCAUGUGUUAAUAACUUUCUCGUUUUACGUGUGCCAACUUAAUCUUCAUAUUCGUCCGUUCCAAACACCACCUUAAAGCCAUGAAGAUAUAUAGCAUGGAAGAAAUAGUUUACUUAUAGAAAUCGAGGAUGCUGCUAGCGCUUUUUAAGACAAAAUAUAUAUACCAUUUAUUGUUUAUUAUCAUCUACUAGGCUGUGUUUAGAUCCAAACUUUAGAUCCAAACUUGUAACUUUUUUCAUCACAUCAACCUUUCAUACACACAUAACUUUUCAGUCACAUUGUAUCAAUUUCAACCUAAACUUCCAACUUUGGAAUGAACUAAACACAACCCUAGUUUUCUGUCUGUAUUUCUUUUCAGAUGAAGUAUACCGAUCAUUUCCAUAGUCAUCUACCGCUAUGUACUAAUGAACAUGUGCUUUAAAAAGUUUAGAAAGUCAAAAGAAAGAAGCUGGAGUAGUCUUGUUUUCUCAUGAAACCAGCUAAAAUUCAAUGCACCACCCAAACUUGACCACUUUCUCCCAUCUCAUCCAAUAAGCAUCAAAACCUUUUCACCUCCAUCAAAAAUAAAACCCACCCUUCUCACCUCUUUGGUUCAAGCAAAAUUGUGACAAGCCUCAACAAAAAAUUACCUUCUCUCAAGGUGCAAAGCUGUAAAAAAAAACUGAGUAAAAACCCCAUUUUACCCUUGUUCCCAUAAAGCAAAGAGAAGGGGAAAAAAAUGUUGUGUGUGUAAGUAAAGCCAAGAGCUCACUAAACCUAGUUUUGCCCAAAAACCCAGAGAGAGGAGGCUCCAAAGCAAAAGCCUCACUCCCUUUCCCCAUCUCCUCCCUCCUCUUCGCCAUUUCGUCGAACACCUUCUCCGAUCGCGCGCCGCCGCCGCCGAUGGGGGAGCCUGGGGGCGCCGAGGCGGCCGUCUCCGCGAGGCUGCUCGAGCUGGCGGCCGACGACAACGCGGCGGGGCUCGGGGAGCUCCUCGCGGCGUGGCCCUCCCUCGCCGACGAGCCCGCGCCGUGGUACACCCCGGCGCGGGGCGCGGAGCCGCUGACCCCGCUCAUGGUCGCCGCCGUGUACGGCUCGGUGGGCUGCCUCGACGCGCUCCUCUCGCCGCCCUACCUCGUGGACCCCAACCGCGCCUCGGCGUCGUCGCUCUCCACCCCGCUCCACCUCGCCGCCGCGGGCGGGUCCGCCUCCGCCCCCGCGGCGGUCUCCCGCCUCCUCGCCGCCGGCGCCGACCCGGCCCUCCUCGACCACCUCCAGCGCCGGGCGUCCGACCUCGUCGCGCUCCCGCCCAACUCGCUCCCGCUCAAGAACCACCUCCUCUCCCUCCUCGGCGCCCGCAAGGAGUGGCCUCCCGACCCCUCCCUCCCCGACAUCAAGAACGGCGCCUACGCCUCCGACGACUUCAGGAUGUACUCGUUCAAGGUGCGCGCGUGCUCGCGGGCCUACUCCCAUGACUGGACGGAGUGCCCCUUCGUCCACCCCGGCGAGAACGCGCGGCGGCGCGACCCGAGGAAGUACCACUACAGCUGCGUGCCGUGCCCGGAGUUCAAGAAGGGGGCCGGGUGCAGGAGAGGGGACAUGUGCGAGUACGCGCACGGGGUGUUCGAGAGCUGGCUCCACCCGGCGCAGUACCGGACGCGCCUCUGCAAGGACGGCGUCGGCUGCGCCCGCCGCGUCUGCUUCUUCGCCCACACGCCCGACGAGCUCCGCCCGCUCUACGUCUCCACGGGCUCCGCCGUGCCGUCGCCGCGCGGGGCGUUGGAGAUGGCGGCGGCGGCGGCGGCGAUGGGGAUGGGGCUGUCGUCGCCGGGGUCGUCGUCGUUCACGCCGCCGCUAUCGCCGUCGGCCGGCGGGGGCGGGGGCGGGGGCGGGGGCAGCGGCGGCGGCGGCGCGUGGCCGCAGCAGCCGAGCGUGCCGGCGCUCUGCCUGCCCGGGAGCGCCGGGAACCUCCACCUGAGCCGGCUGCGCACGUCGCUGAGCGCGCGCGACAUGGCCGUCGACGAGCUGCUCGCCGCGGCGGCGGCGGCGGCGGACUACGACGGCCUCGUCGCCUCCCCCGCCUCCAUCCGGUCCGCGAGGGGGAAGGCGCUUGUGCCGUCAAAUCUCGACGAGCUCUUCUCCGCUGAGCUCGCCGCCGCCGCGGCGUCGCGCUCGCCGCGCUACGCCGACCAAGGCGGCGCCGCGUUCUCCCCGACCCGCAAGGCCACCGUGCUCAACCAAUUCCAGCUGCAGCAGCAGCAUAGCUUGCUCUCGCCGCGGGCGGCCGCGGUGACACCAGAGCCGGUCUCCCCAAUGAGCUCCCGCCUCCUCGCCGCGCUGGCGCAGCGGGAGAAGAUGCAGCAGCAGACGCUGCGGAGCAUGAGCUCACGGGACCUCGGCAACGCCGCGUCGCUGCUGGUCGGCUCGCCGGUGAGCUCGAGCAUGUCCAAAUGGGGGUUCCCCUCCGGCAACCCGGACUGGGGCGCCGACGACGAGGAGCUCGGCCGCCUCAAGCGUUGCUCCUCGUUCGAGCUCCGGUCCGGAGCCGCCAAUGGCAACCAUGAGCCUGACCUCUCAUGGGUCAACACCCUAGUGAAGGAGCCGACACCGGAGAAGAUGAUGACGACGACAUCGGCAAUGGAUUCCAUUGGCAUCUUGGGACAGAACACAAGCCGUGAUCACAUCGUCGGAGGCGAGGAUGACACUGCCGGAGUCAUCAGCAGCUGGCUUGAACAGCUCCAGCUCGAUGAGAUGGUUGUCUAGAAACACAAAACACAAACACAAACUGAACAAGAAAUGCGCCAUUCUUUUAGAUGUGCUUCGCCGAUUGCUACUACUACUCACUACUUGUUGCUACUUGCUAGCAUCAAUCUUGCUAUUGAUUACCGGUGAUACAUUCUUUUGGGGGUGAUGAGAAUUAUUUAGCGGAGAAGGUGAUGAGGAAAUUCUUCUACCAUUUAGCAUUGCCCGUAUGUAAAAGAAUCGGAGGAAUCGGAGCCUAGUCAAAUUGUAUCAAAUUGCCGGCUUGCCUAGGUGAAAGAUUUCUCCUUUGUGUUUCUUUUCGAUUUAUCCUUGUAUUAAUCUUUUUAAUCUCUUUUCGCUGUUUUUCUUUUCUAAAAUGUGACUGAGGAUCAUGAAUUAUGUUAUCUAUUUGCCCCCAUCCUUUGGUUGUGAAGGAGUUGGAGGGGAGGGUAUUUACAUCAAAUGUUGCUUAGUCCUAACAAAGCUCAUCAUUGAUGUAAUGCCCUACAAAUUGUACCCAUGAUUCAUGAUUGAUGUAAAAUUCCUAUUGUAGUACCAAGAUUGAUUAAUCUCCCCUGUUUCCUGCAUUUCUUUUCUUUUCUUCAGAAAGCAUCAUAUACAUGUGCCCUUUAUCCUGUGAGAAUUACAUUAUCGCAUACUCCCUCCGUCCCAAAAUAUAAGAAGUUUUGGUUGGAUGUGACACAUUCUAGCACUACGAAGCUGGACAUGCUGCCUGUCCAGAUUGUCCAGAUUUAUAGUACUAUUAGGAUAUGUUAUAUCCAACCAAAACUCUUAAUAUUUUGGGAGGGAGGGAGUAUCAUUUCACCUGAGAUGGCAUUAGUUUUAAAAUCACAUGGAUUGUGUUCAGUUGCUGUUCUGAUGGUUGCCUGAUGACAACAGCUGUUGGCAUGGGCUUAGUUUGUGCAGUGCUUGACUCUGUGGAUGUGGUCAUGAUCACAGGUCGGCAGAUCGGCAUUGAAAAAGAUUGGCUUGGCCUGGAUUGCUUCCCUUCUCCUGGAGGCAUUUUGAAAGGGAUUUGGAUAUUAAGAUGGUUAACAUCAUCGAUCAAUGCGAGGUUAAUGUUUAAUGUGUUCUAGAUGACCUGGUCCCUCACUGAUGCACCCUGUCAGAAUAAAACAACUUGGGGACGGUGGCUCGGUAAGCUCGCCUCUUGUCUUUGUUCACAGUGCUGACUUGUACUGUGACCUGGAAGAAACAUGGGUUGGCUACUAUUUUCAUGUAUAUUGUGUAGCGUAAAAUUUCCACGAAAUUGCUAUGGUCUAAGUAAAAUUCAGAUUGUUGCAUAUUUUUAUUCUAGUGAAGUGUGAAUGCUUGAUGCUAUUGUGAUCCUGGUUAAGGUAGCUCUUUUAAUAGUAUAACACUGAGUUUCUUGGUCUUUCUGUUUCUUUUUUUAGCCAUUCUUAGUUCCUAAUUUCUACAAAAAAGGAAGUUGUCUUAGAUGUUACAGGGUAGUUUCUGGAUGUUUAAUGAUGCAUUCAGAUGGUGACAGUAUUGAAACUGGAUGGAAUAUUGCAAUGGAUGUUUGGUUUGCAUUUCAUCUACUUUUGAUAUAUUUGGAUACAAGGCCAGAUAUGUGGCUUUAUUAUUCAUCAUGUGAGUUGUUAUUAAAUGAUGUAAAUAUUUUUUUUAAGAAACAGUUAGGUCCAUAAUGGCUAUGAUUAGAAUAUGGGUUGGGUUAGGGAACCUACCUCUCUCUGCUGACAUUCAGGUGCAUCUACUUAAGCUAGGUCCCAACAAUUAAUACUCUUUUUUGUAAAAUUGUCAUCUCAAGCAUAAAUUGGUGCAUAGUAAUUGCAUCGCACCAUCCCUACUCUUGAUCUAUUAAAUUUGCCAUAUGAUUAGAUAUGUCUGGAGGCAAUUGAUAUCGGCACAUGCCUGUCAAGCUAUAAUAGUACAUCAAUAUAAAAUGGUAAAAUAAUUAAUUUGUCUUUGAAGAAAUGUUUCAUGGGGCCCUUGAGCAAGUGGAUCUCGUUCUAUUUUCCACAAUAAAAUUUAGUGAGCAAGCUAAUAGGCAUUAUGCAUAUAUAGAAAAUUAUCCAAUGAAAUGCAGCCUUCCUUUCUCUUUUUCAAAUGUGGUUUGGUUGGGACUUGGAGAAUGGGGAUUGGAGGGUGGUACACAAGUGACCUCAUUCAGAUGUUGAUUUCUCCAUUCUGAGAUAACUAAUGUUGCUAUUUAGAGUUGAUGUGACAUCAAUAUAAUGUAUUAUUAAAAACUAAAGGGGCACCAAUCUAUUGGUGCAAAAUUGACGGGUAGGAGGGUCUGCAUCAGAUUUUGCAUCUCCUUUGCCUACAUAGUUUGUAUCUAUACAUGAUGGUGAUGUGCUCUUCUGUAUAUAAAAUGUUUUUUUCUCACAGGUAUAUAAUAGCAUUCUUUGUCCUACUAGCACUGGUAGAAAUUUGUUCUGAAUUGCUAUUGUAAAUCUAUUCAAUAUUUAUGUUGGACAAUAUCAUCUUCGGCGAAAAACAUUUCAGGUGGCUAGAACUAAUUUCUGCACCAAGGAAUGUAGUAUUUCUAUUUCCGAUUUUGCCUUUUGAUUAAGACUUUCUAGGGGAUAACAAAAGAAAAUAAGAUAAAAACAAAUGUCAUGUAUCAUGUGUGUCAUGGUGUUGGCUUCUUUUUUGACAUUUGUUCGUCUUGUGCGGAAUGCUUUUUCGCAAGUUGCGUCCUUUUGGUUUUGGGGUUGUGGAUGUGGAAUUUGUCGUUAUGCGGUGUCUAAUUUAUUUCUUUGUUUUAGGUAUUGAAUCAUAGGUUCAUUAAAGAACUAUAUACAUAGCAUAAGUAGCAAAGUCUAAUUGUAUGAUGCAUGAAUGCAACAAAAAAAAUGUCUACAUAAAUUAUCCUAUGCCACUAAAAAUUUUACACAAUUCCUUAUUUUCAGACUAGUUUUUGGGUGACUAAAUAUAUUAUAAGUGGCAAAAUUUGCUGCAAGACAUUCAAAAAACUUGUAGGGGACACUGCAAGAAUACGUAUCUAUUGUGGGGACACCGUAAAAAACUAGUAAUGAUACAUGGUGUCGGAGCUAUAUGCGAGCCGCACAUGGCAGGCAUGAGCAAAAUUGUACUUUCACGAUUAUUUCUCUCUCUAUUUGCGCUAGAUAUAAUAAAAUAAAGUCGUGGGUGUCCAAUAACUAAUUACCAUUUUUUGUGGUGUCCCAAGAUGAAGGGAUAGACGAGUAGCUCGUCAUGCCACUAUCACUGGUAAACCCUCGUUUCCACAUUCCCCUCUCUUCUUGCCUUCCCCGGUUUCCUCUCUAAUGGACAGGGGGUAGGCGACUCAAUCUAAUGGACAGGGAGUAGGUGAUUGCGAUUUGCCGCCUAAAAUCUAGAGCCCCAUCGGUUGCCCUAAUAAGCCGAAGACAAAAAUUUAAAUUUUCAAACUUAAAAUUUGAAAAUUAAUUUUAAGAUAUUUUAAUGUAGUUUCUUUUUUAGCAUUGACUUUUAAAUCGUUAGGAACACAUAUAUAAAUUAUUUUUACUUAUAAGUUAAUUUUUAUUUCCUAAUAAGCCAAAAUAUGAGCAACUGAUGACUCCCCUAGUAGCAUUUUUCCAUUUACCAUUCAUUUCACUGAAAUAUGCGCUUGAGCCCACAUAAUUGAGGCUGUUGCUGAAGGUUUCUGUGAUUCAUCAAGGUUUCUGUGAUUGCAGACUGGAUGGCACAGCAAGUCAGGAACAGAGUAGCUUGGCCCCUGGCUCCUGGCUGGCCUGAUCAAUCUUGCAGGGAUCCGAUGGCCACGUGGCAGAAUCCUGACCCUCAACACGUACGGGCAUGAGCUCGAUCUGCACCACUAUACUCCAAACAUCUGCACGCGUUGCUGCAGGCAAUAACUUCUUUGUCUCGAUGGAAUUUACUACCGUCAGAGGAAUUCAGUAAAUGAACAGUAAAUUCACAUUUUUCUCAUUGGCAUUUUUAUUGCAGUAGAAACCAAAAGGUUCAGAUAAGUUUGUUGGGUUAAACAAGAAGAGAGAUGUCCAUAAGCUUAUUGAUGUUUUUAAAUAAAAAAACUAGUAGUGUUAUCUUGAGCUUUAUCAUGGCCAAAAUGAUGGUGAAUCUUGACCUUUUUUUGCAGCUGAAAAGUUGAAAUAAAUUUAUUGGAUUAAACAAGAAGGGAGUGUACUUUUGUUCCUUCUUUAAUUAAACUAUUUCAGUGACCUUGAGCUUUAACAUGAUAAGAAGAGAAGGAUAGUCCAUAUUGAUAUGUGGGUCCAAAUGUCCAAUACAUGCCACAAGUCGGUCAAUUAGCUUCUAGAUGCAUUACAAAUGUCUUACAAAUUCCUAUUUGUAAGACUAGAAUACUAGACCUUCAAGUCUAUGAAUGACAAACAGUUCAUUCUACAGUAUUUUUUUCUUAAAAAAAAAUCAUUCAGUUUGAAACUAGCAGUUGAUGAAAUUUCCAUACAAUAGAAUAUGCUAGAGGUGCCAACAACACAUGAUCCACAAAAUUCUUCACCCAAACAGUAUGAGAGGCAGGACCACUACAUGAGAAAAUGUUUCUGCAGUUCAGUCCAACCAGUAGACAGGCUACUGAAAUGCUGCCAAAAUUGAAUGGCAGCUUUUAGCCUUUUAUGGUUUGUUUGGGAUGCAAAAAAUUCAUAUAAUACCAGAGAGGAAACCUUGCUGCAAAUAUUUUGAUAAGACCCAUAAAUCUACAGUAUAUCAGUAUGCUUUGAAUUAUCAGUAGAAAUUAGUAUCAGUAUUAAUUAACUGGAGAAGAAAAUGAUUGCCGGUGGAAUACAAUUUCGCGCAUAUUUUCUAGGAAAAGCUUGGGAUUGCUUGCAACACUGGAAAGAGUACAGUGGUGAGACCAGGAGAUAGUACAAUCCUAUUUUCUUUAGAUUGAUCACUUCCCCAUCUCAAUCUAUCAUGUUCAGUGAGAAAACCAAUCAUUUUCAUCUGAUAUAGAGUAUCAUGCUUAGUGAGAAAAUCAGCAUGGCAGCACCAUUUCCUUCAUCUGUCAUUUUCAGUUGGAAAAACCAGUCAGUUAGAGGCACCAACCCAUGUGCAUACAAUCACUCUCUGAAAAUCUAGACAAGGUAUAUUUUCCCUCUCAGCUGAUCAAUCAACUGAAGAAAAUUCAGAACACAGCCAUUGUCACCAGGUAGCAAGUGCAUCACAGAAUUAACCCCAUGUAUGAGGAUCUAGUCAAGUAGGUUUAGAAAUUAAUCUUCGUGUGAAUGAAUCAGCAGGCAACUAAGCAGGAAACAAUGCAAUGAAUAGGAGCAGAUGAGCAGGAAGAUUCAGAGAUUGCAGCGUAGGGUGACUGAACCUGAAAGGAGUAAUGUGUCUGAAUCACUGAUUUUUCAGAAAACACAGGGAUGCUCUUGAAGAAGGGUUCAUGCUUGGCUUGUGUCAUUUUCCAUGAGAACAGACACAUGGCUUUGUAGUUCUGUUGGAUAUGGACAUUGAGAAGGACUACUCUCUGGAUUUUGAGCUGGAUGCAGCCAUGCUUUCUAGGAUAGGUUAACAAUCUGCUUUGCUUUGAGGCUUGGAUCGAAAGGAGUUUGUUCUAAUAGGGACUAAACUUUAGGAAGGAUAAAUGCUUCAUGGAAGAUAUGGAGGCAAGUUGGCUGUAACUGUGAUCUAGAUUACUGUGUUCUUGAUAAGUCAUGCAAAAGCAGAUAGCAUCUCUCUCUCCCUCCCUCUUGAAGAGAAGAACAAAAAUAAAAUAGAAUCCAUUUACAGUGUUUAUGCUGUUGGAGAAUGACUCCAUCCUCGUAGCUUGAAAGGCCCACAAUAGUCUCAAAGAAACAAGAACAAAAAUAAAUGCCUGAAAUACACUGUUCCAGGCCCUGUUCUAUUAUUCCUCAACUAGUACAAAAGUUUCGGGUUCCCUCAAGUUGGAUAUAUUUAUCAUCUGCACUCUGCAGGACAUAUCAUUAGCAAAACUUAUUCAGACAAAAGGAGAACCGCAUCCUAUCUUACCAUAAAGUUAUCCCCCACUAACUUCUUAAAUUUAACAUGCAAAGAUACCACAUCAUCAUCCACUAACAAGAUGCCACAUCAUCAUCCACUAAUUAACAAGAUACCACAUCAUCAUCCACUAACAAUCAUCACAUUUAAACAUCAUGCAAACAUGCUAUAUCUUUAUAGUUUUAUAAUUUAAGAGCUUAUCAAAUACAAACAUGUUAAAUUAUCAUCCAACAUAAUUCACAUAAUGUUUCAAUGUAUAUCUUUCAAUGUAAUUCAAAGUAUGAAUUACCCCCCACCCGAAUUAUCGCGGUCGUCUGAGUUACCCCCCUGAACCACAAAACCGGACAUUCUUCACCCCCAACUAUACAAACCAGACGAAUUACCCCCCUCGACCCAAUCCACGGUGGUUUUGGUAUAUGUGGCGUACACGUGGUAGUCCAGUCAGCGUUGUUUUAAUUAAAAAAUUGUGGGACCCACAUGUCAUACACUAAUACUCUCUCUCUCACCCUUUUCUCUCCCGCGCAACGCGCACGGUGAGGACGAGCGCGGGGGGCGAAGCGUGGAAGCGGAGCGCGGCGGCGCGGACGUCGGCGCUCAGGACUUCGGCGCGGAGGCGGCGGAGAAGUGUGGCGGCGAAGGCGGGCGGAGGAGCGUGGCGGCGGAGCGCGGGGAACUGAGCCAGUUGUGGGUGGCGGAGGCGGCGGAGGAGUGUGGCGCGCCACCGCCGAGGAGGAGCCCGCCGCCCACCGUGCGUUCCCGUGAGCCCACGACGAGGAUGAGGAGCCCGCCGCCCACCGCGCGUCCCUGCGUGCCCGGUUGGCCUCCGCCUCCAUCGCCGGCCGUCAUCGUCCUCGGGCCCCCUCCGCCACCCACAACUGGCUCCGCUCGUCCGCUACGCUCCGCCGCCUUUGCUCCUCCACCACGCUCCGCUGCCACGCUCCUCCGCCGCCUCCGCUCGUCCGCCGCCUCCGCUGCCACGCUCCUCCGCCGCCUCCGCUCGUCCGCCGCCUCCGCUGCCACGCUCGUCCGCCGUCUCCGCUCCUCUGCUGCCUUCGCUCCUCCGCCACGCUCCUCCGCCGCGCUUUGCCGCCACGCUCCUUGGCCGCCUCCACCGCCUCCGCUCGUCCGCCGCCUCCGCUCUGGCGCCACGCUCCUCCGCCGUGCUCCGCCGCCACGCUCCGCCCCCCGCGCUUGUCCUCGCCGUGCGCGCUGCGCGAGAGAAAAGGGUGAGAGAGAGAAUAGAGAGAGAGUAUUUAGUGUAUGACAUGCGGGUCCCACAAUUUUUUAAUUAAAAAAACGCUGAUUGGACUGCCACGUGUACGCCACGUAGACCAAAACCACCGUGGAUUGGGUCAAGGGGGGUAAUUCGUCCGGUUUGCAUAAUUGGGGGUGAAGAAUGUCCGGUUUUGUGGUUCAGGGGGGGUAAUUCAGACGAUCGCGAUGGUUCGUUGGGGGGGGGUUAAUUCAUACUUUUUCCUUUAUGAUAUCCUAUAUACUUAUAUAGUUCAUCCUCACUUAGUGCUUAAAUGAUUAAUCUAUGGUCCAAAUUAUCUUUCUCCUUUUUUCCUCUAAUUAAGUCAUAUCACAUCGCUGUAAAAAAAAGUCAUAUCACAUCAAUUGUUUUUAGCCUUUAGAUGAUUAAUCUACGGUCCAAACUAUCUCCCUACUUUUCUUCUUCUAUAAAGUCAUACCACAUUACUUUUUACGAAUCACCAUUCUACAUACUAUUUAAAUUUAAAUUAUCAUAAACCACAUUAAUUUACUUAAUUUGAUGUUAUCUAGCUAUCUUACACGUUAUAUUUUUAUUGUUAUCAUACUAAAUUCCCGCAGCAAUGCGUGAGGUUUCACCUAAUUAGUUUAGUUUUUGGGCUCUCUGAGACUAGUGAAAUCGUCAUUAAAACAGACAAAAUGGCAUAGAUUGUGUUGAGAUUAUGAUCACACUCUGCUACAAAAUAUAAAUAUUGCUGCACGUUUCCGAAAUAAAAUGUUUAUAUUUUAAAACGGAAAUAUAAGUAUUUCUGCACGUUUUCCGAAAUAAAAAUGCUUAUAUAUUUUAAAACAGAAACGGAAGGAGUACUAUAACAGAAGCCAGUUAAAAGAGCGAUAGAGUUUAAGAAAAAGAUGGGCGAUUCAUUUGGUGUGAGCCAAACAUUGAUAUACUAACAAUUUGCUUGUAUUAGCUUACCGAUUACUAAUAGACAAUUAGCUUGAGAAUCAGGAUGGACGCACAGCAUAAUCCAGCAAAUGGAUUAACUAUUAAUGUUUAUAGGACUACAUGAAUUCUUUUACUUCACUGAUAAAGGAGCCCUCAUUGUACUCCGUUCAACGAACAAAAAAACCUCUCAAGAACAAUGAAGCAAACAAUUCCUCAAUGAUACGGUACAAUUCCUCACUAUGAUUUCACCUAGUUCAGGUAUGAUGAACCUAGUAGCUGAUGCCUCUCCGGCAAACAAAUAACAAAUGGAAAUGAAUUCCAUGUUUUUUUUAUUUCCUUUGUCCUAGGGUGUUUCUGAAUCUGUUAUCUCAAGCAGGUUGAUCAAAAGUUUCUCGUCAGUGCUUCUGCAAUGCCAUCAGCAACAAUGUUUUGAGUUAUCUAGUUAACCGGGGAUAUCUUGAGGCCCCUUGUUCGUCCAGGAGCACCUCCUGAGAGAGACAAGUCGAGCGAUAACCUGUAGGAAUACAAAUAGAGAGGAUCGUGGAAUCAACUAUCAUUAGCUUGAAAAUAAGGUGAAUCAGCUAUCAUUACCAUACAUAAAAUUAGGGGGAAAUGGCUUACAAGUUUGUGGUUCCUUUCUCUGCUUCGUUAGUCUCAGAUUGCAACAAAAUUUCUGAGUUUGUUUUGGACAGGAUUGAGUAACAUGCAGUUUCUUUCCCGUCCUUGAUGACUGAUCCCAUAAUGAAAGUUACUAUCAGAUUUAUGAUGAAACACUAAUAAUAAUAAAAUGGAAGGAAAAAUGUAAAAGCUCAUGUUUCUUACAAGAAUCAUUUGAAUCUUCGUGGUCAUCAUCCAAAGAAAGCAACUUCUGCAGGUCACAGGUAAAAAUUAAGGAACAGAACAGCGUAUUGCAAUAAGCAUCUCUCACAAGGAAAGUUUAUGCAGCCAAGGCACAAGGUUAAUUACCUUCAAAUUUUCAUAACAAGCUUCAAGGUCAUCAUUUACCAAAAGAUGAUCGAAAAGACCUGGUGAAUUGGACUGGUCAAGCUCUGCACGAGCAUUCCUCAGUCGCUUCUGGAUUUGCUCCUCUGUUUCAGUUCCCCUACAUAGCCAGUGCAUAAAUCAAAAAGUUUAUUUCAUAUGGUCAGGAAUUGAAUAAUCAAGUACAUGAGCUUAGGCUAUCACUGCAUUUUGUAAACUACAAAUAUACCGUGCCCGAAGGCGCUUCUCUAGUUCCUCGAACGAUGGAGGGCAUACAAAGAUGAAUAUUGCUUCAAGAGAAGAAGCCCUCACAGAACGAGCUCCUUGGACAUCAAUGUCGAGAAUACACCUCUUCAAUGAAAAAGCAAUGGAAAGAUGUAGCAAUUCACCUUUCAGAAGUUUUCAUGAAAAAAGAGUAAUAACUUUACCUUCCCCUCAUCAGUAACAGAUUCAACUGCUUCAACGCUAGUGCCAUAGACAUUUCCAUGAACAUGAGCAAACUCAAGAAAUUUGCCCUCACUUAUCUCUUCCUCAAUCUUGCUUCGUUCUGUGAAGUGGUAAUGAACUCCAUCUAUUUCUUUCUCCCUUGGAGCUCUUGUGGUGUGGCUAACAGAAAAUCCAAACUUUGAUGGAUAUUCUUUCAUUAAUUUUGCAAUUAAUGUCCCUUUACCAACACCAGAAGGCCCGCUAAUCACAAUUGGCUUUUGGCCCUCACCAAUUACUCCCUUGCUCCAUGCAACAACAACUGUGCCCUUAAUUUUGCUCUGCUGCUUAACAAAAGGAGUGUCUACCUAAAAUAAACAAAGCAGAAGAAACCAUGCCAUCUCAGUAAGGUGAAUAUUGGAAAAGCAAAAGAAAAGGAGAUAAGUAUACUGAUCAAGUGCACUGAGAAUACAAUAUACUCCUAGGCCUCUAGACAGAAAGCACACAGAAAACAUGAAACACAAAUAGACCCUUGUGCUGGCAUCUAGUGAAAGAGAAACCAUGCUUUCAGGUCAAUGCAGAAAAUAUGAAACACAAAAAGACCCCUGAGCUAGCAUCUUGUGAACGAAAAAUAUACACUUUCAGAUUAACAAACUGGCAUAAUGCACCACACCAGCAGAUUAACAUAAUAAUGUUAUGACAUGAAUAAAAGAAUAGACUUCUAGCUUACAAGUAAUACAAGAGACGGAAGUAGCAUUAUUAUAUACCAUAUAUUAUAUAACUAUAGAACAAUCAAUAUGCAUGAGAGUCUACAGGAACAGCAAGAAAAUUAUUUUCUUGUUAAGUUUGUAUGAAAGGAAACCAUAAGAGUAUGCAGUUUCCUUGGUGCUAACUAAAAACUAAUUACUUUCCGUAAAUUAAAAGAGAACAGAAGUAAAGAAAAGAAGAGCGCUUGCAUCAAUUUUCCAGCUUUACCUCAAGGAACCAGAUAGAAUCAUUCAAGGGAACACCCUUCUCAAUAAUCAGUAUCUUCUCAUUGUUUACGAGAACCGCUGAGUGUGAGCUGGUUGGAUUUGGAGGUGCCCCAAGUACUGUAGGUACAACCCUGCAUAAACACAAUGGGAGUGACUAACUACCAAAAUGAAAGCACAGUAAAUAGAGAUCGCAAACCAAAAUGACAGAACACGUACCAAGUCUGAGUUAGUUUGUCCAAAAUUUUGAUGGUAAUCGAUGACUUGGGGUCAUCUGAUCUGCUGAUAACAUACUGCAAAAAGCAAGAACAUGCUGUUACAAUAUAAAUUUAGAGUACUCCCUAGUAAGAUUAACACCGAUUGACAAUACACAGGGGAGUAUGCUUUACUUACGUUAAAUACUGUCAAUAGUACUAGCUGGUCCAACUAAGAAUGAGCAAAGACAGAUAUAAACUUGACUUGAUAUUAGGAACAUUAUCAGUCAUGUUCAAAAGAAAAGGCAACACUAUCAGCAUAGUUAAUUUUAAUGAAUAGUGGCGCUAUUUAUCAGUGGUGACAGAUUGCUACGAACACGUUUUCUUAAACUCAAGCAACAUAACACAAAGUGACAGCACACAGCCUAGCAUCUCAAACAAGGAGGACAACCAUCAUGGGUAUGUAAAAUCAAACCAAAGUUACAGUACAUAAAUGAACCUAUUAAUUCAACUUACCGUCUUAUCGCCUAUAUCUAUGGCAUUCUGCAGGCAGUCCUUGGAUUCCAAGGCGACGCUCUCGACACGAAACUCCGGAGCCUCUUCACCCUGUGGCCAAAUCAAAACCAGAGCAAGUUAAGCAUGCGGGUCCCCUUAACAAACUCUUCUUGGCAUCCACACAUAAUAAGCAGCACAUUGGCAAGCCCCUGAAAUAUCCACCACAGCUAAACUCACCAUAAAAUGCGCCGUGAUCAGGGCAGACGCGCCUCCAAUCCUAUAUACAGAAAUAAAACAACCGAACAAUUAGAACAUAAUACAAGAAUACACAUUCUGGUUACUAAUACAAGGAGACUGAAUUGAAGACACCAUUCCCACACACAUCUAUCCAUAGUAAGCAUUCAAGAACUACCACCACCAUACCAUACCAAAACAAGAACCCAAACACCCCCCAACCACUAAACCAAGCCCCUGAACCCCCCACAUUUCAAGACCAAACCAAUCCACAGAGAGCACAAACUAAACCACAAACCAAUCCACACUAAACCAACAUGACUCAUCACCAUUCCAAAAGCUAGAUCCACACAAGAACAAAAACAAGCACUAAUAGUAAUAUAUCCGGCAAUAGUUGGUCAAACAACAGAAGCACACACCCCCCAACCCCCACAACCAUCCCAAGAACGGUCAGGGAGAGCCCUAAAGAGAGAUCCCAAAGGAGAGAUCGGAGCGGCUGCAAACCUCGUUGCCCCACCGCGAUCCUCAGCUUCUUGAUCCCCUCUCGGUGGCCGCUACGACGACGACCCCAAGAAACCGAAACCCGCCCAAGAAUGCUGACGCCGAGCAGGAGGGGGUCGGAGGCGGGCGGCGGGCGUCGGCGGCGGCGAUGGAGGAGAGGAGAGGAUCGAAUCGGAGGAGGAAUUUGGUGGGGAGGAGGAGGCGACGGCGUCGACGUCGACGCCGCGGCGGCUUUAUACGACUUUUUCUUCUCUUCUCUCUCUCUUUUUUUUUCUUUUUUUUUUGUGGGCUUUUUUUUAUUUUGUUUUUUUUAAUUACGGAUUCGGUGGAUCUGGUCGUCGUUUGUAAGAGGGAGGGGGGAGGAUGCGGAAUUGCCGACUCCACUCCAAAAGCGGCUUUUUCCCUGUUUGCACAUCACUCCAAACCUAAAACGUAAAACGUAAAGUGGCUUUUCUUUAUGGAAUAAAUAGUUGACCUAUCUCGUUUAUUAUGGGUAUUUAGAAAAAUUUGUAAAGGUUGGCUUGUGUUGUUAUUAGUGUUACUGGUAUAGUUUUCGGUGAUUCUUUAAAGUCAUUUGAUUGUAAAUUUUAUCAGAAAAUGCUUCUAACAAAAGGUAAAAAAUCGAGCGUUGCACUUAAUGCCCUCGCUCCACUUGCUCCUCGAGGCAAGUGAUGUAGGUGUGGUAGAGCCACUACUAGAUCUCAUGCUUCUCUAGCAUAGUGAGGUUCUUGUUACGUGACCGAGACGCUCUGGAAAGGUGCUCGUAGGAGAGGGGAUGCCGAGAAAGGGCCUAUCUACCAGUAUGAGUUUUGGAUAAGGAUGGGUCCUAUUAGGUGAUGGAGAGACCAGAGCAGGAGACUAUGAUGGUGACAGGUGGCCGUCGUGAAGGGUAAGCAGAGCUCGAGGAUCAGUACCUGGAGGAGGCGGUGGGGUGGGAUCCACAUGGAUUUAAAGGUGGACACAAUUCAUCUUUGAUCGACUGGAACAACUUGACUGCUAAUUUUAUUUUGUCGGAUUAGACGCACAAUGUUAGUCACGCCUACUUUGUUCGAUAGCUAAGCUAUUAUAGAUCGAGUCAUAUAUGUUUAUGAGUGCCAAUUGGUCUAUUUCAUGAGUUUUUCUUAUAUAUAAUAUAAAAAGAUUGAAACCUGAAUACAAAUUACAUCAUGAUGAUGAAAGUGCCAAGGCUAAAAAUUACCCUAAUUAAAUAGGUAGUGAUGUGACAAAACAAGUGUUGAAGAUGUAUGUGUAUGUGUCAUGUGUGAGGGUGUGUUUAGUUCACGCUAAAAUUGAAAUUGAAACAAUAUGACGAAAAUGUUGGAAGUUUGUGUGUAGAAAAGUUUUGAUGUGAUGGAAAAGUUGAAAGUUUGAAGAAAAAGUUGGGAACUAAAUCAAGGUUGAGUGACUUGCAAGAUAUGUUUACCUCGCUAGCACAACUUCCUCACACAUCUACACCUAACUGACGAACAAAAAGAUUUUACAAAAUUCCAUGCCACACAUGCAUAUGGCUGGAACCACACACUUACAGCUCAACCCAACUAAACAAUUCGAAGAUGGUGAUUUCUUUUUCUAUCACAUUAAAAGUUCGGACAAAUACUAGUGUGUUGUUUGGAAGUAUUGUAUCAUGGUCACACAUCAUAGUGUAAAGUAGACUUCUACUCCACAACGUAGAAUGAUCAUUCGAAAGAGAAAAGGGAAAUGAUUUGGUCAAUGAAGAUGACGUAGAGGCAAAUCUUGAGUCGUUUCUCCGAAGGUGCCACACAACUACACAAGACUAAUUAGUUAAUUAGGCAUCAAUGAAGAUGUCUUAAUCAUCUUCUCUAACAUGUAGUUACGUGUGCAUACGUACGAAGGUAUGAUGACACUUUCCUUCUUUUCUUAAAAAAAAUAAAAACGAGCCACGUAAGAGAUUGCGUGAUUUUAUAUGAUAUAGCAGGAAAAAAAAUCAUAAGACCAUAUCCCUGGUCUUUCAGAGUGGGCAGCCAAAUGGAAGAAAACAAAACAUGAUUAUUUGGGAAUAAAAACGUAACAAUGAUGGAGUUGUUCUAGAUUAAUUGGAUCGUACAAAACAAAAGAACAAAAAAAAACCCACCAAUCACUGGUGGAGAAACCAUCUUUGAUCGGUCGGCCAAAUUUCACAAUAGUCCCGGUUCUAAUAAAAACCGGGACUAAAAAGCAUCUUUAGACCCGGUUGGUGUUACCAACCGAGACUAAAGUUCAUUUUUAGUCCCGGUUCAAGAAGUUGAGGGGUUCAAGACAGAUCCCGAUUAUUUUUACUCUCGGUUGGUAUAAACAACCAGGACUAAAAACAGAUCUUUAGUCCCGGUUAUUUAUACCAAACAGGAGUAAAGAGUACCCCGAACCGCGCGCCAGAUAUUAUCCGCGCGCCACAAAAAUAAUUGUUUAUACCAAUUAUUUUUACUCCCGGUUGGUAUAAACAACCGGGACUAAAGAUAUCUUUAGUCCCGGUUGUUUAUACCAACCGGGAGUAAAGAGUACCCCGAACCGCGCGCCACUCAUUUAUUAUCCACGCACUCCUCUCGAUCUCCUCCCCUCUCAUUACUCCUUCUCCAUCCCUUCCUCUCCCCCUUCAUCCCCUUCCUCUCCCCUUUCCCCUCCCGUUCCUCCCCUUCCCCUCUUUGAGCGGCGGCCGAGCGGGAGUAGCGGCGCCCGGCGGGAGCGGCGGCGGCCGGCCGUCUGGGUGCGGCAGAAGGGCGGGCGGGCGCGGCAGCUGGCCGGGCGAGCUCGCGCGGAGGCCGCAAGGACGGUGGCCGGGAGGCCGGCAGCGCCCUCCUCUCUGCUACCGAUUUUUUUUGAAUUUUUGAUUCAUUGGAUUUGAUCUGUGAUGUAUGUGAUAUUGGAUCUAAUCUGGGAAUUGUGAUGUAUUUCUUUUAGGAUUUGUGAUGUAUUUUUUGUUUGAGAUUUUGUGAUGUGAUGUAUUGUGAUUUGUGAUGCAUUUCUUUCCAAUAUGUGAUGUAUUUCUUUCCAGAUCUGUGAUGCUACUUUGAUUUGGGGAUGAUUUGGGAAUAUGAUCGGGGAUAUUUAGGGAGCAGAUCGAUUUGAGAAAAAAAAAAUAACCGGGACUGCUCGUACCAACUGGGACUAAAGAUAGAUUUUUAGUCCCGGUUAUUUUACCCAGGACUAAAGAUGGGUAUCUUUAGUCCCGGAUUCGUAGUCCCGGUUGUAUAACCGGGACUAUAGGGGGGUUUUCAACCGGGAGUAAAGCCCCUUUCUUCAUCAGUGAAUAAUAUAUAAGCACCGUAGAAGUGUUGGUCCAUUGGAAUUUCUUUGAACUUUGAGGGAAUAAAUGAUCAGUUGCAAUGUGGAGCCACAGGUUCAUUGCAUGAAGGCAAUAUAUAGAUUCAUUGAUUCUGAUGUCGGCAUCAAUUUUUUUCUGUUUCUGCUACAUGUAACACUCAUGGAAGCAAGGCCAACCUUUACCAACAUUUGUCUCUGGCCAAGAAAUUGCCUCUUAGAUUCUCAAGUAUUUUUUUUUUAAAAAAAACUGAACAGUUUGAUAGGCAUGAGUGAUGAAGAAGGCAAAGAAAGUGACCUACAAGGCAACUGCAACCACUACAUAUAUAACUGAUAGUGACAUCUAUUUAAUUAUAUAGUAUACUUUUGUAAAUAGCUUUGAUUUUAUUUUUCCAAGCCAAUAUAUGUAACUAACUUAUUUCUAGAAACAGACAUUCAUGGAAUUCCAAGGUUUAUUUUUUGCAAGGCUGGAAUGUAUGCUCAUGGUUGUCUGCAUCGCAACAAUAUUCAUUUGGCAAUAAGGUUACAUUGUUACGAAUAACGGUUAUUAUGCAUGUUUAUUUUUGAAGAUAAAAUGCCUCUUCGAUUUGUAUGAAAAAUAUAGUAGUUUUAGAGGAUUUCAAUCCUAUGAAAAAGUUUCCUGUAAAAGCCUUAACAAAGGAUUGAAUCAUAUCCUAUCCUUUAAUAUUCUUAUAGAAUGGGUAAUUAUAGAUUGUAGAGAAAAGUUGGCAAGAGGUCCAACCUAUUGAAAAAAUUUCUUUGGAUACAUCUCUCUCAUCCGAUUCAUAUGUUUUUCCUGUGGUCCAAUCAAAUGGUCACUUAUGUGUUUUUUUACUAUGUUUUGUAAUUCUCUAUUUUACACUAGUAUUCAUGUUGGAAUUACAUGGUUUAGAGAAACGCUUGGGGUCUUCCGGCUAGCUCCACAAGGUGGUGGGCUAGACGAUCUGGGUUCGAAGUCUCACCCUUUCUAAUUAUUUGAUAUUAGGUUCUUUUCUAAUAUUCGUGUCUUUUAUAAUUACUUGGUUUCCCUUUUCUCGUGCAAUAUGUUUGAUACGGGACAAUUUCCAGUUGCCAACUAGUCCAUAUUCUCUGCUAGCCAGAGCCGUGCUGCAUCAAAAAUCUGAUCUGAUCAGAGAGAAUUUGGUUCAAAUUCAAGUUCAUUGCAGCCACUCUUAAUGCAUACCCAGAUUCCAUUCCAGUCAACAUUUAUUGCAUAAAAAGAUUCACCUAUCACUUUGCCAUAUAUGUAUGUAUGUGUGUGUAUAUAUAUAUAUAGGUAAAUUAUUGCUACAUGGAGUAUGGGCUCCAAGAUUCAAAUUGUAUAUACCCAAUUUGAAUGAGUAUGAAAUUUUUUUAAAUGUUUAUAUAUGAACAUUAACUUCUUUACUAACAAGUUCAAAUAAGUUUAAACUGAGUUUGAACAUUUUUUUGUUAGAUUUUGGUUCUAGGUAUAUAACACUCAAACAUAUAAUUCGUUAGGUAUGUAAUAAUGAAUUGUGAAAUAAAGUUGAGUUUGAGUUGUUUCGUUGUUAGGUAUAUGUAUGAAUUAAAUUCAUAUACCUAGGUAUAUACUCACAAUUUGAAAAUUUUUCAAAAUUUGAGAGAAUUUGUGUGUUUUAUACCUUGGAGCCCGGGCAACAUGGAGUCCCAUAUGGAUAUCAUAUAUAUAUAUAUGUAUAUAUAUAUAUAUGUAUAUAUAUAUAUAUAUAUAUAUAUAUAUAUAUAUUCUUGUCUAAUUACUUAUUUCAGAGCUCAGGAUACUAUUUUAGCCUAGGAAAUUAUUUUCCUAAGGAUUUGUUUGGUUAAUUCCUCCUCAUAGGAAUGGAAGUCUAUGCGGAGAGACGUGAAAUCAAACGUCCCUUCCCCUAAAAAUAAAUUCCUUCCUGUAGGAAUUUACUGAACAAGCCCUAAGGGAUGCCCAUGAAAGAAUUAUCCAUGAGUCAUAUCAAAUAACUCACAUUGUAUUAACUAUAUAACCAGGUUAAAUUAUUAUCUAGUGUAAAUGUUACUCCCUCCGUCCCGUCCCAAAAUAUAAGCAUUUUUAGCAUAGUGUGAAAUCAAACAUUUUUAACAUUAACUAUUAGUAGAAAAAAAAUUAAAAAGAACAAUAAUGUAAAAUUAAUGUUACUAGAUUUAUCAUUAAACAAACUAUCAUAAUAUACAACUCUUUUUUAUUUAAAACAUCUUACUUUCAUAGAUUUUGUUGGUCAAAAUAGUAUCUCAAAGACCAUGUCGAAGUCUAAAAUGCUUAUAUUUUGGGACAAAUGGAGUACUAAUUAAACAAGACCCACGAGACUAUGAUGCAUAUGCUAGCUAGUUGAUCAUAGGAACAAAUUAGCACACAUCUGUGAAAGAUAUGGGUACCGGGGUACUGAUACAUGGGUACCGGGGUACUGAUACAGCCUACAUAUCCAACUACAGAUAGGCCAUGGGGGCUACAUCCAUGUAAUAAAACAUAGAGUAGCACUCAGUUGCCAUGUUGUCUUAUGUUGCGAGGCAGGGUAUAGAGUCUCGGCUGAAUACUACUUUAUAUAGAUUAGGAAACAGAAGCCGUAUCUGGUUAGGUUUCUCUUCUCGCAAUCCUGCUUCCCAACCUAUAUAAGGUGAGCAUGAAGCCCCCUCAAGGGAACCAGAUUGACCAGACAAAAGAUCCAUGAGGACAACACAACCAAGAUCACCAUGAUCAAUACAAUAUAGCUGAUCCAAUCCACCAAACAAGAGUUUGAUGUUAUCUCUCAUCAAGGAGGCUUGAAACAUGUCUAAACUCUUGUCUACUUGCAUCCAUCCACUUUAGGUCUCAUAUGCUACCCCCUUUAUUAUCGUUGAUAAAUACAUCGAUAGCUGGUGCAGCAGGUAGGGGUGACGCUGAGUUUCCCGUCGAGAAGUGCGAUUGAAUCAAUCUUAGGAAUCGUUGGAUUCAUCUUCGCCCCAAGGCAAACCUUCGCUUUGGAAGUUUCGUCUUCUUUAACGAUGACUUUGGAAAUCACUUCCUCUCCGACUCGGAUUCAAACCAGUCUGGAAGGCUCAGACCACUUUGAUCUCAUUUGGUCUCCCAAACACCGCGAAGGCCUGUUCCAAGCUUGUUCUCUCCGACACAGGCUCAAUCUCGUCAGGGAGAUCAACCUUGGCGAGUUUGAUGAUUAAAUCUCCGAUGUCGCUGCGUUUUUUUCCCUUCCAAUUUAUCAUUGUUUAUUAGAUUGAUUUCUAAUCAUGGAUGAAUCUAUUGGUGUUUUUUUUAUUGUUCAUAUAUAAUUCCACGGCACUACUGAUGUGAGUGCUAGCGAUUGUCGACUCGUGGUGUCACUAUGUAGUCAACCGGCCAUGGGGUCUUCCCUGGCAUGCGUACUCUGUUUGACCUCGCUUUCACGGCUGCUCGACUCCGCCGCUACUGAUGGACAACCUCGUAUUCACCGCUGGCUUCCUUCACUACCACAGACCGCUAACCUCACACCUUCACGGUUGGCCUACUAAAUCACCAUUGAUGGGCGACCUCGUCUUCACCGCUGGCUGCCUCCACAGCCGUCAAUUGGUAACCUCACCUUCACGGUUGGCCUACUACGCCGCCAUUGACGGGUGACCUCAUCUUCACCAUUAGCCACCUCCUGCCGUCAACGGGUGAUAUCGCUUCCAUGGCUGACCAGCUUCGCUGUUGCUGAUAGACGACCUUGUUUUCACCGCCGGUUGUGUCCACUGUCGUCGACCGGUGACCUUGCCUUCACAGUUGUCCUAUUACCCCAAUGCUGAUGGGCAACCUCAUCUUCACCGCCGGUUGACUCUGUCGUCGCCGACUUGUGACCUCGCCUUCACGGCUGGCCAACUUUGCCGCUGCUGAUGGGCGACCUCAUCAUCAUCGCCUAUUGAUGCCUCGCCCCUACGCCGGUUGACUUCGCUACACACUGAUGGGCAACUUUGUCUUUACCAUUGGCCGCCUUCGCUACCUCCACUUUGCCGACCCUGGCAUCUCCUAGAAUUCCGACAUCCCUACAUGCGCCGCCAGACACGAUGCCGUACUAAUCUACUACAACAGGUGGUGCCCUAAUCUUUUAGCUUUACACUCAGACAUGGCCUUGAGGCUAUCGAGUUUGAAUCUAGGGAGGUUGGUUGGCAUUUUCAAUAUGCAUCUCCACUCAAGCGAUGGCUUGAUAAUAAGUUGUUGUUCUUGACUCUAUGUUUAGUUGUUUUUCAACUAACAAUUGAGUCGGAGGCUGAACAAAUACAAGAUUGAAAUUCGACGGGCGUUUUGUUGGGAUAAAGCUAUCAACUAACUAGUCAACAAGUGCUAUGUAAUCAACUUUUGCAAACUCUUCUUCUCGGUGUCCAAUUUUCUCAUCGACAACUUUGGCAAACUCUUCUUCUCCGACCUGGGUUUGAAUCAGUUAGAGGAAACAACAAUCAACCAGAUCCCAUUCGGUCUAUCGAACACUACAUAGUCUACUCUAAGUUUCUCAAGUGUCAAGUUUGAGAUCUAGUCUACAGGUCCAGGUCAAACUCGGCUCUGCUCUCUAUAGUUUGACUUAGUAUGGGUUUGAGCUUACCGAGUUCGGGCCUAGGGAGGUUGGAGUCAUCAACCAAUCAAUUUAGUUCGAUUACUAGGACGGCAACUACUCUCCUCCACGUGAAACAUCAUUAAUCGCUACAACACCAAGUUCUACUGCCACCGAUAUGAAGAAAGAUGCGAUGCAUCAAUCUUCGUAACCCGCGCGCUAGAAUCAAGAAAAUUACUCGAGCUUGGACAUCUUCUCAAUAGUUCAUUGGACUAUUGUCACUGAUGUCACCGCAGGCACCUUUCCCAUUGGUACAACCUUCAUCUCUGGCCAACUAUUGCCAACCAUGUUCUUUGCUUCGGGAUGAGUGACUUCGUCUUCACCACCGGCUGCCUGCUGCCACCAACUUGUGACCUCGCCUUCACGGUUGGCCUACUCCACGCCGCUUAUGGGAGACUUCGUCUCCACCACCAAUUGACUCUAUUGCCCCACUGACUGGUGGCUUUGCCUCCACGCCGGUUGACUCCAUCGCUCCACUAAUGGGUGACCUCGCCUUCGCCACACAAGGUCAACCUCAACCGUGACAGAAGGACAAGCGACAUGCUCUGGGGCUCACCAGCUCAAACAUGAGGAUCACACAUUCAAUCUUGACUUGUUCUAGAUACGUGCAAUAGUAAUUCAUACCCAUGAGCCUAUUUCCUAUGCUUAAGGUAUGGACCAGUCAUUACACCCCACGAGGGCCACCGACUGAGUACUUGUGCCAGUUGAGACUCAGAUACCACCUUUAUUUCACUAUGCCCCAUGAGAGAUAAAGAUAAACCAUUCGGAUCAGAAGACACUCAGAUGAGAUGCACUUGGUCCAUAUCACCGAAGAGAUAUGUCAUUCGAGAGCUGACGAAAGGAGCGAUACACGUGUCAUUUUAUCUUGAUUUUAUCGGGCAUGGUGGGCCUAGAGGCUAGUGUGUUCGUGACCCAAUAACUACCAUGCAUUGUGAAUUAAGCAUGUCCUACUAUUCAUUAGGUGGUGUUGUUCCAACAACCCACGUGCUAUUUACCGCUUUUUAUAAAACUCAGAUGUUGAUUGGAAAAGACCCGAUUAUAUAAUCAAUAUAUCACUCGAGUCAUGUUACUCUAGUAUUCACAUCGUAUAUACUGCAUCAAGGUUUAAGCCACUCGGCUAGCGGGGGUAUUACAUAGUCGGGAGCUACACCUUUUAGGUUCAUCUAUUCGAUGCACUUGUUUAUUCAUUUAUCGACGGAGCCCUCCACAGUCUCUUUGCAAGAUAUCAAAAAAGAGAACUCAAGAAAGAAGCACUUAAGAAGCCUUCAUAGCAAAUAUGCAGUACUCAGUAUUGGUCAUAAACCAUGGAAAAACUACAAUUCGACUGUGAAGGUCUCGGGGACAACCGUAGAAGAUAUGGGUACUAGGUACCCACACAGCCUGUAUAUCCGACUACAGAUAAGAAGUGAACUGCAUCCAUGUAAUAAGAUAUAGAAUAGGACUCAAUCGUCAUGCUACCUUAUGCCAUAAGGCAGGGUAUAGAAUCCCAUCUGAAUACUACCUUAUAUAGAUUAGGAAACUGAAGACUUGUCUGGCUAGGUUUUCCUCUUUGUAACCCUAGCCUCCAACUUAAAUAAGGUGGGCAGGGAGCCCCCUCAGGGGUUGACCAGACAAAAGAUCCAUGAGAUCAACACAACCAAGAUCACCAUGAUCAAUACAAUCCGAAAUAUCCAAUCCAUCAAACAUAAAUAAAGUAUUAUCUCUCAUUGAGGGGGUUAAUUUGAACGUGUCUAAACUCUCGUGUGCUACCCCUUUAUUCUCCACAACAUCGAUCUUUCUCCACAAGCAUAUAUAUCGGGUUAAACAUAUUCUCCAAAGAAGAAAAUAAAGCCAUAUAAUCUUAUAUAUAUAUAUAUAUCUUCAGGACAUAUUCUCUACACCAUAGUGAUAGACUAGUUUCCACACUAUAAAAGCACGGCAAAUAUCACCACCAUGAACUCAAAGAGCCAAUAGCGCCACCAACAAAUUAUUGACACUACAUUUGAGACAAAAAAAAACACUUAGACACAUAAUUAACCAUGUCUACCAAUGGGAGCAGCGUGAUGAUCAGCCCUGUGGUGCAAGGAAAGAUGCAGCAGGGCGUCAUGAACGGCAUGCAG